CAAGUCGCACGUAAAGUCGCUUCUGAGAGAAUGUGCUCACAUUGUAGUUGAAAGAUUAUGUGGCUAGCAACAUUACAAAUUUAAUUUGGUAUAAUUUUAAAAUAUGGAUUGAGGAAAAAAAUGAUCACAUUAACUAGAAACUGAAAAGGUUUCAGCACAGUUUGUUCAAGCAAGAAACUCAAUUUUGAUGCUACCGAUCUUGAGCGCCGUACCUGGGCACCAAAGUCACCACCACACUCUCAUCAUCUUCAGCACCCAAAUCCUCCAACAGGUCCGUUAACCCCAACCUUAAACAACUCUUGCUCUUUUCCUUCUGCUUAUGUGGCACACUCACAAAACUCCCAGCAAACUCGCUCUUGUCGGGUCCACUCGGUGCCGCAUCCUCAUCGUCCACGUCAUUCACAUACACAUCAAACUUCACAGCCACAUCUUUGUCAAGCUCAAUCCCCUGAAUCACCAAUAUCUCCUCCUCAUCCUCUUUCUCCUUCUUGCUCCUCUUCUUCGGCUUCGGCCUUGACACCACCGUACUUAUCUUCGUCUCCAAAUUUAUUGGAAAAUCUUUACCCGCCACCACCUUCCCUGAUGACGUCGUCUCAGCGGCCUUCGCCACUCCAGCCGCCUUUGCCUUUCUCGCAAGCUUUGUCCGACGUGGCGUCGGUCUAGACUUGAGCCAUGGAAUCUCAACAUCUUCAUACGUAUACCCUAGCUUUUUAUUAUCAAGAGUGUCCCUCACCGUGACCCUAACAAGCUCAGCAUUCUCGUCAUAAAACAAAAACCCCGUAUCCAACCAAUCCUUAUCGUUAAUAUCUUUAUUUUUAGUCCCUAUACUUUUCCAAAUAUUCCACAUUCGAUCUAUAUUCGAAUGGUGCGAAAAAAAUAUUGGAUCCCUUCCAGCGGAGUAAAAAUUCCCCAUGUCUUCAAAUUAGGUUGCGUGUUAUCUCCGGUCCAUAAAUGAACCGGACCAUGUGGGGUCGUUUCGAUUGAACCGCCCCCUGGAUCUGGUUCAGUGCCAGCCCUGUAGGGCGAACCAAAGAACAACAGCGGUUUCUUGGAGUUGGAAACCAUCUGCCUAUACAUAAUUUUGAGGUUGGCUUCGAUUUGAGCAUCGUUGGACAUUGUUUCAUCCGUGCCGUUGAAGUCAAGAUCGAUGAGAGUCGGCGGCUGAUGGCUGGCAGCGCGAAGCUCGUCGUAAAGCGGAGAGUCCGGGUUAGCGAACAAGGCAGGGAGUUGCAUGCCAGCUGGCGCGUCCCAGUUCCAAAACGGCAACGCGAACGUCGGAUCGUCUAUGAGUUUGGCCAAGAUUCUUUCGUGGAAGUAUAGGUAGUAACGAUGGAAGGGGAAGAAAAGCCAGCAUUGAUGGAUUUGGAGCUCGAGGUUGGGGAAGCCGACUUGGUCGUACGCGCCGUCGCAAUAGGCACAGUGGAGAUCGGCUUGCUGGGUGAAGCUACGCGGAUCGUCGUCCGGGAGGGCUUUCAUGAGCUCGAUGGCUUUUGAAUAUUUUUCGAUGUAGGCUUUAUCCACGGUGUGAGCUGCCGGCCUGACGCGGAGUUUGGUAGGGGAGGGGAAUUUGAAGUCUACGAUUUUUUGGGACGUUGGCGGGCAACAGUUGGUCGGGACUGCUCCACUUGGAAAGUCCGCAGCUCCGCAUUUGGCUAGGUCAGGCGGCGACACUGGCUUUGCAACAGCGAAGGGGUCGCUGCCAAGACCAGCCACUCCACCGUAUAGGCUUCCGAGACCUAUAAGUACAUUUCUUCUGUCUAGGUUUACUGGAGAAGGGUUUUCAUGGUCGUGAUCGUUGGAGCUAGUGGAAGGGUUUUUGUUUUGGUCACUACUAUUAUUUGUGGCUUUGCAUGAGACAGCUUGUAAAUUGGAAUGCCUAGGGUUUCCAAAUGAGGAUAUUCGGUGAUACUUUUGGGAGAAAGGGGAGAGGAAAGUUGUGGGGAUGAUACUUGUGGCGGAGGUGACGAGUGGAGCUGACAUAGAAGCCAUGGUUACUUUUGACUCUGAAUAAUACGUUGUAUUGGCUUUGCUUUUAUAAUGUGUUCUAGGUUGUACUUUUCUUUGCACAGGUGGCAGGCCGUACACACGUGGUCGGUCCUUAAGGGUUUGACGAGGAAUACUACGUAGUCAUUUAGUACAGGACAACCAUACACUAUAGCAAGUGGCAUGUAUUUAGAGAUCGAGAGAGAAUUGGGUAAGGUUCACGAGGGAUUUGUAGUUUCAGAAGGUGAAUUGGUUUUGGUCUUCUUGUGUACCAAUAAUAUUUACUUAGUCAUUUAGUGCAGGACAACCAUGCACUAUAGCAAGUGGCAUGUAUUUAGAGAUCGAGAGAGAAUUGGGUAAGGUUCACGAGGGAUUGUAGUUUCAGAAGGUGAAUUGGUUUUGGUCUUCUUGUGUACCAAUAAUAUUUACUUAGUCAUUUAGUGCAGGACAACCAUGCACUAUAGCAAGUGGCAUGUAUUUAGAGAUCGAGAGAGAAUUGGGUAAGGUUCACGAGGGAUUGUAGUUUCAGAAGGUGAAUUGGUUUUGGUCUUCUUGUGUACGGCUGUGGGUCUGCUGUCCCGGACUCUCUGUCUCAUUUGUGUCUUAUUUUUUAUUUUUUCACACGUGUCUUUUACUUAACGUCAAAUCAUGAUAGCAAUGUUAUGCAAUUGGGAGCUAAACGACCGAUGCUUUUAUUUUUUAGUUUGCUUUUUUUCCAGAUCUGAUCAAAUCAUGAUAGCAAUGUUAUGCAAUUUUCAAGAGGGAAAGAUGCACCUGGGAGAGAAACGGUACGGUGACUUCUAAAUCACCGUCCAACAGAACAAUUCUCAGUAGAGACUACUAGAGAGAGAUGCACCUCACCAAUGAAAAAUUUAACUGCAAAAAUUCUGGGUAUUGGGUAAGGAAAUUCGGUGAUACUUUUGGGAGAAAGGGAAGAGAGAAGUUGUGGGGAUGAUACUUCUCGUGGAGGUGACGAGUGGAGCUGACAUAGAAGCCAUGGUUACUUGACUCUGAAUACUACGUUGUAUUGGGUUUGCAUAUAUAUAUAAUUAGGAUUGAAGGAUGUAGAGCUUAUUUUGUUAUGUAUUUUAACGAUUUAAGUGCUUAUCUUUUAGGUUUUCUCUUAAACAUCAUGUCUAUAAAAAAUCACCAAAAUUCAAACCAUAUGACCAUUAGAUCCAUAGUCAUUUUAGUGUUUAUUUGUAAAAUGUAUUCAUUCAUUUUCUUCACUACAAAUGAGUGAAUUAAUGAUUUUAGAAUUUGUCUAAUUUUUUACAUUGAUUAUUUAUGAAUGUUGAAUUGAAAUUUAGACGAUUCAAAAAUAGUUGAUAUGCAUUACAAAAUGAACUCCACAAAAUAAGUGUCAAAAUAUGUAUAAAAAAUGGACAGCGUGAAUGGCUUGGAAAUUGGAAUAGGUUUGAAAAUUGUGCUUUUUGUAGCAAAUUUUAGCAAAGUUUGCUUGGACUUUCACAACCGUAUAAAUUAAAGGGAAACUUGAUAUAACUCCAAUUUUUUGAGCCAAUAGUAGGAAUAGUCCAGUUUAUUAAAAUAAGUUCAAUUCUUUAAAUUUAAUUAUUUAGUUAUCAAUAAUUAUCUCUUAAAAGAAAAAACUUAUUGUAAAAAUCAAAUUUCUUCCUAAUUAUCUCUUUGAUUAUUUCUUUUUAUUUAUUUAUUUGUUAUUUCUUGUUCUUCCUCCUGCUUUAACCCAUUUAUAGAUUUUUUUUUUAAUUUUAUAAUCAACCUAUGUCACAGGUUAAUUGUAUUUAUCUACCUAUAUGACAUAUUCUUUUUCAUAGUCAACAUUUCACAGAUUAAUGUGUCUUGCUUGUAGAUAUAUUAUGUUUUUUUCUACCUUUUAGUUAGGUUUCAUAUCUCACUUAUAGGUAUAAUAUACAUUCAUAUAUUUGCUACUUGAGUUAGGGUAGAAUGUUUUGCAGAUAGAUUUAUGUUAGUAUAUUAAUUUUUUUUUGUUUAUAAGAUAUUAAUUAGAUAUUUUGGAGUUGAAAAAUGCAUAAUAUUAAAAGCUUUUAAUUGAUUUUUAAUAUUUUUAGAAAAUAUAAAAGGAGUAUAAAAGAAAUCAAAACAUAUAAUUAGAUAACGGGAGUCACUCCUAAAAACACUCUAUGUUUUUUGACCUGGAUCUUAAAGCCCCUAAAUUAAACUGUUCGCUUUGUUGGGAAAAAGAAGUGGCCCUAGUUUCCCUUUGAUUUUUCAAGCACGGUGGGAGACUGGUCAUAGUUUCUAGAUUGAUGCUCUAAUUCUAAUGUUAUACAACGCGUACGCUAUAAUAUUUUUAUCAAAAUAUUAGUUUUAGUGUUAUCAAAACAAUAUGUUAUUCUUACCAUGUUUUUGUAUCACAAUUAUAUACCACCUUAGAUGGUAUCUGAUGUGGACAGCCACAUCAUUUAAAUUAAUAAGCAUUUAAUUUCAAAAUGUUAAUCAAUAAUUAAUAAAAAGAUUGUUAAUUAAAUGAUGAUUGUGGUAUACAAGGAGUCUCCUUCUUCCUUCCUCUUUCCAUUCUGCUUUUUCUUCUUACCUCUUUUUUUUUUUUAAUGCCAGUUUUGUAUUGAUUUCUGUUGAUUUCCAUGAUUAUGGUCAAUCUUUAUAGAAUUUACUAGUAUGCCACAAUCACCAUUGAUUUCUAUCUCCAGACUCAUGCCCCGUAGCCCUAAUCCUCAUUCCCCUUCAAGUAUUUCUGUCUCCAAUCUUCUUUGGUACUCCAUGAUUGUUCAUCUCGUGAUAUUUUUUUUUUUGAUUAUUUCAUUAAGUAACGCUUAUUAGCUUUCAUGCGAAUUAGGAGUCAAAAUCAAAUUUGUCUAUCGGAUUAGGGUUCAUACCCAAUUAAGUUACUAACGCCAGAGGGAUUUUGAAGUAUGCAAUUUUCCUUAUUUAAGUGUUUUAAUUAAUAAGAAAAUUGAAAUUAAACAAUUUAGCUUGUCCAACUCAUCUGCCACCUAAGAUGGUAAAUAAAUGUGGUAUAAAAUUGUGGUAAGAAUAUCAUUACUCUUAUCGAAAUUACAAAAAAAAAAAAAAAAGCUGAUUCAAUAUUUAGUUAUUAAAAAAAAAAUGAUCAAGUAACUAUCCAAUACCCAUGUAUUGGGUGCUUUGUUUGAAAAUUUUCAAAAUGAUAUUGGGCUCGUUUGGAUAUGUUUUUAAAAUGACUGAAAGCAUUUUUAGAGAAAAUAUUUUUUUGAUUCCAAAAGCACUUAAAGUGCUUUCUGCAAGAAGCACCCGUUAUGUGCUUCUUCCUGGAAGCACUUUAAGUGUUUUUCCAGCAUUUACUUGCUUUUUUACUAAGGACUGGUUCCAAAAACAUUUUCACAAAAAGUGUUUUCAGUCAUUUUAAAAGCACAUUCAAACGAGCUCAUUGUUUUUCCUAUUUUAAUCGAGUGCGUCGUCCUCUGUUGAGAAUGAAUCUCAUAUUAUGGGAGGAGGGAUCUUGCAUGAAUGGGAGGAGGGACCUUGCAUGAGCUUAUAAGUAAGUUGGGUUACUCUCCAUAUUGCCAAAAGAAAUUUUAUUUGGACCCAGUUUUCCUCUCUCUAAACCCAACUUUAAUAUUUUGUUACCUAUAAACUCUCUAGUUUACCCUCAUAAAUUAUAAACAUAAAUAAACUAGAAAAAGAAAAACUCAUCAAACCCAUUUCCCAACUGUUCUGGCGUCUCUUCCCUGUAUUUGUUGGGUCUGUCUCCCUCCCGACUGUUUUUUUUUUUCUGAUAUCUCUGUGUGUUCCCCCACCUCUCCCACACCCACCAAUUCUUUGUGGUGGCUAUUCCACCAAACGUCCAGUGAAUCUUUCCAUUUUUCUUCUAUUGCGCGUGAUAGGGCCUUGCUAUUAAUAGGCAAAACUAAGCGGCAUCGUCGACUCCGUAAGCGACUUGUUGCAUAAGUCCAAAAUGGAGUCAAAUGGAUUUUGUAUUGGGUCGGGUUGUUGAAGGCGAUGGCUGAUUUAGCAAUCCCGCCUAACUAUUUCUAUAUGUAGGAGAAGGAAGAGGGAGGGAGGUCUGAAGUGGUGGUUGAGUGGUGGCGAUGUAUGUGGGUUCUCUCUCGGUUGAAUGGGUGUAGAAAGAUAUUUAAUUUUCAAUAUCUUAUUUUAUUUUGUAUAAGGGAUAAUAUAGGAAUUACAUAAAAAGUUUUUUUUAUAGCUAGGUGUAGAAAUAGUAUUGUUGGGUCUAAAUAAAAUUACCCUAUUGCCAAUUAGUUUUAUGGUGAAAUCUUAACUUUGUUCAUGCUUUCAUAGUAGGUUGUUCCACGUGUGAAGUCAAACAUCCACACGCGCUGCACGUCACCCCGUUGUGUUGUUCACGUGUUAAGCUUGAAAAUUCAUCACACAUGAGGGAGCGUGUUGAGAAUAAAUUCCACAGUUUAUAAGUAAGUUGUACUACUCCGUAUAUUACCAAUUAAUUUUGUGGAAUUCCGUCAAAGCUGAAUUUGACGGAAAAAAAUAACUUCAUGUUUGUUCUUAACUAUAAAGUCAGUGAUACACUAAUUCUGGUUUGUUUGUUUUUUCCUUCCUUCUUAAGGAAAUUCCCAAUCCAACCAAAAAAAUGAAAUUCCCAAGAGAAUAGUAGCACGAACAAUCGUAGCUUUCUUCUUCGAUAAGCCUUGGGGAAACAGAAAAGGGAAAACCGGACUUUAACCCUAAUUUCUCCCAAUGCCGCAGCACUCUCUAUUUUCUCUCUCGCUCUAUAUCGCGGUCCCUCUCUCUCGCCGUCCUCUAUUGCUCAAACUCAAUGUCUCCAACUUCCUCUGUAUGGUUCCCGAGGAAGAUGGUAAAACAGUAAGGGCAAGAAAUUGUGACAAGGUUAGAUUUGGGUAUUAAUCUGGUGGGGCUACAAUUCUCCAAUCCACACCCCUUUCAUCUGUGCUAGUGUUUGAACCCAAUAUUAGAUAACCGGUCCAUGCAAUCGAUGCCGUUGAAUGAGAAAAAUUCUAGGCCGUGGGAUCAAAUAUAAUGAUGUGGAUUAAAUAAGGAAAAUUUAAAGAGUAAUGAUAUUCAUACCAUGUUUUUGUACCACAUUUUCAUACCACCUUAGGUGGCAUUUGAUGUGGAUAGCCACAUCAUUUGAAUUAAUCAGAUUUUAAAAUUUAGUUGAUUAUUUAAUAAACUAAUAAUUAAGAAAAACUAAUUAAUUAAAUGAUGAUUGUGAUAUACGAGGAGUCUUUCUCGUUCAUUUCUUUGGGUUUUGCAAAUUUUUCAAAUGAUGUGGCUGUCUACAUCGGAUGCCACCUAAGGUGGUAUAGAAAUAUGGUAUAAAAAUAUGGUAUGAAUAUCAUUACUCAAAUUUAAAUGUUUAUCUUGGUUAAAUUACCAUGAUAAUAUUGUGGAAUUAUCUUUUGCAUAACGGAAGAGCGAGAAAAGUCCAAGGGUGUAGGGAAGUUGUGUGGUUGACUACCGCUAUUUUGAUGGUAUAAUCUGUAGAGUAAUAUUACAUUUAACAUCUAUUUGUAUCAUAUUUCUAAUAAAGAUAAGGACCAUCAAUGCAUAAAUAAUUAAACAAAUAUAUAAUAAGAGUAUCAUUUUUGUAACUAGAAUAGGAGAAGAAAGACUUCAAGAUGGGAUCAGCCAAAUAAUUAGCGUUAAGAUAAAAAUAUUGAAAGGAAAACUAAUGAAAAUGGCUUGAAAACUUUGAGUUUUAACGAUAAGGACAAGAUAAAGGGUAAAGUGAAUAGUACCAGGAUUGACUUUUUAAUGUAAAAAUAUAGUUUUUCGUUAAAGUGAACAUUACCGGGAACUUUUCGUUAAAGUUUCCAAUGAGAUAAUAUUGCAACAGCUGGCAUGAGACAAUGAUGGUAUAAAGAUGGCUACUACGGCCAAACUACUACAUAGGAUUCCAUACAUGCGGUCAUUAUUUCGACAAAUCAAUGGCUGCCGCAAUCAUGUGCUCAUUAUUCCGACAAAUCAGUAGCUACUUGCAUUGGAUUAGGAUUGCAUGCGUGUGGUCAUUGAAUGAGGAUUGCGUGCACGUGAUCUUUAUUCAAACAAAUCACUAUUGACCAUAUAUUGCAAUUGGUUAAUGGUAGGCAAAUUGAAUUUUUACAUCAAAUAAUGUGAUUGCUGAUAAUUGAAUUAUUAUUUAAAUGUUGAUUAAUAUGCUUAUUUUUUAUUUGUGAUAUAUCAUUUAAUUUGUACAUUUAGUUUACCUAACAUUACCAACUGUAAUUUGUAUAAAUGGACUGGUACCUAACAUAACCAGUUGUAAUUUGUAUAAAUGGGACUGUAAUUUGUAUAAAUGGACUGGUGCCUAACAUUACCAGUUGUAAUUUGUAUAAAUUUACUGGUCCCAAGAGCACAUGCUACUGCUCAAGAAGCAAAGUUCUUAUUUGCCCAAAAAAAAUCAUGGUUUUUUAAUUGAUGCUCUCAUUUUAAUUUACUAGCCCCUUACUUGGCCUUUUUUAUUUAUCAUUUUAUACAUAUUAAUAUUUUUUUGUAAAAUAUAUUAGUUUGAGUUUUAUUAAAAUUAAAAAUAAAUAAAAAAACUUAGUUUUAGUUUUAUCAAAUUAAAAAAAAAUGACUUAAUAUUUAGUUAUUGAAAUUGUAAAAAAGUGAUCAAGUAUUGGGUGCUUUGUUUGAAAUUUUUCAAAAUGAUAUUGUUUUUACCAUUGAAACCCUGUUAUAUACAGUGAUGGCUAAUUUGUCAAGUUCUACGAAGUUGGGAUACCCAGCGUUUUAGCAUAUAACAUAGCUUAGUAUUACAAGCAUAAUUAAUUAAAAUAAAGGCAAAAUAAGAGGAUAGCUUAGUAUUACAAGCAUAAUUAAUUAAAAUAAAGGCAAAUUGUAACAGCCCGUCCCUAAAAAUGACGAUUUUAUAAUCUUAACACGUGAGUUUAUGAAGAUGCCCUUCGAGGCAAAGUGUUGACUACCGCGUCGUGUCAUGUGAGACUCAUCUUCUUGGCGUAUUCUCGUUUUACUCGUCGCUACGGAUGCGUGGGCGCAAACGACACGUGAUUUGGAGCUAUAACAAAAGAGUUAUUAACAUUUAAAGUUAAGGACAUUUUAGUAAAUUAAUUAAUUUCAGAUUUUGUUGAGGGGAAAAUCUGGAGUGCCAUGUGGGUGGCCCAGAUUAAAGGAAAUGAGGAAUGGAUGGUGGAGGUGUAAAGGAAAGAAGAUAAAAGAAAAAUGAGAGGAAAUGUGUGACUAAUAGGGAGAUGAGAGAGUUAGGAUGGCCCAAUUAGAAACAAACGAAAGGAGGAAAAAGGAGAGAAGAGGGGAGCAGGGGAUCCCUUCAACCCGGUUCCACUUUCCGACCCGACCCGAUCCUUUUCAUCUUUUCCGGUGGUUUUUCGUCAGUUUUUCCGGCGAACCACGUUAUCUAACCCCGUUGAAAAUGUUCCACGACCUUCCCUCUACCAUUACAACCCAAAAUUGUAGAAAUUUAGCCAUGAAAGUAUGAAAACCGCACCGGUGGGUGCGGGAAACCUUUGUCGUCGAUUCUCCCAUUAUUGAAACGAUUUUCACCAAUUAUCACCACCUACAGCAUCCUCUUGAGGUCUGGAAUAAAGCCCAAACAAGUUUUGGGGCGUUGGAGUUCGUUUAAGGUCGAAUUGAGCACACCCAAAUUCAAGGGUUCCGUACCGUUCAUGGUGAUUUGAGGUGUUUCUCGGCCAAAUUGGCCUUAGUCACAAGUAUGAAAGUUGCUCCACUCGUUGAGAUCUUCAUUUAUGUGAAAUUUGAGAAUUUUUUGAAAUAUUUGGAUUUUCCAGCGAGUCGGGGUGGCGGACCGCCACCGGCAGCAGCGCAUGGCCAGUGGUCCACCAAUGUCAUUUUACGUUAAAUUGAUAUCUUGAUUUUAGAUUUGAUGUCUAUAUGUUAUGACUUGAUUAUGUGAACCUAGUUUGAUUAAGGUGCGUUAAUUGGUAAAAAUAUGAAACGACGAUCCGACCGUGGGAUCGUCACCAAACUUUAAUAUGUUAUAGUACAUAAUAUUUGAGAAUCAUAGGGACUGACAGAUAGGAAAUCCGAGAUACAGAUCUUCCCGAAAUGGAAUUGUAAGUUUGAAGAAUAAACGUUAACCGCCACUUUGUUUUGACUAUUGGUGGAGAUCCAACCGUUGGAUCAUAAUGAAAUUUUAGGAUGAUGUUUUAGAAGCAUAAUGUGGAUCUUUGGAAGUUACUGAUCGGAAAUCCGAGGAGUGAAUCUUCCGAAUUGAAUUACGUAGGGUUGUGGACCUUACCGUCGAUCGUUGACCGAUGAUCGACUUUUGGUCAAUGGGGCUUAAAUCAAUCUAAAACGUUUUUAGGGAUGUGUUUUACGUAAAUUACAUGAUCUAUUGAUAAGAAUUAUGAGAUGUGGUUUGAUAAUUGUCCUAGGUGCCGAUCGUUAGGAACGCUUCGAUGGUUAUGCUAGGAAAUUGUAGCACAGACUCCUUGUGAGUGAAUCUUUUCCUUCUUAUCAUAUAUAUAUAUAUAUAUAUAUAUAUAUAUAUAUGAUUGACAAUUCCACAAACGUUUAUAAAUUGAUUAUUGCAUAUAACUACUGUGAAUACUUUGAAGUACUUAUGCGAACUACGAAUGGCUUGAUCCGUGUUUAGGGUACGUAGGCAGUCUAACAAGACGUUAGAUGUAGUCAUACAAUAAUUGAGAUUAAACAAUUGAGAUAAAGCCUUGUUUGGGGAACUGGGCAAGGUGAAGGAAUUUGGUAAAAAGGUGAGAUUUAACCUUAUGAAUUGGUGAUUAAAUGUUGGUCAUAAAUCAAUGUGUAAAGAAUCAAGAAUUUGAAGUAAGGAAACGUAAGUAAUGAUAAUUAAUUAAACUAGUGUCUAGUUGGGCUUGUCACCUAUAAUUAUCCCCGAAAAUGAAUAAUUCGGGAGUAGGGCGUUACAGCUUCUGCAUUUUUAUGCCACAUUAUAUAUAUAUAUAUAAUUGGAAAUGCUAUAACAUGGUUGAGUAUCAGAUUUCAUCAUGGUUUAUCUAUAUGUAUAUUACCUGCACACAAUUAUUAUGAACGCGUUGAAGUGCAAAGGUGAAUGCACGACACCCAGGUAAGUUCAGGUGAGUUUAUGGUAUUAGUUGAAAUGAUGGGGUUAUGGUAUGACUACAUGUAUGUUUAGGUUGCAAUGAUAGGCAACUCCAACACUGUCGUACAGGUUGCCCAUGAAUUGUACAUGUUACAAUAGAUACAGUUAGAGCUCAUAAACCUACACCCCGGUGUUAGUACUCCCGCUCGUGGCCAGGGCACAGUCCUUCACGUGAUGUUCACCUCCCGCACCUUACGCUCACCUUGGAUCCAAGGUAGGUGCACAAUCAUGUCGUACCACUAUAGGUGGUUCCGACUCGUAGAUGACCCGCGAUUAUUUGCACAGUCUUCACGUGAUUGUAGCACUUGAGCGUAUUUAUUUACACCCAGUUCUAUUGUACAGACCACUUUAGGUGGUUCCGACUCGUAUGCAGGUAUACUUAUUAAGCUAUGGAUAAGUCGUACAGGUCACUAGAAGUGACUCCGACUUAUGAGCUAGCAUAUGUGAUGAGCUAGCAUAUGUGAUGAGAUAAGUGAUGAGUUAGUAUAUGUAAUGAGAUAUGUGAUGAGCUAGCAUAUGUGAUGAGAUAUGUGAUGAGCUAGCAUAUGUGAUGAGAUAUGUGAUGAGCUAGCAUAUGUGAUGAGUUAGCAUAUGUGAUGAGCUAGCAUAUGUGAUGAGAUAUGGGUAAGUCGUACAUGUCACUAUAGGUGACUUCGACUUGCGUGCUAGUAUGGGUUAUUAAUCACAUGAUUAUUGAUAUUACUGAUGAGAUGCUGUGUUGUGGUAUAUUUAUGAUCUUUCUGGAAACUAUGCAAGUGUUGUAACGAGGGGUUAUAAUGAGGUGUUGUAACGAGGGGUUAUAAUGUUUUAUAUGGUUUCUGUUAAAAUUUUAUUUCUAGGGUCACUCACCCUUAUUUUGUUUUCACCCUCUAGGUUUUAUUAGCUGAGCUUUCUUAUCGUCGAAGAUUCGUGGCGAUUCUUAGUAUUGGAGAUUAUUUCGAGAGUACGAUUCUUAAUUCACUUUACUGUACUUGCUUAAGCUGUAACGUCACGUGUGAAGUGGGUUCAUUUCCGCUUACCAGCGCAUUCUGGUAUUUAGGCACUCUUAGGUUUAAAUUUAUUCACAUUUUUCCACAUCAUCAAACUUUAUGGCUUUGUCACUCUUUAGGUGUCGGCCAGCACAGCUCGAUUUGGAGUCCUAGUGGACAUUCCGGGUCGGGGUGUGUCACAAAUGAAGAGGAUGGUUGAACUUGUUAAGUUUCUUAAGUGUGUCUACUUGAAGUGUGUUGCUAAUAAAUAUUUUGUUGUAGGCAUAAUUUACUGAACAAUUAUGGAGGCAGAGAGAGAGAGAGGGAAUAUGCGGCAUAGAGAGAGAAGAGAGAGAUGUGUAAUUGUGAGGUGUGUUCUAUUCCACCCCAUUGUACCUUUAUUAUAUUAGUAGGGAAAGUUAAUUCCUUACCCUUUUAGGAUUACAACUCUAAUAGGAAAAUAUCUAGUCUAAGAGAUAUGAUAGAAUCUCAUAAGGAUAUCCUAGAUAUGUUAGGAUUUACACAAUCAUAUUCCUAUUCCAAUAAGACUGCAACACAUUUGUAUUUUUUUAGAAUUUUUUUGAUAAUUUGUUGGUAUUCUCAAUUUUUGUUAACAUUGAAAAUAUAACGGUUCAGAUGAAAAACCUUUGGAAAUCCAACAGCUUGCAAGACGUUGGGCUGUGCUGAAGGAAGCUGGGCUGUCACGUGGAUGGGGCCCUCCCUCUCCCUCUUGUUGAUUCAAAGGGCGCAGGCCCGUGCAACAAUUGGCGAGGCAGCCCAUAGAGAUCCUGCGAUUCACCCAUUCGCCAUUUUUUCCACCGCUGGAGCACCAAAAUUCGGUCAAAAGGCAGGGGUAUCAAUGGCAAGGGCAAUUUGGCUUCCGCUGGAGGUGCUCUUUGUCGACUUUGUUUUUUCUCUCAUUUUAGCUUUUGCAGUAAUAUUGAAGUAAUCACUCCAAUUUUAUCCAAACUUUUGUUGUCCGUCAAUUUUUAUCAAAACUAUUGGUUAAUUUACAUAUUCAGACUAACCUUCUCAUUAUUUUUAGUAUUUUUAUCAUAAAUAAUAUCUGAAAUAGUCACAUUUUAUUCAACAACCACUCAAUUAAAAAUUAAUUAGUGUUGUUUCUAAACCAUUACAUCAAGCUUUUGUAGAUACACAUCAAUAUUGCAGCGAUCCGAGGCAUUGUUUUAGUGACGGUAGUACUUUCUACUCCUUGGAUUUGGUGAAUCGGAAAAGAGAAGAGUUACGAGUAAAAGUCCCUCGCAUUGUUUUGGGGAGAUGAAGAUGAUGAUCUUUUGUUUUUGUUUUUUAAUGAUUAAUCCACGCAGCAACAUAUAAUUAAAUUGUUGGGAUCUACUCAAGUUCCAUAUCACACACUAACAUAAAAUUUGACAAACGAAACGAAAUAUGUGUGUAGACAUCGAAAUUUCGUAAAUAAAUGUUGACCGAUAAAUCAAAGUGUCAACGCUCAUGUAUUACAUAAAUUUUACACGUAGCGUGUGACUCAACGAAAAUUGAAAUGAGUUGGAAAAGUCAUCAAAUAGGACACGUGUCAACACCUGGCAGAAACGACUUAUUUCAUCUGGGAUAUUAUAUUCAAAAUUAGCCAUUGGAAAAUUCUAUAAAUACAAGCCCAUUUCAUUCAUUUAAGGAGAGGAAUUCAUAUUACACCUUGAAGCUCUGAAGCUCUGAAACUCCGAAGCUCUCAAGCAUCCAGGUUCCCGAAGAAUCAAGAAAGUGUUCUUCGUUCUUCGUUCAUCGUUCUUCCAAGAUCAAGCCUCGACGGCCCUUGGAUCAACAAUCAUCCACCUUCAAGAUCAAGCCCCGACGGCCCUUGAAGAAAGCGUUCUUCGUUCUUCGUUCAUCGUUCUUCCAAGAUCAAGCCCCGACGGCCCUCGGAUCAACAAUCAUCCACCUUCAAGAUCAAGCCCCAAAGGCCCUUGAAGAACUUCCACCAAUUCAAGAUCAAGCCCCGACGGCCCUUGAAGAAAGCACCAUCGUUCAUCAUCCGUUCAUCCAAGAUCAAGCCCCAACGGCCCUUUAGAUCAACAACGUCGACAAAUCCACACAUCCAACCGUUCUUCAAGAUCAAGCCCAAAAGCCCUUGAAGAUCCGUUCAUCACUGUUCUUCAAGAUCAAGCCCAAAAGCCCUUGGAGAUCCGUUCAUCACUAUUCUUCAAAGAUCAAGCCCAAAAGCCCCUUUGAAGAUCCGCUCAAAUCCACCUUCAAGAUCAAGUCCACGGCCCUUGAAGAACGUUCAUCCUUAGAUCAAGCCCAACGCCCCUUUGGAUCAAUCGCACAUCCACAAAUCAACACCUUACGGAGAUCGAAUCAGAGGAUCAAAAUAGAGAGAGAUUGUAACCCAAAAUCAUCAAAUACAAAUAUUUGUUUGUGCGCGUUGUUCUUGUCUCUUUCGUUUCAGGAAUUUUCCGUGUUCACAAUGUGCUCUUGAAAUCAAAAUGAGGGCACUGCUCCAAGAACAAGAAGGGCACCUUGUCGAGGUCGCCAUCCGCCGUGAGGGAAAACCGGAAGAAGUUGGACAACAAUGAUAACAUCAAUUUGCGGCACCCAUAUCGGGACAUCACACUGUGAAAUAAAUAUUGAAAUAAAUACUCAAAACUCCUGGAAAGUCCUCGAGACAACAAACUUUCAUCUCCUUCAAACAUUUCAUUUUACUAAGUUUUAUCUUUGAAGGGAGGGAAAAAAAGAGAAGAGAGAAUCCUACUCCUUAUUCCUGAAUAUAUUCAAGAAUAGCUAUUGAAUAAAGAGAGAAUGGAGGGUGAUCGAAAGAGGAGGGAAGAGAAUUCUAGUUCCAAACAUAAAAAGGACCACAACUUUUAAAUUAUCAGCACAAUCAUCACCUAAUUGAAGAGACCAUUCACUGUGAAACAUAUUGUCAAUCAGUCUAUCUAUAUCUAUUUAUAUACCAUAUUUUUAGAGUAAGAUUCUCUCACCUCCUAUUACCAUCCCCUUCCAUCCUUUCAUCUCAUACUCUUUUUUUGUUGUCUUAUUCUCUAUAUAAAAAAAUUCAAAACAAGAUGUAUACGUGACGUAAUCGUAACCGUUUAAAUAAGAGGGGAUAGAAGAGAAGAGAGAUUAGGAGAAGGGAGAAUCCUACUCCCACAUUUUUCUUCUUCAUAAACAAAAGAGAGGUUCUAGAUUACUUGACUCUAUGCCUCAUUUUUUUCAUCAAGUAUUUGUGAUAAGUGGGUUCAUUUUCAAGUAUUUUAGUUUUUUUGUCAAAAUUGAGAAAACUGAAAAUCAAACAUUAAUAUGAAAAAUUAAAAAAUCAACAUAUAAUUAUUUAGAAAUCGCAAUAGAAAAGAAAAAAAAUGGAGGUUUGUGAUGAAAAAUCUUUUAUACUAAGUAAUUUAGUAUCCUUAUGCAUGAAGAUAAAUCAAUUUGUUCGUUACGGUCAUACUCUUUUUUGAAUUUUUGAACACAUUCUCCAUAGGGCCUUCUUAUAUGUUCCUUCUCCAAGCUCGGGUUAUGGAAGAAGUAAAAGAAGGAAUCGAAAAGAAAGUAUUGGUAACAACCGAUUUCAUUACGAGACAACUCUUGAUAUUCAUAUCAAUCUAUUAUGUACCUUUGCAUCUAGCAUUAGACAAUAAUUGUCAUAGCUUUACCAUAUUUUUUUGUUUCAUUUCUUCUGAAACAAUCUCACACACUUUUUUAUUAUGUGUCUACUACUAGGAAUUCAAUACGUAAUCUUAGCAUUCAAUAGUUAUUCCUAAAUAAUUUCAAUUUUCAAAUGAUCAACCAUUUCAUUUUACCAAGUUCAAUCAAUGUUAGUCAGAUUAGUCAACAUUUAUAUAUUUUGAUGCAACAACAAGAUGUUAUUUGUAACAAGUGAUUUUGUUAGUUGGUUAAUUGGUCACAAGUUAAUGUUCGGUUCAGUUUAGUUUUUCUCUCGAUUUUUUGUGAUUCGGUUUUUUCAAUUCUCUUUAGGGUCGGUUCGGUUUUGUUUUUUUAUUUAUACUUGAAUUUUAUUUUAAUUUAUUUUAAUUUAUUUUAUUUUAAAUCUGGAAACACCAAGAACAACACAAGCACAUAGUCAAUCAAACAACUAUCCUUCUCCACAAAUCAUAGUAAUAAUUACAUUCAUUGAGCUGAAAUGCAAAUAACUAACAAACUCACAAAAAUCAAAUAAAAACUACAAAUUGCUUACUCUUUUUCUUUGGGUUUCACUCGAAAAGUGUCGGUAAAAUUUAGGGUUUGCAAGAACGCAACUGAAAUCUAAAACGGAGGCCUUGUGGCCUAUGGGUUGCUAUUGAGUUCCAGUACAGAGAACCUUGCUUAAUCUCGAUCACGGUACAAAGUAUCGAGUACCUUUAGCACUGUAUUUUGGUAUGAUUGGUAGAACCAAAUUAAAAGCUAACAUCAACAACAACUACCAGAGACAAAAGCUCUUAUCAAUGCUUUGGAAACAUUUAUGUAUCUCCAAGUGUAAUGAUAUAAUUGGUUGGAAACUUGUGAUUUCGUAUCAAAUCAAUAAAAAGUUACAAUAUUGACAAUAUAUUAGCAAUUUUUAUGUUAAUUAUGAACAAGUCAAUCAUGUAGAACCAAAUUAAAAGCUAACAUCAACAACAACUACCAUAGACAAAAGCUCUAAUCAAUGCUUAGGAAACACAGUCCUGUAUCUCUAGGUGUAUUGAUAUAAUUGGUUGGAAAUUUAAAAGAAAAAUGGUGAUUUUGUAUAAAAUUGAUAAAAAGUUACAAUAUUGACAAUAUAUUUGACACACCCCGACCAAGAUCAAGGCAUGCUGGCCGUCACAUGAGAGUGACGUAACCAUGUGCACAGUGCGGAAGCAAUAAUGAUAAGAAAUAUAUGAAUAAUUAAAAACCGAAUCUACUAGAGUGCACUACUAAACAGGAAGUAUUAGGAGUAAGAUACAAAAGUAAAUACUCCUAAUCAGAGCAUAGAAAGUCUAGGUGCAAUCCAGUAGGACAAGUACUAAUUAUACAGUAUAAAAUGUCUUACAAUUAUUUAGAUAGGUCAGAACCGCCGAAGUCCUCACACCCAACAACUGCAAACUUACUUAAAACCUGAAGGGGCGCAAAAUAGAAAACGUGAGUGGGAAAAAACAAAUGUUUUACAAAACCAUUUCAUUUAUCAAUAUAUCUAACCCCUCGCUGUAAACAUGUAUAAUUUUUCCCAGAAUCAAGAUAUAAGCAUAUACAUAAAUAUAUAUAUAAAUAUAUCAAUUCAAAUCAUGCUUCACAUAAUCAUAUUCAUAUGUAUGUCAUGCCAAGAUAUAACAGAGUAAGCAACUCAGGUAAGAGUAAUUUCAUAGAAAUAUAACAUGUUAGCCGGAACCCCUGUAGUAGUCUGUACGGCUGAAUUCAUAGCUCAAAAGUCAAUCUAGCCGAAGUCACUACAAUGACCUAUACGGCAAUAUACUGCACAAGAGUCGGAACCAAAUGAAAAGAUCUGUACGACAAUAAUGGGUGUUGUUGAUGCACAAAAUCAGUGAGGACUUUGGUACAACAGAAAGUGUUAAGUUUGUGACAUUCUCUAGAUUACUCCGAUCACUAGUGUGGAUAAGUAUGUAAAUGGAUAAAGACAGGGAAGCAAACACAAGAUGUACGUGGUUCACCCAGAUUGGCUACGUCCAUGGAGUAAAUGAGUUCUUAUUAAUUGUGAAGGGUUUACACAAGUAUAUAGGUUCAAGCUCUCCUUUAGUGAGUACUAGUGAAUGAUUUAGUACAAAUGACAUUAGGAAAUAUUGUGAGAGAAUGAUCUCUAUUUAUAGAAGAGAGUUUCUAGUUUCAUUCUGACAUUGACACGUGUCAUGUUGUGAUUGGCUUCUGAUGUUGACAUGUGUUGCACUAUGAUUGGCUUUAGAUGUCAACAUGUGUCGCGUUGUGAUUGGCCUCCUGGUUUGAGGGAAACUCUUCUGGCUCCUUGACGGUAUAACGUUGAUCGAUGCUCAGUAGUUUCGGGAUUGGUCAAGUAUGGUACAAACAGGUGUAAUAUAAUCAUACUCAAUACUACUCUCACAUAAUAGCUGGGUGAUAAAUCGCUAGUCACCUAUGAGUCAGAACGAUAAUAAAGGUCUGUACGAAGACUGUGCACCUAAAUUGGAUCCAAUAUGACCAUAUGGUGCGGGAUGUGACAUUAUAUACAGGCUUGUGCCAUCACUGGCGGAGCUACACCCACGGCUACAGUAGGCUGUAGCCUAGGGAGGAUUUUAACAAACUGCUGGUAUAAUAGUUUAUAUAUGAGUUUGUUGUUGCUUAUUGUAUGUAUAAUAGCCCACAUAAAUCCUGCCAAAAUUAUUAGUUAAUGUGUUUCUUAAUUUAUAAAUAAUACUUUUAUUACCUUUUAUUAUUUUAUUAUUUUUAGGCUAAAAGUAAAAAUGGUAAAUUAAUACAUAAUUAGGUUUCUCCUAUUCCCCAUGCUUUUUACCUAUUCGUUCAAAACAAAAAAAUUAAACCCUCUACCCUAAGAAAAGAAAAACUAUGAAUCACCAUCAAAUUAUUUUCUAAUGAAAUUCAACACUAGAUAUGCUCUUCAUGUCUUCAUUUAACCUAUUUCUUGAUUCAAUUGUUCAUUCCAUAUAUCUACAGCACGACUUGAAUUGGUAUCCCCUAACCUUUUUUCUUUUGGGUACUUGUUAUCAACAAAAGUGAUAAUAUUUGUUCUCUUUCUAUUGCUUUUUUGUAUGCAUGUUUUAUUUGUGUAAAAAUUAGUUGGAAAGUAAUUAAUAAACUUGUUUGGAUUAUUAGUACUUCAUGUUCCUACUUUUAUGUAGAUUACUAUAUAAUUUUAUGUAGGCAAAAAAAAAAUUCAUAAGAUUAUAUGCUAAUGAUUUUAGUUAGCCCACCCAAGAAAAAUUUUCUGGCUCCGCUAUUAUGUGCCAUAACUCUGGCAAAAUCACAAUCACCCUAAGUGCAGUUUUAUGAGUUCAACGUUAUUCUAUCACAUAUCACAUCAUCGAUAAUUCACAUAACCAAACAUAACUCACAUGAGCUUACCUGAGCGUCCACAGUACCAUAAUUAUAUAUAAUGCAUCAUAUACGAAAUAUAAAUUCAUAUGCAUGGCAUUUAAGGUAUACUUUCAUUUAAACACAUAUUUCUGGGAAAAUAUCAAGUAUAUAAAUAUAUACUGAAAACCAAAAGCCCACUCAUUGGUAUGUCGAAGGGUCGUAGCCCCCGAGUCGCCUUUGAAUACUCUCGUCCUCGUGAUAAGUCUCACCUAUAUGCGAAUUAACUAUAAAAACGUUAUUUUAGAGCACAUACAAAAAAUUAGCUAAUAACUCUCAUACAAUGCUCAAUUUUUGUAUUUGAAUAUAUCACAGUGACCUACACAACCUCAAGAUCAUCCCUAAAUUUUUACAAUAUUUUUCUGACCCCUCACGCGCUGCCACGCACCGGCAAGGGCAACGCCUUACUCGCCCCCACGCGCGGCCACGUGACAAGCAUACUGAUGGCGUCAAUCAACAUCAUCAGGAAUAUUCUAGGGAAUAUUCUGUUAAAACCCAAUGGUAACUGUUAAAGAUGACUGACGGCAUGAGCAUAUUCUGUCAACCUUGACGGAAUAUACUCCUUUCUUCUCCGAUGAGUCGUCGGUCGCCGGCGACUUCGCCGAUUUCUUGGUAAAACUUUAAAUCGCUUAUUCUUCUUCGUUUCUUCGCCAUUUUUCAUGAAAUUGGUACCAAAAUGAAGCUAAUAACAUGUAGAAUCACUUUGUAUAAGUUUCAAGGCUUAAAAUCUACUAGUUUUUCCCUGAGAAAGCUCGAUAGUUCGGCUUACCUAGAUAUGCGUCGAUCUCAGCCCUCCGACGUCCAAUUCCUUCCAACGAAGUACCCCAAGACUCGUGAGGACCUCCUUAAGCUUCCUAUAAGCUUCAAAUUCCCUGAAACACAAGAUUUUACGUAUGCAUGAACAAUGCACAAAGUCGGAGCUAGGGUUUCCACGUGAAAUCGAAGGUUUCCUUACCUGAAAAUGGUUCCUUUGAAUUCGUAUGGUUCUCACGAACACAAUGGUGAUCUUAAAACCUUCGAUCUACAAGGUUUAAGAGGGUUUCUGGGUUGGUCCGUACGAAGAAGGGAGAGAGAGAAUGAGAAUCUGCGAGAGAGAGGGCACGGGAAGGAAAGAGAAAUAAGAUAGGUGUGUGUAUGGUCCAAAAGCCACCAAUCAAAACUAAGAAAAGUCUUAGUUGUAAUUGGGUCACCAAUCUAAAACAAUUUAACCCAAUAAUAACUUACACACAUCAUUUAACAUCCGAGGGUAAUUCCGUCAUUCUACGUCAUCGAGAAUAAUCUUCCGGGACGGGCUGUGACAAUAUCAGCAAUAUUUAUGUUAAUUAUGAAUAGGUCAAUCAUGUAUUUAAUACUUAAAUGUAUUUAAAAUAAACACCUUAUCAAUGUUUUCUGAACUGUGCUCGAUUUUUCUCCUUCGCUUUGGUUCUGUCCCAUUGGAUUUUUCAAGCAAGAUUUUAUCAAGGCAACUAUCAUUAACUGUGAACAUAAUUUAUCAUUGAGACACGAACAUCCAAGGGGGAGUGUCGUGGAAAAAAAUGUAGAUAUCUUUAUACGUUGUAUGGUAGUAAACCAUCAUAAACACCAUAAAUAUGUAGAAACGCCCUUGCGGUACCUUUGAAUGAUAACUCAUGUAUUUGUUGCCCUAUGUAAAGAUGGCUAAUGAUAAUGGAAGACUAAUUUUCUCAUCCCAAUCUCUCCUGUCUCUCUUAUUCUCUUUUCUCUAUAUUUUAUUUCCAACAAGUUGUGUUUUUUUUUUAGUAUUGUUAAGCAACCCAAUAGAUUUUAAUCGUAGUCUUUGUUUUUUUUCUUUUAUAUUUUUAAUCAAUUUCAGUUGCUUAUCAGUUCUAGCUAAUUGAGCUCUUUUACAGCAAUUUUUUUCUUUAAAUAAAAUUAUUAUUAUUAAAAAGAGUGAGAAAAUUCGAAAUUGUUACAAUAAUUUAAAAAAAAUAGGAGUUUCAAAUCAUGAAGGUAGAGGGAGUUAACAACAUUUUAGGGGGGGGUGUAGUCAAACUAGGAUUUUGAAGGAUUUUAAAAGUGAUAGAUUUGAUAGGAUUUAAGAUGAUUAAAGACUCUUACAAAAUUCAUAUGGAUUUUAAAGAAUAUGAAUGGAUUGCGGUGGAUUGUGGGGGAAGGAUUUGAAAUCCUAGGGGGUGAGGUUUGAUUCUUUUUAGUUUUGGUUAUAUAUGGUAUGCUUUCAAAUCCCAGAAAAUCCACAACUUUUUAAAAUCCUUUAAAAUCUUAAUUUUUUUAAUACACUUAGAUUUGGAUGGAUUCUAAAAUCCUUUAAAAUCUUUUAAUUGACUACACCUAGAUUUGAAUGGAUUCUAAAAUCUUUUAAUUGACUACACCUAGAUUUUAAUGGAUUCUAAAAUCCUUUAAAAUCUUUUAAUUGACUACACUAUGAUUUUAAAGUCUUUAAAAUCCUCUCAAAUCCAAGUUUGACUACACCCCCUAAAGAUUUUAAGGAAAACUAAUGAAAAUGGCUUGAAAACUUUGAGUUUUAACUAGGGGUGGGCAAACGGGUACAGGAACCGCGGGUAGGGGUGGGUAAUUCAAGUUCGGGGCAGGUAUGGGACAUGUCCAAUAUUUCUAAACACAAAACGGGGCGAGGCUGUUCGGGUAUAUGAAAUUAUCGGGGCGGGGCGGGUCUUAAAAUAGAAGGGAACGGGCCCCCAGCCUGACCCGUUUCUUUUCCUCAUCCCUAGUCUUCUCUAUCUCUCUUCCCCGACACUUUUCAUUUCACUCAAACCCGGCCCAUUUCUUUUCCUCAUCAGUCAUCCCUAGUCUUUUCAAUCUCUCUUCCCUAACUCCUUUCAUUUCACUCGUACCUCGAGACCUCCUCUUAACUCGCUCCCAGCCUCCCACCGUCCUAGCUCCGUACCUCGCCAUCAUCAUCGUCAGACCUCCAUCUCUCCUGAUUUACUCAUGUCUUCCUCGCUGCGUCCGCCGCCAUGUCUCUCUUUCUGUGACGAACUUAAAGGGACGGACGAAGUUGAACAACUCGAAACGACGCCUCUUCUGUCUGAAUUAGACCCAUAUUUGCAGCGCACGACUCUGCUCAUAGUCCUCUUCGGUUUUAAGGUAUUACGUUUUAGAGAUUUAGGAUUGAAAAUUAAAUUAGGGUUUUCUAGAUUUAGGGAUUUUGUUGGGUUCUUGAACCUUGACCUCUGUUAUGUUCCAAUUUCAAAUAUAUAUUGAAUUGAAUUUGAAUCGACUGUGUUUGAAACUUCUGUUGAAUUAAAUUGAAUUUGAGCAGGAGAAGAGGCAGAUGUGGGUUGGGCAAUGUCGAAUCUCAUUGUGGGUGGUGAGGUGGGCAUGGCGGGCGACAAUAUUGACUGGCAAUGGUACGGGCGGUGCUAUUAAGUUGCAGAAGAAUACGAAGGAGGGGGUGUGGGCAUGGGUGGAUAUCGCAAGCUCAAUUGAAUUUUUUCUGGUUUUGUUUGUGAUUAAUUGCUUGUAUAUGAUAGUUAUUGAUGGAUCUUGACAUGCCCAUUUAAUUGUUAUUGGCAAUGCUAGUUUGAUUGUAACAAAUUCAAACCGAUUGAAUUGUAUCCCAGAAAAAAAAAUCAAUAAAGGAACUGAGGACCCGGCCCGAACCAGCCCAUUUCAACCGGGCCAGGUUAGGUUCGGUUCUUAUAUUAGAAAAUGUUGUUCCCGGCCCGUUUCUCUUAAGCCCGGAUCCAGUCCGAUCACUUCGAAAUUGGCCCCAACCCGGCCCGGGCCCACCUCUAGUUUUAACGAUAAGGACAAAAUAAAGGGUAAAGUGAAUAGUACCAAGUUUGACUUUUUAGUGUAAAAAUGUAAUUUUUCGUUAAAAUAAGAUUUUAAUGGAUUCUAAAAUCCUUAAUUAAGAAAUUAGGCUUCAACCCAACUCAUCUUUGCAACGCCGGUUCCACUUCACAUCAACAGGCAAUGUUUUCUCCUCAACAAAUAGUAUUCUUUUAUGAGACAAAGACUAAUGAGGGUGAUAUAUAUAAUUAAUAAUAAUACUUGUGUUCCCUUUGUGAGUGAAUGCACUUAUUUUACCAUUCUCUAAUAAUGUAUCUUUAUUAUAUAAAUUUAUAUCAUGUGGAUAUCUUCCUAUAAAAAAGUUAUUCAAAUUGGAAAUCCUUACGUCAUCAAAAUAUAUAAAAAAAUGGACGAUCUCAUCGUAAAUAUGUUAGUUACUCACACUAUAACUUUGUAUAUUCCCUCACGUAGGAAACGCAAUAAUUAUCCUCUAAUUAAUUCUUCUUGAGAGUAGAAUUUUUAUUGUUGGUUUUUCGCAACCUUCAGACCUAAAGCUGAUAUGGACCUCUCAUUGUUUUUUGGGUUGCCGUUCUUAUUUUGCUUGGUCCUUUUACCUUUUCUAUAGUUGUUUAUCUAGUUCUUUUGAGCCUCGUACUAAUUUUUAAUGUAAUGAAAAUUAUCUUCGUGAUAAAAAAAAAAAUCAUUAGUCCUCGUAUGAACAUGCGAUGUAACACACUUUCAUGGAACAACAGAUGAUAAAGACGAUAUCCAAAUUUUCUCUGUGUUAUGUGGACUUUCCCAACCAAAUAAAUAAUAACCAAUAAACAAAUAAAUAAGAGUUUAACUUCAAACAUUGAGAAGCGAAAUUCCAACACUACGAGCCUAACUUUUGUCUUCAUCAUCAUCAUAGACUAGUCUCCUAUCCAUCAACUCCUACAUCAAUUUUUUUUUUUACUAGAUUGUAGCUCACUUUCAAAAGAGUUACGUAAAGUAUUUAAGCACCAUAAAAGAAAAUUAAACGACAACGAUUGACAUAAUAUUAGUAGUAUCAUGGUCUAAAAUAUUCAUAAUAUCUUGAUAUUUUUAUUGAAAUUUUCGUGUUUUUAGACUACCUAUAUUUUCAAUAUCAUCGAUAUUUUAAACCUUGCUAAGUCACUCAUGUAUCUUACCAUGCAAUGUAUAAAGUGUAAAAUAUUGUACUAAUUCAUUAUAUAUAAAUGAUUAUAGUGUGUUUAAACUUCUUUCAUUAAUUACUACAUAUUUUCUACACUCACAAUGUUUGCCAGCUCGCUAUAUAAUCAACUUAAAUCAAUUAUAUCUAUCAUGUAAUGCAUUUCCUUCCAAUUUUUUGUGAUAAACUAAUAGAUAAUUGACUAAAUAAACAUCCUGCAAAGUUUCAAUAAAAAUUUCCAAGUUUUUCUUACAAUUUCCGUAGUUUUUAUUCAAUUUUUAUCGAUAUCGAUAAUAUCCCGAUAUUUCCAUCGAAAUUUCCGUAUUUUUAGACUACUGAUAUUUCCGAUAUCAUCGAUAUUUUAUACCUUGGUAGUUAUACAUUUUAUCGGCCUCAUUUUUAUGCAACUUAUACAUUAAAUUAUUGUCAAAAUGUACAUAUAAAGUAGCUGAUCAACGAUGAGAUUUUAGGCAACCAUUUUCUUCUACGACGUCAAAGGUUGUAGAGGUGGCCAUGUGCACUACAUGCGUAAAUCAACUAGGGACUUGGAUCCUCUCUUAAGCCCAAGGAGAGGAUCCUCCUAACCAAAUGACUUGGAUUGUUGGAUGAAAAUCUAACGAUUACAAACAGAUGAUCUCUUUAAAGUUAUAAUAUUUAUUACCGUUGAAUUUUCAUCAAACGGUCAAAUAUCAUUGGUCAAAAGGGUCCUCUCAUUGGGCUCAGAGAGGACCCAAGUGCAUCAACCAGAACUAUUGCUAUUAUAACAAUUCAUGAAAUCAAUUAAACAAUAAUUUUCCUUCUGGCAGGCAUGUUAGUUAUUUCUUAUUUGGCCAAUUGCCUAGUGGAUUUGGUAGAUUUAACCUCUCCACCACAAACACAUUUAAAAAUUUCCAGAAAUCCGUAACGUAAAAUUUAAAAAUAAAUAUUAAUAACAGCAAGUUCUUUUCACCGACCGUGACCGAGAUCUGUCACAUAUCCAAAAUGUCACCUCCUUAUCGCAAAAACCAAAUUUGACUUGGGAUAAAUACCGUGUACAAAUUAAACGCGUUUCUCUAGCUUUUGCGUAAAGAGGCAACCCAACACUAAACUAGGAAAACGUUGGGUUGACAAAGAUACCAUGAAGAAUAAAGGGGUUAUGCAAUCCACUUUGCAAGAUAAUCAAAGUUUCCCGUUGUAGACUUGUCUUAACCCAACACUAAACUAAGAAAACGUUGCUUUCCCGUUGUAACAUGAAACAACAUUAAACAACAUUAAACAAUAUUAAAUAACAUUAAAUAACAUAAAAAUUAUACAACAUAAAAAAAACCAUUUAACAACAUAAAACUUAAAAUGCGUACUUCUUGCUUCUUGUGGCCUAAAGAUGUGCAACAAGAUCUUGAUGUAGGUACUUGUUUGUGGCACGAAAACGUAUCAUCCUAGCCGUUGGAUUUGAAUUUUUUUUGUUUUCGGCCAAAAAAUUUUAAAUUUAAAAGUUGAAGAUGGUGAGAAAUAUGAUCCUACACUGUUCAUUAAAAUAUUAAUUUCUUGAAUGACCAAAAGGCUAAAACAAGCCAUCCUUCGGUUGGAGAUGCCUAAGGAGAGACUAGAGAUAGAGAGUUUCCUAUAUAUGAUUUUCAUUAACAAGAUUGAAAUGAUUUCAGAGAGAAGAUCAAGUAUGGUUAUUUUUAUUUUGUAGAGUGUAGACAUUAUAACUAUACAUUCAUAAUAACAUGAGUAAUGUUAUAUUUAUCACAUUUGUACUCUUUCUCUGAUAAAGGUAGGGUUCAUCAACACAUGUGGGUUCUAUUUGCCCAUCAACACAUGCGGAUCUCAUUUUUAUUAGAAAAAUAGUACAAAUAUGGUACGGAAAAUAUGAUAAGAUCGCAAUUUUGUAAUAACAUAUAUACUCAACUAUUUAUAUACCGACCCAUCUCCUUUUAGUGUAGAUAAUAUCGUUUGUUAAAAAAAAUGUUGAACUUGUCAUAAUCAUUGAAUCCAUUUACCAUGAACAAACGGCAGUUUACUAAACUUGCCCUCAGAGUAUAUAUAAAAGGUGAAUCACAAUCUAUUGCAUUAAUAUAAGGAAACAAUUUAUAGGGUUUGACGGGUGACUUAAUAUGCUAUAUGGCACAAUGAAAAUUAAGUUCACACUUUAUCCCAAAUAAGGUGUUGCACCUUUAAUUUAUGGAUGCUGGUUUGACGUGUGACCGAAAUAAUCAAAUUGUAGCCAUUAAUCAUUUUACAAGUAAUAAUAUGUAGUUUUUACUGUUUACGAUUCACACAACAAUCUGCUAGGAAGUAGAAAAUGCAGUACUUGUCCCUCUCACAGAAGUCAUGAAUAAUUAUCAAAUUCAAAGAUAAAGAAAAACCACACAAUUUACAAGAGGAAAGAAAAUGAAGGGAUAAAGAAAGUAAGAAAGGAAUACCUCUAUGGGAGGACUCUUAUUUGCUUCAGAUGCCUACAAUAUUCAUCAUAUAAACACUGAUUAAGUAGUCAUCGAAAACCAAAACAAAUGUCGAACAUAGGGUGAAAAACAGAAAGAAUAACCGCAGCUCAUCAUACCAAUAGAGAUAGAACUGCCCGAUGCCCAAGUAUGACUGAAAAAUGGCAAUCCAAACAUGGCGCCUUCUAGCUCAUCAAACUGUCAAAACCUAGGUUCCACCAAAAAGAUACAAGUCACCUAGUUACUUGUAAAAUAAAAAUCUGUUUCAAAAUAGUGGAAAAUAUUAUUAACAUUGUUCAAAGUCCACAUUGUUGUACCUACCAAGAAACAAGAAGGAUUGUAUCUUAUCAUGAAAAAGAACAUAGGUACCUUUUCAAUUGUAAUUGUACAAAAAUGAGAGACCACUUCCGAACUUCUCUUGGAACUUCAAUCAAUUUCUGCCCACUUUUAAAUGCCUUGACAUACUUAAGCCUAUUUCUUUGAGCUUCAGUUUUGGCUUCUGAUGCCUUUAAAUUUCUUAAAGAUUCUUACCAAGUUUUACAAACUCACUUCUAUACAACCAUUUGUCAGUAUACAUACCAUUUUCUUUGAGCUUCAGUCUUUGCAACACCAAAACCCCCCAAAUAGACCCGGAAUUUUGCAAUGUGCAGGGAAUAUACAAAAAAAACCCUCCUAUCCAUCUAAAACGAAAUCAGAACCCAAACCACAAUCAAAAUCCGUAAAAUUAAUUUAGCCAACCCUAAAUCUAAUAAUUCUAACAAAUAUUAUAGUAUCAAUUGAGAGAGAAUUUGAGAAGAUACCUAGAGAUGAAAGGAAGAGCGUUUCCUCUGAUAGGGGUUCCGUGAAAGCAUCUGUUGACCAGAAAAGAAAAGGCAAAAAACCCCAAAUUACAUAUCAAGCAAUUAUAGAUAGAUCGAACCUUGAAAAUUGAAAUUUCAAACAAGAGAAAGGUUAUAAACUUACAACGAUCUGGGUGUUGGUUACUGGGUUUGGAUUUGGGUUUCUGAUAAGAGAGAGAAUCGUAUGAGGAACCGAUAGAGGAACUGCACCGGCAACAGAGAGCAACUGAUAUGGUGGAGAAUAGAGAUGGGCAAAAUAUCCCGGUUAUCCGCCCAUUUAAAGUUCACAGUUACGGUUAUGGUAAUUGAACGGUUAUGGGUACUACCCGUGGUUAUAACGGGUAUCUAUUGGUUAUGGGUAUUAUCCGCGGUUAUAACAGGUAUUCAUUUACCCAUUUAAUUUCAUAUAUGUAAAAUUUAUAAUAUUUUUAACAGUUAUAACGCGUUUUUGUAUUUGUUGCCAAACUUUUCGUAUACAAAAAAUUUGAAGCACAAGAAGCCAACAAGGAGAAAGAUCAAAGAGCUUACUUGAAGCUUAUGAUCUAUCCUGCGGUUAAUAGAAAGUACUGGUAUUAGUGUAGAAAAAUGUUUGUUUUUAGAAGCUUUAUUUUGUAAUCAUAUGAAUUAUAAUUAAAGACUUGCUUGGGUGUAGUAAAAAAAUAUCGUUUGUAAACUAUUAUUUCAAUUAUUAGAAUUGUAUGAUGACCUAAAUGAUUAAAAUAGAGAAAUGCAUGCUAAAAUGUAUUUAUAACAGUGUUUAAUUGUCAGAUUUUUUUUUUUUUUGUAAUUUUCAAGUUGUUAAAAAAAACAUGCAGAGAGGUGAAAAAAGGGAUUAAAAAAUGAUAAACGGGUUCAAAACGGGUAAACGGGUAAAUGAUUAUGGUUAAAUAGGUAAACGGUUAUGGGUAAAUGGGUACACGGUUAUGGGUAUGAGUAUAACCGUUUAUGCAAUUACCCAACGGGUAAACGGCUAUGUGGGUAUGAACAUAAAUGGUUAUGAGUAAAUAACCGCGGUUACCCGCCCGCUAUAACCAUUGCACAUCCCUAAUAGAGAACAUACGAGAAUAGCCGCUUGGAUGGUCAAUCCAAGAAGAGAAAAUCUUGCCACAAUCACGGUACUUGAAAAAAAAAACAAUUUUAAAGGAGGGAAACAAUCGCGCCUUUUUUUUAAUAGACUCUGUCGACGAUAUUCUUGACAAAUAGUCGGGUGAGCUUAUUUUUCACAACAUUUUAUUUAGGACUAGGUUCGGUUGGCAAAUCGUGUCAAAUUUCUUGUGCCAUUUGCCAGCCACAUAUACAUAAUUACCAAAAAUCAGUUACCGUUCGCCAACCAUCUUCUUGCGGUUGCCAAAAAUCGGUUCAACCAAAAUGAUUGGCUGGUUCGGUUGGUAAAUGGCACAACCGGUGGUUUCCACUUCUUCCUCGCUAUCUUCUAGUUGCAAGGGCUCAAUUUGAUUUUCAGAUUGGGAUGCUUGUUCGGUUGCAUUGUGUGGUUCAUUUUGGGUUAAUCCAUGUUGUGCACUAGCAAUUAAUUGGCUAGACUCCAUCAUCCUAAACAUAAGCAACACAUAUACAUUCAAAAUCAUAUAUAUGUACGUGUAUAUAUAGUAUCAGUAAUCAUCAUGUUAUCAAUUUUGUUAACAAUAUUUUCUAUAUUGAUUAUGGCAUGAAUCAUAUACAUAUACAUAUAUUUUUUAAACCCUAAAACUAAGGAGUUAUUUAUUUUCUAAGCCCUAAAAUUGAGGAGUCAAGCAUGUAAAAAAAUACUUAAAAUAUCUAAAUAGAAAAAGAAAAAAAAAAAAAAAAAUAUAUAUAUAUAUAUAUAUAUAUAUCGGUAGGUAUGGCAUACCGCCGACAUACAAAAUCAAUUACCAAAGCCAUGCCAUUAAUUGUCGGUUCGGUAAAAUGCCAACCGAUUAUGAAAAAAUGCCAAAACUAUACCAUACCAUUUUGAGCCAACCGGUAUGGUUCGGUCGGUAAAUCGGCUUAUGGCAAAAUUUCUCACCCCUAAUUUUAUUUGUCGCCUUAAACCUAUUGGUUUCUAGCCUACAAUUUGGAUAUUUUGUUGGGGAAAGAUUUUUGUACCAAUAAAAUUUUGCUUUGUCAGCUUAGGAUUUGUCGGCAAAAUGACAUUUUCUAGUCGUUAUAAUAUUAGGUAGAUCAAAUUUGUAAACUAUGUGAUGUGUCACCAAUAGGAAAAAAAUUCAGUGUGCUGAAAAUACAGUCUAGAACACCAAGUGUCAUAAUAUAUACUUGGUUGGAAAUUUUUUAUUUUCAAGUUUCCAACUAAUUGUAUUGUAACAGUUGGUGUUCCAAGCUAUUUUCUCGAUGCGUUGGAAAAUCUCUUCACCAAUUAAAAAUAAACAUAUUAAUUAACACUUAAGUAAUAAUCAAAGUAUCAACAACUACGUCAUAAAAUUUACGAAAUAUGAUCUUAAUUAAUGAUCUCCAUGGCAUUACCCUUUAUCUUAGCGUAUACGUACGCCUUCACAUGUUUAUUUGCUGAUAUGCAGCUUGAGUAAAAAUUUCUUUUUAAGAACAUAUAUGUGAAUAUAAACAUAUAUAUCUAGUGAUCCAUGUUGCGUUAUUUAAAAAUAAACAAAUUAAUUAAUUAAUAAAUGAACUGUGUGCAUGUCUGUGUAGAGUAAUCCAUAUGCAUGCUUGAAUCCUGAUCACCACGAAACCAUAAUAUAAGCUACUCAAGGCCCGGAAGCUAGGAUUGAAGAGAAAAACACCCAGUCAGAUUAAGCCAAUAUAUCAAAGUUAAUACUUCGAAAUGUAAGCUUUAAGAUAGAAAAAUCACUUACUACCUUGAGCAGUCGAGCUUCUUCAAUGGCAUGAAGCUUUUAGCAUGAGAUUGACUGCAUCACAACUAAAAUUUUCUCUUGGAAACUACAUAAGGAAUAGCAUGUAUACCUAUAACGUUGAGAAAGUACGCCAAUUUUUUCCUUCUGCACAUUCAUGUUUAAAAGUAAUCCUCAAAUGAACUUGCCCACAAUGAAAUGCAAUUUGAGGUAGUCGAGUGUGUUCCAUUUCCAUUCCAUGGGAAUUACUACUAAACUUUGAGAUGGUAAAGGAUUCAUGAAAUUUUUUACUUUUGAGAUAGCCUCUUUAACAUUUCUCGACUAUAACAAUGAGGGAAUACUUCACCUUGUAUCAAACAAGGGAGAGCGAAAAUCAACUACUAAUAGCAUCACAGAGCCAGCAGAAGAUUGAGGAGGCCAUGAAGAGGAGAGAGAAAAUACACUCUUUUUUUUUGUAAGGACAGAGAUAAUACAUUCAGUAAGGGGUACUGAUGUUUAUAUGCAAUGCUGAUUAGGUUUAAAUAGUCCUAUUUAUUCUGUACAGUGCCAAUAUUACCACCCGUUAGUACACUUUCAAGACACUGUACUCCAGUGUGUGCGCUAUGCAGUACGUAGUACUCCUCAUUUUUUGGGGAAAUUCAUUAUUGGUCUUCAUAUCUUCUUUAUUUUCCUUUUCCUCAUUGUGCCACGUGUUUAAAUCACUAAUUGUAGGUAAUCUUUCAAUUUAAUUAAAUCUUAUGUAAAAAAAGAUAUUUAAAUAUCAUUUAGUAUUACAAGAUAGUGAUAUUCCUCUUUAGUAUAAAAUUUUUAUAAUUAAAAGCGUUCAGUUUUUUAAUCUUCAUUUGAAUACUAUCUAUAAAGAAAAAUUAUUCGAAUAAGAGAUCGUUUAUGCAUUCAAAUGUACAAAAUGCAUCGACAGUGUGAGAACGAAUUAAUAUAUUUUUGAUGAAGUACAAUUAUUGAAUACAUUUGAAUGAUCAAAUGAUAUAUGAUUCAAAAUACAUAUUAAGAUAAUAAAUAUAAGUGAAUUGUUAUUAGCACUCCAAGAAUCUUAUUAUACACUCUAAAUUUUCUAUAUUUUGAAUGAAAAAUAAAUUUAUGAAGAGUGUAGAAUGAGAUUUUUUAAUGCUAAUAACACUUCUCUAAAUAUAAUUAUGAAAUUAAUAAAGUAAAGAUACAUGACCUCGUGAAUGAUGUAUGUAUUAUUCAAAAAAUUAUUAAAAACAAAUUGAAAAAGGACGCUGUUGUUGCCACCACUUAUGCAAUGAUCGUCGCUGCCAUCACCAACCCCCAACACCCCAUUACAGCUCAUAAAAGCACAUCAUAAGCAAUUUAUGAAAUAAAUUUACUGGAAUACUAAUUUCCCCCUUAGUUUAGGUCACCAAUGUUUAAAUUUAGGGGUGUGAUAUGCACAUACCUUUUUUUGCUUCUCUCACACUUUUUUUGUUGUUGUCGAAUCAGAUGAAUUGAAGAAGAUCAAUUGACAGAAAUUAACAAGGGGUGUAUGAAAAGUAAAAAUGGAUGUGUAGAUAACACAUCCCUAAAUUUAUCACAACUUUCAUUCCAAAUUUAAUUUUUAUGCGUAGUUUUGUUUGUUCAAAUUUACUUUGACAUUUCAAUUAGUAUUAAAAUCUAAUUUAAAUUUUAGCGUUCAAGCUAGAAAAAGUGUUCCAUUUAAUAUUUAAUCUCAGUUUUUCUCUUUAUUCUUUUAUUCCGAUUUGGUUGCAUCGUAUCUCCAUUUUUCUCGGUGUUGUAUGUUCAUAAGGCCUGGGAAACGUUGGCACGGAGUGAAGGGUACUCACUUUUUGGCCCAAAAUGCAUAAGGCAUGUAGAUAUGUUAAUCAAAUUUUGUAAACUAAAGGAUAUAGAAGUUGAUACUUAGAUUAUAAUUUAAGAUAAUACUAAAGAGACUAAAUUUGCAAACUAAAUGAUGUGUCACCAAUAAAAAUAAGCACGUUUAUCAACGCUUAAGUAAUAAAUCAAUCAUCAACUUUCAUGUCCUUUAGUUUCCAAAAUUUAAUAUACAAAUUUAGUCUCCCAAGCAUUACUCUAUUACUUAAGUAUUGAUUAACAGACUUAUUUCUUAUGGUGACAUAUUAUUUAAUUUACAAAUUUAGUCAACCCAACAUUACUCUUUUGAAAUUGUCUUGUCCACUGAUAUAAUUCUAUUUUUCUUGUGAUCAAAACUUCAAAUGUUAGCAAGUCGCACGUAAAGUCACUUCUGAGAGAAUGUGCUCACAUUGUAGUUGAAAGAUUAUGUGGCUAGCAACAUUACAAAUUUAAUUUGGUAUAAUUUAAAAUAUAGAUUGAGGAAAAAAUGAUCACAUUAACUAGAAACUGAAAAGGUUUCAGCACAGUUUGUUCAAGCAAGAAACUCAAUUUUGAUGCUACCGAUCUUAACAGCCUGAGCGCCGUACCUGGGCACUAAAGUCACCACCACACUCUCAUCAUCUUCAGCACCCAAAUCCUCCAACAGGUCCGUUAACCCCAACCUUAAACAACUCUUGCUCUUUUCCUUCUGCUUAUGUGGAACACUCACAAAACUCCCAGCAAACUCGCUCUUGUCGGGUCCACUCGGUGCCGCAUCCUCAUCGUCCACGUCAUUCACAUACACAUCAAACUUCACAGCCACAUCUUUGUCAAGCUCAAUCCCCUGAAUCACCAGUAUCUCCUCCUCAUCCUCUUUCUCCUUCUUGCUCCUCUUCUUCGGCUUCGGCCUUGACACCACCGUACUUAUCUUUGUCUCCAAAUUUAUUGGAAAAUCUUUACCCGCCACCACCUUCCCCGAUGACGUCGUCUCAGCGGCCUUCGCCACUCCAGCCGCCUUUGCCUUUCUCGCAAGCUUUGUCCGACGUGGCGUCGGUCUAGACUUGAGCCAUGGAAUCUCAACAUCUUCAUACGUAUACCCUAGCUUUUUAUUAUCAAGAGUGUCCCUCACCGUGACCCUAACAAGCUCAGCAUUCUCGUCAUAAAACAAAAACCCCGUAUCCAACCAAUCCUUAUCGUUAAUAUCUUUAUUUUUAGUCCCUAUACUUUUCCAAAUAUUCCACAUUCGAUCUAUAUUCGAAUGGUGCGAAAAAAAUAUUGGAUCCCUUGCAGCGGAGUAAAAAUUCCCCAUGUCUUCAAAAUUAGGUUGCGUGUUAUCUCCGGUCCAUGUAUGAACCGGACCAUGUGGGGUCGUUUCGAUUGAACCGGCCCCUGGAUCUGGUUCGGUGCCAGCCCUGUAGGGCGAACCAAAGAACAACAGCGGUUUCUUGGAGUUGGAAACCAUCUGCCUAUACAUGAUUUUGAGGUUGGCGUCGAUUUGAGCAUCCUUGGACAUUGUUUCAUCCGUGCCGUUAAAGUCAAGAUCGAUGAGAGUCGGCGGCUGAUGGCUGGCAGCGCGGAGCUCGUCGUAAAGCGGAGAGUCCGGGUUAGCGAACAAGGCAGGGAGUUGCAUGCCAGCUGGCGCGUCCCAGUUCCAAAACGGCAACGCGAACGUCGGAUCGUCUAUGAGUUUGGCCAAGAUUCUUUCGUGGAAGUAUAGGUAGUAACGAUGGAAGGGGAAGAAAAGCCAGGAUUGAUGGAUUUGGAGCUCGAGGUUGGGGAAGCCGACUUGAUCGUACGCGCCGUCGCAAUAGGCACAGUGGAUAUCGGCUUGCUGGGUGAAGCUACGCGGAUCGUCGUCCGGGAGGGCUUUCAUGAGCUCGAUGGCUUUUGAAUAUUUUUCGAUGUAGGCUUUAUCCACGGUGUGAGCUGCCGGCCUGACGCGGAGUUUGGUAGGGGAGGGGAAUUUGAAGUCUACGAUUUUUUGGGACGUUGGCGGGCAACAGUUGGUCGGGACUGCUCCACUUGGAAAGUCCGCACCUCCGCAUUUGGCUAGGUCAGGCGGCGACACUGGCUUUGCAACAGCGAAGGGGUCGCUGCCAAGACCAGCCACUCCACCGUACAGGCUUCCGAGACCUAUAAGUACAUGUCUUCUGUCUAGGUUUACUGGAGAAAGGUUUUCAUGGUCGUGAUCGUUGGAGCUAGUGGAAGGGUUUUUGUUUUGGUCACUACUAUUAUUCGUGGCUUUGCAUGAGACGGCUUGUAAAUUGGAAUGCCUAGGGUUUUCAAAUAAGGAAAUUCGGUGAUACUUUUGGGAGAAAGGGAAGAGAGAAGUUGUGGGGAUGAUACUUGUGGUGGAGGUGACGAGUGGAGCUGACAUAGAAGCCAUGGUUACUUGACUCUGAAUACUACGUUGUAUAGGCUUUGCUUUUAUAAUGUGUUCUAGGUUUUACUUUUCUUUGCACAGGUGGCAGGCCGUACACAUUGGCGGUCCUUAAGGGUUUGACGAGGAAUACUACGUAGUCAUUUAGUACAGGGCAACCAUGCACUAUAGCACGUGGCAUGUAAUAUUUACGUAGUCUCAGAAGGUGAAGCGGUUUUGGGCUUCUUGUGUACCAAUAAUAUUUACGUACUCAUUAUUCCACUGGAUGGAUUGCGUGCACGUGAUCUUUAUUCAAACAAAUCACUAUUGACCAUAUAUUGCAAUUGGUUAAUGUUAGGCAAAUUAAAUUUUUACAUCAAAUAAUGUGGUUGCUGAUUAUUGAAUUAUUAUUUAAGUUUGAUUAAUGUGCUUAUUUUUUAUCGGUAAUACAUCAUUUGAUUUGCAAAUUUGAUUUACCUAAUAUUACCAGUUAUAAUUUGUAUAAAUGGACUGGUACCUAACAUUACCAAUUGUAAUUUGUAUAAAUGGACUCGUACCUAACAUUACCGGUUGUCCCAAGAGCACACGCUACUGCUCAAGAAGCAAAGUUCUUAUUUGCCCAAAAAAAAUCAUGGUUUUUUAAUUGAUGCUCUCAUUUUAAUUUACUAGCCCCUUACUUGGCCCUUUUUAUUUAUCAUUUUAUACAUAUUAAUAUUUUGUUUGUAAAAUAUAUUAGUGUUAGUUUUAUCAAAAUUAAAAAUAAAUAAAAAACUUAGCUUUAGUAUUUAGUUAUUGAAAUUGUAAAAAAAGUGAUAAAGUAUUGGGUGCUUUGUUUGAAAAUUUUCAAAAUGAUAUUGUUUUUACCACUGAACCCCUGUUAUAUACAGUGAUGGCUAAUUUGUCAAGUUCUACGAAGUUGGGAUACCCAGCGUUUUAGCAUAUAACAUAGCUUAGUAUUUCAAGCAUAAUUAAUUAACGAAAAAUUAGUAUCCGGUCCCUAGUUUUUACUGUUCAUUGACUAAGACCUUAUUAGUUCUCAAAUUUUGAUUCAAGUCCCUAGCAUUAAUGUGAUAAUGAAUUUACAUGUUUAUUAUAUAAUUUUUUAAUAUAAAAAUUAGUAAUUAAUUUAGGGUUUAAUACUCACACCUCUAUUAAACUUCUAAUUAAUUUUCAAUUCAGACAUUUCCAAAAUAAUAAAAAAUUAAAUUAAAUUAAGUUUGUACCUAUUAGUUUUUUUUUAUAUAUAAAAAGAUUCUCAAUUUUUAAUCUUAAAUGUACAUCUUAAAUGUACCCAUUCUCAAAUAUAUCAAUUUGUUAUAUGUAAAAUGUACCCUUUUUUAAUAUAAAAUCCAUUCAAAAUUUUUAAUCCAUGUUUAAACUUAUAUGGGUACAUUCUUUUUCGUUGAUUUGAGAAUGUAUCCAUGUUUUGGUACAAUAAAUUUUUUGUUAAUUUUGGUUAAUGUACCCAUACAUAUAUGUACACACACACACACACACACACACACAAUAUAAUAGAGAGUAUAAUUUAUAUUUUAUUAUUUUUAAUCCCAUAAAUGAUGGGUUUUAUUUAAAAUCUCAUUAAUAUAAACAAUUAUAAAUUUCAAUUUUUAAUUUUUAAUUUAAAAAAUAUAGUAACUUACAUUAUUACAUUAAUGUCAGGGACCUCAAUAAAAAACUAAAAACUAACAAGGUUUCAAUCAAAGAAUAUUGAUAGCUAGGGACCACAUCCAAAGUGUCCCUUAAUUAAAGGGUAAAUUACAUAGUAACCCCUCAGGUUUGAUGUCUAUUACAACCCCAUACAACAUCUUUAAAACAUUUCACUUUCAUACCUCAAGUACUAUUUUAUUUCAAUAUAAUACAUCUGUUAGAUUUUCCAUCCAUUAAUCCGUUAAAUGCUGACAUGGAUACCACAUUUGUGCCACGUGGCUGCCAAAUGCGUGUCAUGUGGCAAAAAUAAUAAUUUUUAAAUUUAAAAAAAAAUGAAUCUUCAACCCAAAAAAAAAAAAAAAAAAAAAACCCCAAACCCAGAUCCCAUCAACCCCCCCCAAACGAUUAUCCCUUCCCCAUAUCCCCCAUCCCACCCCCCAACCCCCCCUCUGCGACCAACCUUACCAUAGCGCCCCCCAACCUCGCGACCCACCUCACUCAAGGCCCUAAUCCACACUACCUACAACCCAGAAACGAAAAAAAAAAACAAAAAACAAAAAACUCAUCUCCCUUUCCCUGCAACCCAAAUCCCAUCUUCCCUAAUGGGUAUGGAUUUAAGAAGUGGGGUGUGUAGAGGAGGGAAGAGGGUGGGUGCGGAGGAUGGGUAUGGUGGGUUGCAAGGAAGGGGGGUCGGGUAAGAUGAAGAUGGGUUUUUUUUUUCUCUCUCUCUUCUUCUUCUUCUGGGUUGCAAGUUGUAGGUUGGGGUUUUUUUUUGGGGGGGGGGGGGAGGGAGGGAGGGAAGACGACGUGGGGUUUGGUUUUUUUUUUUUAAUUUAUUUAGAAGAUUUAGGUUUUUUGAAAAAAAAAAAAAAAUUCCACGUGGCACAAAUGUGGCAGCCACGUCAGCAUUUAACAGAUUAAUAGAUGGAAAAUCUAACGGAUGUAUUAUAUUGAAAUAAAAUAGUACUUGAGGUUAGAAAGUGAAAUGUGUUGAUGCACAAAACCGAAGGUCUUUGAACAACGUAAAUCCGAUCGUGAAUAUGCAAGUAAUGUAAAUAACACAAGAUGUAUCGUGGUUCACUCCAAUGUUUGGGCUACGUCCACACUGAUUAUUGUAUUUCUCUGAGAGGUGAGGGGGAGAGCUUUGAGAAAGCUUAGAGCUUAGGGGAUGUGAGAAGGCUUAAGAAUUGGCCUCCCUUAUUUGUGAGGGUGAUGAGUCCUUUUAUAGAAUAAGGGAUCCUCACUUAUUACAUAUUUGCCCAUUCCUUUAUUACAUAAUUACAUUUAAGUCCCCUGAGUACUUGUACAAGGUCUAAAUACGGAGGCCCUAAGUAUGGUACAAACAGUAGUCCCCCAAGUCUUCAGUCAAGAGAGUCUUUUGGCUAGAGACUUGAAAUUCUGUCCAUGUGUGAGCCGAAAUAACUAGAUGUCGUCUAGAACUGAUAUUUGAUAUGCGGCAGUGCCCAUUUUGAAAUAAUGCUCAACUAGAAGUAGCACAUGCUGCGAGGCUGCUCUGCUUGUGUUGCCUUGGUUGGCUCGACUUGUGGCGUUGAAGGUGAGAGAGUCCCUUUUAUAGAAUAAGGGCUCGCUCCUCAUUACAAAGAUGAUGGGUUAGUUGGUGCUUGCGGUGAGGCGGAUGCUCAGCUGGCGGCGAUGCUCUCUAAUGAUAGUGAGGGAGUCCAUUUUAUAGAAUAAGGGAUCGCUCCUCAAUACAUAAAUAAUAGGUGCUCUCUAAUGAAAGUAAGGGAGUCCCUUUUAUAGAAUAAGGGCUCACUCUUCAAUACAUAAAUAAUGGGCUAAGUCCCCUAAGUAUUUUUUAUGAGGCCUAAUUGAGGCCCAAUAUAUGGUACAUAAUGUAGUCCCCCAAGUCUUCGGUCAAUAGAGUCUGUUGGCUGGAGACUUCAAAUUGAAUCCAUGUAUGGGCCGAAGUGGCGGUUGUUCGGAAGCGGUAUUUGUAUACCCUGCACUGAAGCUUUAUAGGUGAAGCUUUGCAAGUGAAGCUUUGAAGCUGGAGCUCAGUAAAUGAAGCUUUUGAAGCUAGAGCUUUUGUAAAUGAAACUUUUGAAGCUGGAGCUCUAUAAAGGAAGCUUUUGUAAAUGAAGCUUUUGAAGCUGAUUCACAUGAGUGAUGCUCAUGAAUGUUUAUGUUGAUUGAUAUGAGUGAUGCUUAUGGAUGUUGACAUGAGUGAUGCUCAUGGAUGUUGACGUGAUGCUCAUGAAUGUUAACAUGAGUGAUGCUCAUGAAUGUUUAUGUAUGAUUGAUAUGAGUAAUGUUCAUGAAUGUUUAUGUAUGAUUGACAUGAGUAAUGCUCAUGUAUAAUUUGAAGUACUGGGCAUACUUUUGAUUACCUGGUUGGCGAUAAUAGCGGCAGGGUGCCGAAUAAUUUUUUGUAGUACUGGGCGUACUUUUGGUCACCUGGUUGGUGAUAAUAGCAGCAGGGUGCCGAAUAAUUUUUUGUAAUACUGGUCGUCCUUUUGGUCACCUGGUUGGUGCUAUUUUGAGCUUAUGGGCCUUCGCCCUCUACACAACAUUCCAGCCUAUUUAUUUUGGGCUUUACCGUUUUUUUUAAUUACCCUAUGAUGGGGUUUAUACAGAUGUCUCCGAAAGAUAUGAAAAAUAAAUUACAUCAUUCAAAAAUAAAUCCGACCCUCUGCUCAAUGGGUCACGCCAAUAAUUCUUUUUUUUUAUGCAUGCCAUCACCACCGCAAUUAUGUCUGCUUCUUUUUAUCUUCUUUUGCUUUCUGCUUUUGCUUUUACUUUAUCUUUCUCUUUUGGCAUAUGGCAGACAACGCCAAAACGGAAUAAUGAAUUAUUAUGAGAACAUGAAUCUUAUCUUUUGCCUGGUUUUCCACUAGUGCUCGUGGUAUUCUCAGGAGAUUGGAUCUGGGGGUAGGCGACUACCCCAGCACCUUGCCCUGAUACGUAAUAGCCUGAUGUCCCACUGCCAUCUCCAUACUGGAAGGUGUACGAACAAUGGUUAUUCUGUGUGGAACAAAUAGAAUCCGAUUGAGAUUCAAGACUGCACCUUCGAUCUGAGCAAGAAAUGAAUUGUGACGUUGAUGAACUUCUAGGAGGAGAAGCAGAGGAUCUUUGACUAUGAUGAUCUUUGAAUUCCAGAUGAAACUGAAUAAAAUGCAGGUUGUGGAGCUUGAUGUGGGCCCAGAUCUGCUUGACAGCUUUGGGGCGGGAGGAUUCCUUGACACUGAGGAAGAUUCCCAGAGCUGGAGGGAUGAGAAUCGACUUCAUAAUCCCGAUGGUGGGUUUGUGCUUGGUCGAAAGAUCAUUUCUGGCAGGGGAAAACAUGUACCAUACCUAUUGCAAAUCUUGCAAAUUCUCUGCUUCUCCAUGGAAGAUGAAGAGCAUCGAAUCUCUGUUUUCUCUCUCUCUCUCUAAAACGUUUUCGUUAUAGAGUGCCCCAAUAGAAGUGGACGGGCAGUGAGCAUGCCAUUUAGUGCCUCCUCCAAGACAGUAACUGAUACGGUGGUCUUUAUUGGCACUCCAAGUUUACUAAAAAGGGCAGCAAAAAUAGUAUUUACAGCACCCAAACUUGAAAGAUCUAGCUCCAACUAGUGGCUUUCUGUUUCAACAGCCUGAAAGCCGGCAGUGUCAUACCGACGCCGUUUGUCUGGAUCAAAUAAUAUAUUAUAAGAAAACAUGACCUUCUUGAAGAUAUCAGCUGUUUUAGAGUCAUUAGCAUUUUUGUCAGGAUGGUACUUGAGAGCCAUUUUCCGGUAAGCACUUUUGAUUUCCUGGUUGGUGGAAUUCCUAUUGAGGCCGAGGACCGCAUAAGGGUUUUGUCGGAGCUGCUUCUUAGCUUCUUGCUUCUCCGAUUUUGAUCGGCUGCCCUGCAUUUUUGAAAUUGACGGUCAAUUUCUUCACAAAACCCUAGAAAUUGCCUCUCGAUUACCUCCGAAACACAUAAUUCACGACUCUUGGUUGAAAUUUUUUUUUUUCAUUUCAAAGAAGUGGCGGAGGUAAAUCAGUUGUCACAUAGCACCGGAGCAUGAGGAAAACCUAGAAAACCAAGAGGCAGAGAGACUCCAUGCACAUCUAACCUGGAACCUUGCAGGAGAGAGCAGAGAGAAAGAGACAAGAAAGAUUGAGGGAGAAGCGAUCUUGGUGCAUCGUCUGUGAUUCCUUGGUGAUUUGCUCGAUCGGGACUCUGAAUUCGUGCAAGUCAUUGCUGUUAAGCAAGAAUCGCGAGGAGUCGGAGAGCUUGGAAAUCGAGAAGGAGAGAGGGCCUUUAGUCAGGGCUUGGAGGGUGUCGGACUCCGUCGGCCAAGAUUGGUGCACGGUCACGGCGUCUGGGCCCAUGGCGGUUGUGUAAAUGGGGGAGGUUCUAGGAGUCCAAGAAAGAAGAAGAAGCAGCGACCAUAGAUCUGGGAGUCCAUGGCGCUUGAAAGAUACGGCGAACAAGUCGGACUUGCUGCUGGGCAGCUGGCGGUGAUAAUGUUGGUGCAUGGGUUUUGGAGUGGGAGUGUUUGGAAUGGGUUUUUUGUUUAGUUUCUAUGUGUUUUUUCACAGAGAGAGAGAGAGAGAAGUGAUGGUGUUUAAGGGAUGAGUUUUGGAGCUUAGUGAAUGCUUUUUCUGGAAAAGCCCAGUGAGGUUUGUGGGUUUUUGCAGAUUUUGCAGAUUCGCGGUGGAGGUGAAAGAAUGAAAGAGAACCGACACAACUUUUCGUAUUGAUUCCCACAUACGGCGCCAAAUGUUGAUGCACAAAACCGGAGGUCUUGGAACAACGCAAAUCCGACCGUGAAUCUGCAAGUAAUGUAAAUAACACAAGAUGUAUCGUGGUUCACCCCAAUGUUUAGGCUAUGUCCACACUGAUUAUUGUAUUUCUCUGAGAGGUGAGGGAGAGCUUUGAGAGAGCUUAGAGCUUAGGGGAUGUGAGAAGGCUUAGGAAUUGGCCUCCCUUAUUUGUGAGGGUGAGAAGUCCUUUUAUAGAAUAAGGGUUCCUCACUUAUUACAUAUUUGCCCAUUCCUUUAUUACAUAAUUACAUUUAAGUCCCCCGAGUAUUUGUACGAGGUCUAAAUACGGAGGCCCUAAGUAUGGUACAAACAAAAUGUUUUAAAGAUGUUGUAUGGGGUUGUAAUAGACCUCAAACUUGAGGGGUUACUAUGUAAUUUACCCUUAAUUAAAAUAAGGGCAAAUGAAGAGGAUGGUUGAACUUGUUAAGUUUCUUAAGUGUGUCUAAUUUAAGUGUGUUGUUAAUAAACAUUUAUUAUGGAGGCAAAGAGAGGGAAGGUGCGGCAUAGAAAGAGAAGAGAGAGAUAUGUAAUUGUGAGUUGUGUUUUAUUCCAUCCCAUUGUGCAUUUAUUUAUAUUAGUUGGGAAAGUUAAUUCUUUAACCUUUUAGGAUUACAACUCUAAUAGGAAAAUAUAUAAUCUAAAAGAUAUGGUAGAAUCCCAUAAGAAUAUCCUAGAUAUGUUAGGAUUUACACAAUCAUAUUCCUAUUCCAAUAGGACUGCAAAACAUUUGUAUUUUUUUAUAAUUUUUUUGAUAAUUUGUUGGCAUUUUCAAUUUUUGUUAACAUUGAAAAUAUAACGGUUCAGAUGAAAAACCUUUGGAAAUCCAACAUUGAAAAUAUAACAGUUUGACGUUGGGCUGUGGUGAAGGAGGCUGGGCUGUCACGUGGGUGGGGCCCUCCCUCUCCCACUUGGUGAUUCAAAGGGCGCAGGCCCGUGCAACAAUUGAGGCAGCCCAUAGAGAUCCUGCGUUUCACCCAUUUGCCAUUUUUUCCACCGCUGGAGCACCAAAAUUCGGUCCAAAGGCAGGGGUUCCAAUUGCAUGGGCAAUUUGGUUUCCGCUGGAGGUGCUCUUUGUCGACUUUGUUUAUUCUUUCUUUUUAGCUUUGCAGUAAUAUUGAAGUAAUCACUCCAAUUGUAUCCGAACUUUUGUUGUCCAUCAAUUUGUAUCAAAACUAUUGGUUAAUUUACAUAUUCAGACUAACCUUCUCAUUAUUUUUAGUAUUUUUAUCAUAAAUAAUAUCUAAAAUAAUCACAUUUUAUUCAACAACCACUCAAUUAAAAAUUAAUUAAUGUUGUUUCUAAACCAUUACAUCGAGCUUUUGUAAAUACACAUCAAUAUUGCAGCGAUCCGAGGCAUUGUUUUCUACGCCUUGGAUUUGGCGAAUUGGAAAAGAGAAGAGUUACGAGUAAAAGUCCCUCACAUUAAGAGGGCUCCUCCUCGGGGAGAUGAAGAUGAUGAUCUUUUGUUUUUGUUUCUUAAUGAUUAAUCCACGCAGCAACAUAUAAUUAGAUUGUUGGGAUCUACUCAAGUUCCAUAUCACGCACUAAUAUAAAGUUUGACAAACGAAACGAAAUAUGUGCUCUCGAAAGCAAAAUGAGGGCACUGCUCCAAGAACAGGAAGGGCUCCUUGUCGAGGUUGCCAUCCGCCAUGAGGGAAAACCGGAAGAAGUUAGACAACAAUGAUGACAUCGAUUUGCAACACCCAUAUUGGGACAUCAAACUGUGAAAUAAAUACUCAAAACUCCUGGAAAGUCCUCGGGACAACAAACUUUUAUCUCCUUCAAAUAUUUCAUUUUACCAAGUUUUAUGUUUGAAGGGAGGGAAAAAAAGAGAUGAGAGAAUCCUACUCCUUAUUCUUGAAUAUAUUCAGGAAUAACUAUUGAAUAAAGAGAGAAUGGAAGGGGAUCGAAAGAGGAGGGAAGAUAAUUCUAGUCCCAAACAUAAAAAGGACCACAACUUUUAAAUUAUCAGCACGAUCAUCAUCUGAUUGAAGAGACCAUUCAUUGUGAAACAUAUCGUCAAUCAAUAUGUCUAUAUCUAUUUAUAUACCACAUUUUUGGAGUAGGAUUCUCCCCCCUCCUAUUACCAUCCCCUUCCAUCCCCUUCCAUCCCCUCCUUUCAUACUUUUUUUUUUCUUAUUCUCUAUAUAAAAAAUUCAAAACAAGAUGUAGAUGUGUCGUAAUCGCAAUAGUUUAAAUAAAAGGAGAUGGAAGGAGAGAUAAAUUACGAGGGGAGAGAAUCUUACUCCCACAUUUUUCUUCUUCAUAAACAAAAGAGAGGUUCUAGAUUACUUGACUCUAUGCCUCAUUUUUUUCAUCAAGUAUUUGUGCUAAACGGGUUCAGUUUCAAGUAUUUUAGUUUUUUGUCAAAAUUGAGAAAACUGAAAAUCAAACAUUAAUAUGCAAAAUUAAAAAAUCAACACAUAAUUAUUUAGAAAUCGCAAUAGAAAAGAAAAAAUGGAGGUUUGUGAUGAAAAAUCUUUUAUACUAAGUAAUUUAGUAUCCUUAUGCAUGAAGAUAAUCAAUUCGUUCGUUAUGGUCAGACUCUUUUUGAAUUUUUGAACACAUUCUCCAUAGGGCCUUCUUAUUUGUUCCUUCUCCGAGUUGGGGUUAUGGAAGAAGUAAAAGAAGGAACCAAGAAGAAAGUAUUGGCAACAACCGAUUUCGUUACGGGACAACUCUUGAUAUUCAUAUCGAUCUAUUAUGUACCUUUGCAUCUAGCAUUAGACAAUAACUGUCAUAGCUUUACCAUAUUUUUUUGUUUCAUUUCUUCUGAAACAAUAACACACACUUUUUUAUUAUGUGUCUAAUACUAGGAAUUCAAUACAUAAUCUUAGCAUUCAAUAGUUAUUCCUGAAUAAUUUCAUUUUUCAAUUGAUCAACCAUUUCAUUUUUCCAAGUUCAAUCAAUGUUAGUCACAUUAGUCAACAUUUAUAUAUUUUGAUGCAACAACAAUAUGUUAUUUGUAACAAGUGAUUUUGCUAGUUGGUUAAUUGGUCACAAGUUAAUGUUCGGUUCAGUUCAGCUUUUCUCUCGAUUUUUUGCGAUUCGGUUUUUUCGAUUCUCUUUAGAUUCGGUUCGAUUUUGUUUUUUUAUUUAUACUUAAUUUUUUUUAAUCUGAAAACACCAAGAACAACACAAGCAUACUCAAUCAAACAACUAUCCUUCUCCACAAAUCACAGUAAUAAUUACAUUCAUUUAGCUAAAAUGCAAAUAACUAACAAACUCACAAAAAUCGAAUAAAAACUACAAAUUGCUUACUCUUUUUCUUUGGGUUUCACUCGAAAAGUGUCGGUAAAAUUUAGGGUUUGCAAGAACGCAACCGAAAUCCAAAACGGAGGCUCUGUGGCUUGUGGGCUGCUAUUGAGUUCCAGUACGGAAAACCUUGCUUACUCUCUAUCACGGUACAAAGUAUCAGUACCUUUAGCACUGUAUUUGGUAGAACCAAAUUAAAAGCUAACAUCAAUAACAACUACCAGAGACAUAAGCUCUUAUCAAUGCUUUGGAAACAGUCAUGUAUCUCCAAGUGUAAUGAUAUAAUUAGUAAGAAAUUUAAAAGAAAAAUGGUGAUUUCAUAUAAAAUCAAUAAAAAGUUACAAUAUUGACAAUAUAUCAACAAUUUUUAUGGGGUAAAUUACAUAGGACCCCCUCAGGUUUGAGGUCUAUUACAACCCCAUACAACAUCUUUAAAAUAUUUCACUUUCAUACCUCACCUACUAUUUUAUUUCAAUAUAGUACCUCCAUUACAUUUUCCAUCAAUUGAUCCAUUAAGAGCUGAAUUGGUUGCCACAUUUGACACGCCCCGAUCCCGAUAUCCUCGGGAUAUCAGGAUGGUCACGUGCUGGCCGACACCCGAGGGUGACGAAAGCCAUUUAUUGAGUGCAAUUGCUGAAAAUAAAGGAUAGAUAAAACUUAUAAAUGUAAAAGAAUAAGGAAUAUGCAUUUAAGGAACGUGUUCAGAGCAUACAACUAACUAGAACACUAAAAGAAUGAUAUAAAAUGGAAUGAAUAAAAGAAUGAGUCUUACACCAAGAGGACUCGAAGAUGCCGAUGCGGAAGUACCUUGAUUGUCGGGAUUGUACGCCUCGAUCCUAAAUCCUGAAGGGGGCGCAAAACAAACAUGAGUGGACCAAGUUGAUAUAUAUAUAAUAAAACAGUUAUCAAUAUACUAACCCCCAGGUUUAUGAAAACAAAUAUAUAAUGAUGAACAUAGGUUUUCCGAAACCUAGCAUGAUGUGCAGUAUCUCAAAUCAUAACUCAUAUAUAAUAAUCACUAGUGAAUUGUCCGAUAACCUGCAGGCCCCAUGCCGGCUCCCCGUCUCUGAGCAGACAGUCAGAGGAAAAUACACUUCAGGCCCCAUGCCGGCUCCCCGUCCCUGUGCUAAAUAGCCAGAGGAAACACACUCCAGGCCCUAUGCCAACACCAAACCGUCGCCCGGGACGGACCGGAAUCUAUUCCUACGUCCCGUAGCGGAAAUGACCACUAGGUAAGUACAAAACCAUUGAACAUACAUAUAUUGAAAAACAACUUCAUAGUAUAAAGUCAUCCAUCAUCUAUACUAUAAAGAGGUGUUCGAAACAUGUUCUAAAUAUCAUAUCGUCAUCCAUCAGAUAUUCUAUAAGAACACGGGUUAUAGGAAAAAUAGUAAUAAUUCAAGGUAGCCUCAGUAAGCAUGUUAUCUCAAAACGUUUCAUAAAACGUAAUCAUUAAAUCAUGCAUUUCAUGUAUGCAUUUCUACUAUUAAAACAUGCUUUUGAAGGGGUCCACUCACAGUACUUAGCCGCCGAAGAGCCACGCAAACUAACGUCACCAAUAUUGCCCCUAAGCACAUAAAUGGUCCAAUUAAUAAAACUAUAUAAUAGCAAUUGGAUUUGGGAAAACGGACGUUGGAAACGGAUUCAGAACGUCGAAUUACCCUAAGAAGGGUCCCGGACGAAAACCCGAAAAGUCAACUCUAAAGUCAAUGUUGACCGGAGGUCAACGGUCAAAUUAGGUCUAACGGGUUUUAGGCUUGAAAUCCGGAUUAGGGUUUAGGUUAAAUAGGAUUAGGAUUUAUUGGGUUUUGGAAUUCUAAGGUUUUUGGGUUAAAAGGGUUUAGGGUGAAAAUGGGUGGUUUGGGCUUAAUCCCAAACUCACACACAACACACACACACACUACACAAACCCUAAAACACACACACACACACGGGCUGCACUAGGGCAGCCCUCACAACACUUCACAAAGGCCCUAAGGCCUUAUUAAAGGACAGGGCUUUAAGCCCUUUAAAGGAUACUGGCCCAAGGCCCGUCAAAAUAAGGCCCGAGGCCUUUGGGUUUUAAAAAGAACAAGAACAAAUUUAAAAGAAAAGGGGCUGGGGUCUACUGGGCUAAGAUAUAACGGGCUUAAGGCCCGUGGGGUUUUCUAAAGGGCCUGAGAGGCCUGGGUUUGUCGAAGGAGAAGGCCGGAAUUUCGGCCGGAAAACCACCCAACUUUAAAUGGCCAUAACUUUGUCAAUACUCAACGAAAUCAAGCAAGACAAAAAUGAAAGUUGUAGCCCUUGAAGCGACGAAGAGAAUGGUUCCUCACACGACGUCUAACUCGCCGUGGUUUGGCCGGAAAAUGCCUCGAAAUCCGUCGGACUCGCCGGAAACUGGGUAAGAUUCAAAUGAGUAUAACUUCUUCAAUACUCAACGAAAUUAAGUGAAACAAAAAGGAAAGUUGUAUUACUCGACGAGACGAAGAGAUUGAUACCUUACACGCCGGCCAACUCGCUGUGGUUUGGCCGGAAAUGGCCUCGAAAGGGGCGGUGCUCGCCGGAGCUUACUCCGUGCCGUCGAACUCGCAGGGUAGGGUCCGGGGUUCGUUGCAAGCCUCUCUUCGAUGGUGACUCGGUCCUAGUGAGUCCAGGGGAAGAGAGAGAUGCGAAAGGUUGAGGGAGAGAGAGACGGGAGAGCUGAGAAAGAGAGAGCUACGGGAGGGAGAAACGAAGAAGAAGAAGAGAGAGAUCAGAAAACAUAAAAAAAAUAAACAAGGUGGGCCCCACGGGCUCACCAAUUAAGGCUUUAAAACAAUUUUAAAAUAUAAAAGAGGGUUGGGGUGUUUCAACAUUUGUACCACGUGGCAAAAAAAAAACCUAAAUCUUCUAUACAAAAAAACUAAAAAAACCAAAAAAAGCAAAAUCGAACACUCCACCCCGCAAAAAUCCUAGCAUCUUCCUUUUAUUCCCCACAACCCCAAAUUCCCCCCCAAAACCCCUAAAACCCAAACCCUAAUUCCUCCCCCACAUGAAGAAAAUCCCAGUCCAAUUCAAUCCCAAUUACCUCAAAUCCCACCAUAGAAACCCUAAAUUUUGGUUCCUCAAUCCCUAGAUUUCCCACGCCUCUGUUGCCUACACCUUAUCAAUCUUUAGCUUUCUCCCUCAUCCCCUCCAUGAACGACACUUUCUCUCAUCCGCUGUUCCCCAGCAACGGCACCGAUACCUACGAGGCCUGGUACGGCAACAUCCAGUACCUUCUCAACAUCUCCGCCAUCGGCUCAUUCUUAUGUGUCUUCUUUUUCACCUUGGUCAAGCUUUGAAGCGAUCGCCGCCGCAUGCCCGGCUCGUCCUCCCUCGUUGCUAAGCUCUUCGCAGUGUGGUAUGCUACCUGUCGAGAGAUUAUGCUCCCAUGUGGCGCUGAGGCCAUAAUACUCACGCACCCAUCUACACACCCACACCACCACUACCGUGGACUCUCUCUCACUCUCCCUCGUCUUUGUAGAGCUAGGUGAAGCCUAGAAACCGAGAACUAGCUCCAGCAAACCCCGUGAGUUUCGAGCCAGAUCCCUGCCGACUCCGACCAUCCCAUGACCAAUCUAAGGUACAAAACAUUUCCCCUUGACUCUAUGCUCUUUUUCGUAUGUAGAUCGUAGGGAAAAGCCCACAGAAUGAGAGAGAAUAGUGACCUGAGAGAGUCCACGGUGAUGGUGGUGUGUAGAUGAGUGCGUGCGUGGGUGUACUGUCGGGGAUAGAGUCUGAGAGAGAUAGAGAGUGAAAGAGUCUGAGAGAAGAGUGACUUGCGAGAGUGAGAGAUUCGAGAGAGACUCGGGAAAAGAUUUAUGGGUUUGGGUUUUUCUGGUUUUUUAUUUUUAUAAUAAUAGGGUUAAUAUUAUAAUAUUUUUAAUGUAUAAAAAUUUCUUUUUUGCCACGUGGCAGCCACAUCAGCACAAAUGUGGUAGUUGUAGAUGCAAAUUUCUUCCUCUUGAUCUUGGACAAUUUUGCACCUACAAAACAAUUAACACCUUAGGUUAAGGCCAAAAGCCUCACACACCCACAAUGAAUGGGGGGCUUUGGCCGAAGAACCUCUGUUGCCAAAGUUAGAAUUUAGAGAGAAAGAGUCUUUACAGAAUUUUGGGAUUUUUGCCAAAGUGUUGGAAUGGCUUUCUGGUGAGAACGGGAUCACUUUUAUAAGGAUAGGAAGUGGUCGGCCUAGCUAGGGUUUUUGGGUUUAAUUUAGGUUUAAUUCUUCAAUUUAUUUGGCUAAUUAAACCCUAAAGAAUAAAUUGGUGGUUACAAAAUUGAUUAUUUGUAUAAAUGGGGUAAUAAAAUGGAGAAAAGUGAAAAAGGUUAGGAAAAGGGAGGUAGCUAGCUUCUUAGUAGUUUUAGGUGUGAGUGGGUGUUUUAAUUGAUAAUUAAGGGAUUGAUUAGGUAAUUAAUCCCUUAAUUAAACAAUUUUUAGGGAAUAUGAAAGGAAAUUAUUAUUUAGCUAAUUGAUUAGCUAAAUAAUGGAAUACAAAAUAUAUAGAAUAAAUUAGGCUUUAGGUAUUACCUUAUAGAAAUGAUUUGAUGAAAUAGGCUUUAAAUUGUUAACUAUUUUGGGCACUUUUGACUUGGUUGAGGAUGAUUGUCUGCCGCUCGCACGUAGGAAUCUCGAUAUGCCUUAAGGGUAUUUUUGUCCUCUUUUACCCAAAAAUCCACGUGUCGCCUUGUGAUUAUUUUUGGCUCCACAAAUGCCCCCACACCUGUUGGGCUGCUCGCAGAAAAUGGCAGCAGGUGUAGAGAUCAUCUUGCUUUAGGAAACGUAGGACUACUUCCUCUUUAGAUGUAGAUUCUCUCUUUAAUAGGAAAUUAGGUUCUUCUAGGAAAGGGAAAUAAAUUUCUGUUAAAGCCUAUUUAAGUCUACCUUAAGUGGGUUAUUAAAUCAACUUUGGAGAGCGAUUUCUUAUACCCUACAAGAGAGAGGGAGCUUAGAGAAUAUUUGUUCCCCCUCUUCUAGCAAUCUUCUACAUCUUUCCCGUGCAAAGGAUCGUCUUUCGUUGAUUUCUUCGUCUUCUCCGUGCCGCACCGAUGUAAGAAAAAUUUAAUUUUUUGCUUAUCUUCUUCUUGGAUAGUACUAUUACAGGGCAACCGUUAAGGUAGUGCGGCACGUCUACUGGCAGGGGCUAGGAGUUGGCUCGGCAUCGGUCGAUGAGGCAUUAUGGCAGGGGCCACUGCUUAGGCUGUUUGGCUUGGCUAGAGCCAAUGGCAGCUUGUGCGGCUGGGGUCGCGGAUUGUGGCGUUGGGGCGCAAUGCUAGGCGAGCCACAUGGUUAAUGUCCUUUAGGCUCUUAGACCUUACUCGGGCCAGGCUAGCGACUGAAAGAAAUGAGGAGGUCGUGGGCCUCAUGGGUUGUUGGAAUGUUGGGCAUGCAGGCCUCCUGUCUGCUAGAAUGCUAGGUUGAGCUCCUCUGCUGAGUACCGUGAAUGGCGUUGGCUGCUUAGUUCUUUUUACAGAGAGAAAGGUGGGCUGCUCCCGAAAGAGGAAGUAAAGAGGAUCAAGGUGGAUGCAUUGGCUCGUCUAAUCGCUGUCGUGGAACCUCCUAUGAAUGAAGAUGGAAAUAAGAGAUCUUCCCUGCCUACUCAAGAGAUGCCGAUCGAGAAAAAUUGAAGACUUUCUCCACUGCUGCUCAUGAUGAUUUGUCUGCUGUCGAUAGGCCUGUGAUUGGCAUGACUUCUUCCAAUGGGAAGAAAAAUGAGGCUGCUAGAUCUGAUCAUGUGGUGCCUUCCAUGUUGAGAAUUGCUAGUACAAUUGUUGAUAAGAUUGCUUAGCGCAAAGGUUUUAUCAUGCCCCCAGUACCGAAGUCUGUACCAGGACUUUCGUUUGGAGCAAAGUCUGGUUCACCUUUGGAGAUACUUGCUAUUAUGAAAAGUGGUAAGGUGGACUCUGCUGCUAAAGUGGCGUCAAGGCCCACUCCCUUUGUUGCUGAGACUGAUUCGCCUGCUAGGAAGGAAGAUACUACUUGUAUGGGCAGCUGUGAGAAAUCCACUAAACUUGCUUCUGGGGAGGCUGCUGAGAUCAUUGUGCUUUUGAAACUAUAUCUGCUUGAAGACAUGGACGCUUGUGCCAAGUUUGUUGAUGGCGGUAGAAAGGUUGUUUACCUAAGUUCCUUUGCGAAACAUACGACCCAAUAUAAAAUGACUGCUCUGCUUACUAGGAUGCAUAAAUAGCAAGGUUGUCAAGGAGGUGGCGAAGAUUAUGGCAGCUAAAGCUUAUUCCUCAGUCGAGGAGAUCAAAAGGUUGAAUUAUGAGCUUGUUGCUUUGAAAGAAAUGGAAGAACUGCAACACGUUCGUGUUAGUCUGUUUGAGAAGAAUGAGCAGCUAAACGGUAAGAAUGAUGGGCUUGAGGUUUCUCUAUUUUUCCGGAAGACUUGCUUACUUUUACUUUUGAGGCUUCCAUUGGUGAAGUAGUUGGAGACGUUAGUGCCCAGGCUUAGGCAACCGGGGGUGAAGCACCGGAUGAUGCCGCUGCUAAGAACGUUACGGCUGCUGAAGGUGUGGAGACCAAGUAGUCGUGGGAUGUCCAAGCUGCUGUAGUGUAGUAUUUUAGGUAGCUUUUAUGAUUUUCUUUGUUUUUCCUUGUAGCUCUUGUUUUGCUUGAACUUCUUCGGCCUUUGCUAGUUGUAUAAACAUGUUUUCCUUCGCUUUUCUUCAUCUUCGCUUCUUUUGUUCAUGCCCUAACCUUUAGACUUGAUAGACCAAUGGCAGGCAUGCUACUUUUUUAUAAGCAGACAAGCUCGCGUAGCCUAUGCAGCCGUAAAUGUUGGUGUAGAACUUUGCAAAGUUGUUAGCCAUUAGGUUGGUAACCAGAUACCUUACUUACAGAAGUAGACAAGUCCGCAUAACCACUAGGCUAUUAACCUUGACUUUCUCCAAUUCUGUAGGUUGCGUAGCAAGUAUCACAACACUUUAGGAAUUGGUAUAGGUUGCUCCGCACUUGGCAGAGGUGAAGCCUAUCGACUACGUAGCAUGUCGGCAGUGGAUAAAACUUCCAUAUAUGCGCGCUAGCUUGUUUAACCUUUCACAAGAAUGUGCGGUUGUAUAAGUCUAGCACGGUUUUACUGCUUGAAGGGCAAGCCGUAGGCAGUCUUCCGGAAUCCGUAGGCUACCUUAAUGUACUCGGUAGCAGCUUUAGGGUUCCAGGGCAGCCGUCUAUAGAGCGUACUGCGUAAUGUGCCCCAUCCGUCUCUAGCUCCCGGUUCCCCACAGAUUAGACCAAGAGACCCAAAAUCCUUCAGUUAGUUAAGCCUUGAAAAAGACCAUUGUGGCUACUUCUAGGAAUCCCGGCUCAAGCCAUCGUACAUCUAGUUAUACUAGGGUAGCCAGGCUCAUCAGCGUCUGGAUAUUCGGAGUGUAAAGUUUAUCCUCCCGUCUUAGAGAGCUGACCCAUAUGAGUGUCGGGGAAUUGGUUUACCCUCUCACACUAGAGAGUAAUUAAUUUACCCUCUCGCACUGGAGAGCAAUUAGUUUACCCUCUCGCACUGGAGAGCAUGGUUGGUCCAUCGGGGGGCGCAAUUCCUGCGAUGAGUCCCUAAGAAGGGCGCAGUCUUCUUUUGAAGUGCAGGAAUGAUUAGUUGUUAUAAGCAUGUGAUCGAGUCAAGUUGUGAUUACUUCUAAAUUCCUCAUUGAAAAACGAGUGAAACGAACGAGAACUUAGCCGUAAGGUAGGAACUGCAUAACAACUGGAUAGUCCUCAACUUGUGUGGUGGUACCCAUCGAGCUUCUUGAGUCUUCGGGCUUUGAUGUAGUGGGAGGUUACACAUGGCACCUUUUCAGAUUGUAGGCGCUCUACUGCUUUUCGAACUUUUUUUUUGUUGUGUAAUUGCUCUUGCUGCCUACUCGGCUAAUCUUAUACAGACUUUCUCGGAUGAGAUUCAUCUUUUUGGAGCUUCUCUGCUGGCAGUGAUGAAGGCUUUUCUUAGGACUAGAUCUCUGGGCUGGAACUGCCAGAUUUUGGCCUUUUUGUUGUGGCUGGAAAAGAACCACUGCUGGUAAGUUGUAAUGCAGAUGAUAGUCUGCUCGCACUUCUCCUCUGCCAAAUUUAAGCUUGUGGCCAUCUCCUUUCGGUUGCUCGUCUUUUGGUGUUGCGAUGUGCCCAUAGACAUCCAGGGAGUUUGUCUGGCCAUUUUCUUUUCUUAUUGGUAGGGGAUUUCUUGUGGCAGUCGAGGAUCAUCUUAGUGGAUGUUUUGGCCAGCCUAUUGCCUUGAGGAUAUCUUGGCGUAGACAUGUGCUGCUUGAUGCCAUAUUUUUAGAAGAAUUUCGCCAAAUCUUUGCCCACGAAUUACGGGCCGUUGUUGGUGACGAUGGAUUAAGGUAUGCCAAAUCGGCAAAUGAUGCUCUUUCAUAUGAAGCGCUCUAUGUCCGUUUGAAUUGUGAUCGUCAUGGGCUCUGCUUCUACCUAUUUGGUGAAAUAGUUGGUUGCCACGAUCAUCAUGCAUUUGCCCUUAGUAGUCUGGCUGGUGAUUAGCUGGGAAUCAGAAUGAAUUGAAAGCUUUUUCACCACCAAGUCUUUUGUCACUCGAAGGCCUGCUAGUGGGGCUUUGUACUCUGCUUCGUUGUUAGGUGCUUUGACGCUUAGAGUGAUCGCUUACUCGAGCAUUGAACCGUCUGGGGUGGCAAGAACCACGGUUACUUAUAAGCCUUUGUAGUUGGAUGCGCCGUCGACAUGCAAAUGCCAGAAAUUUCCAUUGAGGGAGUAGGUAUGGCUAAAGUGUGCUCGGCUACCUUCGAAGCGUCGUUGGGCCGCUUUGUUACAUUGUCAAGGCUAGGUUUGAAGGCGCGGUAGAGAGUCGUGGAGCUGGGGCCAUGUUACAUGUAGCAGGAGAUGCUCAACUUCCGGUAUUAGGCCACUCUAGAGCUGAAUAAUGGAGCAAAGGUCGGCUAGGGUCGUAUGACGCGCAGCAGAAGGUAGUGCUCGACUGCUAGUACAUGUUGCUCUUACGUAGAAUCUUCUGAGGCGACGAGGACAAAACUUGCUUUUAAGUGUUCCUUCUAGUGUUCGUCUGCCCUUGGCGUGUCUUUUGGGCUGAGUUGUUGCGUUCGUCAGAAAACUUUGCAUCUGCCAGGGUUUACGUCUUUAUCAUCACGGGUUUGGAUUAGGCGGAAUAGUGCGUCAUGAUGAUGACUGCGUACAUUUGAAGGUAAAACUUAAGCUUUUGGGUUACAACAACUAUCACCAAAGUUAGCUUUUGAAUUUUUAAUAGCAUCGAGGAGAGCUUUUGAACUAUAAAAUACAUGUAGUUGGGCCCCCAACUCUUCUCGCAUGACGGUACAGCUUAUUUCUACUUUAGAUACCGUCAAACAUGCGAAUAAGUCCUCUGCUGCUUCUAGGGAGGUGAUGUUGGGUACUUCUUCAAGCCCUUGAAUGUGCAUUGGCGAGCCUCAUCCCAAAGUGCAUGCUUCUCUGCCAAAGAAAAAGAGUCUACCAGAGUUAGAUAUUCUUUCAUGAUCAAUUUUCUAAAUAGCGGUGGUCUGCUGGAAGGCCUUUUUGGAAGGCUGCUCUAGCUAUUGAGUCGCUGCAUCCGACUAUCAUUGCCUUCUCUGUUUUGAAUCUCUUCACAUAGUCACGAAGUGACUCCUUUGGGUUCUUUUUUACGUCAAACAAAUGGUCGGACUUCUUUUUGAUCGAGCAAUAAGAUGAAUAUUCUUUGGUGAAAACCAAAGAAAGUUCGUAGAAAUUCUAGAUAGAUUGUGGCGGCAGGGUGUAGAACCAAUCUUGUGCCUCGCCUUCAUAGUGGUGGCGAAUAUCUUGCACAUGAGAUCAUCGUUGUUUCGAUAAAGGAUCAUUGUGCUUCGGUAGCGCUUUAAGUGUCUCUUCGGGUCUUCAUCCCCUUUGAAAGAUAUGAAAUGUUGCAUACUGAACUCGCAUGGAGGCUCUGCCAGCUCGAUCUCAUCCGUGAAGGGUGACCUGCUUAUGUUGGUCAUGUUCCGUCGUAGUGCCUCGUCGGUGACCUUGUUGCGUUAGAAAUCAUGCAAUCGCUUGAUUAAAAGUCUCUCUACUUCUUCCUGAAUUUUCAUUUGUUAGGGUAGCAGAGCUCUCGGCUGCCCCUAGCCAUAACUUACUGGUCUAGGAUGCUCUUCCAUGUGUUUGGCUCGUAUACCGUGGAUGCAGUGUAUGUGGUGCGGUCCUAGUAGGUGAGCGAGUUCUUCGCAGGCUGCUAGUUGAACUUGAGCUGGAUUGAGUGACUACUUCUCUCCGUCCGUCGUGCUGCCUACUCCAAUGUGAGGUGAAAGAUGCUCCUUGCAGGCUUAGCCACGAAUGAACACUUUACCUGGAAGGUUGCUCAUGUUGACUAUCAGAGUAUGACCCUAACCGUGAAUGUAUAUUCACCCGUGGGCUUAGUCGAGAGUGCACGCUCCUCCGCGCGCUAAGACGAGAGUAUACGUUAUCUCGGGAGCCCAAUUGGGAGUGUACACUGCCCGAACGCUCGGCUCGUGGCUGGUCGAGUGGCUGCUUGCCGAAACGCUGCGGGAAAGGUUCGUCUGCCCUUGUCCUACUUCGGGAUACCUUGUUUGGGGCACGUUGGAUUCUGGUGCAUUGCAAAAGUUGAUUCACCAAGGUUGUCUGUUGUGCAAGGGUGCUCGUAAACGCUACGACUUGUCGAGACAAGUGUUGUUCGUCAUUUGGAUUGGAAUAGCUUGGAAGGAAUGUGCCUUCUUGGGCAGUGGAAGGGUGGUAGACUCCGGGCUCGAGAUUUGAGUUGGGAAAUGUCAAAUCUACGAAAAAAUGUGGUGAGAAUGCCCCCGGCUCGAUGGUAGGUCCGGAUGGUUGAGAUAGUCUUGGGCCGACUUGGGCUGCUUGGAAAGCCACGGGAGCAGGCUGGGCCACGAGAGUGAGCUGCUCGGCAGGAGUAGGCUGGGCUACGAGAGUGGGCUGCUCGGCAGGAGCAAACUGCUUGGAGUGUGAUGCACAUGGGUGCGAGGCUUGGGCUCGGCUUGGUAACACAUUGAGUUCGGGUUUGGCUUGGAGUGACAUGACUUGGGCCGUGGCCUUGGUGUCGUGAGCCUUGGAUGGCACGGCUCGGGCAGUGGUAGCUGUGCCAUGGACCUCGCCGCGGGUAGUGGUGACCGUGAUGGCCACCGCGGUGGUUGCCAUGGUGGAGCCCCGUAGUGAUGGUGCCGCUCCUAUGAUCACAUUUAGCCUCGUGGAUCGUCGUGGUCCCAUUUCUUGAAUAUUAGAAUUUUCACUUAUGGAAUUUUCUAAAUUUCUAGCCAUUAUAUUUUUCUUAUACGUUUUAUCAAAGAACCUUUGCAAAUAAAAAAUUCUAAUAAUAAGAACGUAUGAAAAAAUAUUCAAAUGGACUAGAAAAUAGAGAAAAACCUUUUUAUGCGAGAGUCUUCUACGAGUAUAGAUCUCAACUCUCAAUGAAAGCACCAAUUUGUGGAUGCAAAUUUCUUCCUCCUUGAUCCUAGACAAUUUUGCACCUACAAAACAAUUAACACCUUAGGUUAAGGCCAAGAGCCUCACACGCCCACGAUGAAUGGGGGGGCUUUGGCCGAAGAACCUCUGAUGCCAAAGUUAGAAUUUAGAGAGAUAGAGUGUUCAGAGAAUUUUGAGAUUUUUGCCAAAGUGUUGGAAUGGAUUUUUGGUGAGAAUGGGAUCACUUUUAUAGGGAUAGGAAGUGGCCGGCCUAGCUAGGGUUUUUGGGUUUAAUUUAGGUUUAAUUAGUCAAUUUAUUUGGCUAAUUAAACCCUAAAGAAUAAAUUGGUGGUUACAAAAUUGAUUAUUUGUAUAAAUGGGGUAAUAAAAUGGAGAAAGGUGAAAAAGGUUAGGAAAAGGGAGGUGGCCGGCUUCUUAGUGGUUUUAGGUGUGAGUGGGUGUUUUAAUUGAUAAUUAAGGGAUUCAUUAGGUAAUUAAUCAAUUUUUAGGGAAUAUGAAAGGAAAAUAUUAUUUAGCUAAUUGAUUAGCUAAAUAAUGGAAUACAAAAUAUAUAGAACAAAUUAGGUAUUAGGAAUUACCUUAUAGAAAGGAUUUGAUGAAAUAAGCUUUAAAUUGUUACCUAUUUUGGGCACUUUUGACUUGGUUGAGGAUGAUUGUCUGCCGCUCACGCGUAGGAAUCUCGAUAUGCCUCAAGGGUAUUUUUGUUCUCUUUUACCCAAAAAUCCACGUGUCGCCUUGUGAUUAUUUUGGCUCCACAACAACCACGUCAGCAUUUAACAGACCAAUGGAUGGAAAAUCUAACGGAGGUAUUAUUUUGAAAUAAAAUAACAAGUGAGGUAUGAAAGUGAAAUGUUUUAAAGAUGUUGUAUGGGGUUGUAAUAGACCUCAAACUUGAGGGUCCUAUGUAAUUUACCUAUUUUUAUGUUAAUUAUGAAUAGGUCAAUCAUGUAGAACCAAAUUAAAAGCUAACAUCAAUAACAACUACCAGAGACAAAAGCUCUAAUCAAUGCUUCGGAAACAUAGUCUUGUAUCUCUAGGUGUAAUGAUAUAAUUUGUUGGAAACUUAAAAGAAAAUUGGUGAUUUUGUAUAUAAUCGAUAAAAAGUUAUAAUAGUGACAAUAUAUCAGUAAUAUUUAUGUUAAUUAGGAAUAGGUCAAUCAUGUAUUUAAUACUUACAUGCAUUUAAAAUAAACACCUUAUCAAUGUUUUUUUAACUGUGCUCAGUUUUUCUCCUUCGCUUUGGUUUUGUUCUAUUGGAUUUUUCAACUAUCAUUAAUUGUGAACAUAACUGAUCAUUGAGACACAAACAUCCAAGGGAGAGUACCGUGGAACAAAAUGUGGAUAUCUUUAUACAUUGUAUGGUAGUAAACCAUCAUAAACACCAUAAUAAUGUAGAAACGCUCUUGGGGUACCUUUGGAUGAUAACUCAUGUAUUUGUUGCCCUACGUAAAGAUGGCUAAUGAUAAUGGAAGUCUAAUUUUCUCAUCCCAAUCUCUCCUGUCUCUCUUGUUCUCUUUUCUCUAUAGUUUAUUUCCAACAAGUUGUGUUAUUUUUUUUUUUUAGUAUUGUUAAGCAACCAAUAGAUUUUAAUUAGCAGUCUUUGUUUUUUUCUUUUAUAUUUUUAAUCAAUUUCAGUUGCUUAUCCGUUCUAGCAAAUUGAGCUCUUUUACAGCAAUUUUUUUCUUUAAAUGAAAUUAUUAUUAUUAAAAGAGUGAGAAAAUUCGAAAUUAUUACAACAAUUUAAAAAAAAGAAGUUUCGAAUCAUAAACACAGAGGGAGUUUACAACAUUUUAAUUAAGAAAUUAGGCUUCAGCUCAACUCAUCUUUGCAACGUCGGUUCCACUUCACAUCAACAUGCAAUGUUUCAGAAGGUCACGCGGUUUUGGGGUUGUUGUGUACCAAUAAUAUUAUAUAUAUAUAAAUUAGGAUUGAAGGAUACACGCAUUUUGUAGAGCUUAUUUUGUUAUGUAUUUUAAUGAUUUAAAUGCUUACGUUUUUCUUCACUACAAAUGAGUGAAUUAAUGAUUUUAGAAUUUGUCUAAUUUUUUACAUUGAUUAUUUAUGAAUAUUGAAUUGAAAUAUAGACGAUUCAAAAAUCGUUGAUAUACAUUACAAAAUGAACUCCACAAAAUAAGCGUCAAAAUAUGUAUAUAAAAUGGACAGCGUGAAAGGCUUGGAAAUUGGAAUAGGUUUGAAAAUUGUGCUUUUUGUAGCAAAUUGUAGCAAAGUUUGCUUGGACUUUCACAACCGUAUAAAUUAUGCCGCAGCACUCUCUAUUUUCUCUCUCGCUCUAUAUCGUGGUCCCUCUCUCUCGCCGUCCUCGAUUGCUCGAACUCACUAUCCUUUAUUGCUCGAACUCACCGUCCUCAAUUGCUCGAACCCACUGUCCUUUAUUGCUCGAACUCACUGUCUCCAACUUCCUCUGUUUGGUUCCCGAUGAAGAUGGUAAAACAGUAGGGGCAAGAAAUUAUGACAAUGUUAGAUUUGCAUAUUAAUCUGGUAGGGCUACAAUUCUCCAAUCCACACCCCUUCCAUCUAUGCUAGUGUUUGUACCCAAUAUUAGAUAUCCGGUCUGUGCAAUCGAGAUCGUUGAAUGAGAAAAAUUCUAAGCCGUGGGAUCAAAUAUAAUGAUGUGGAUUAAAUAAGAAAAAUUUAAAUGUUUAUCUUGGUUGAAUUACCAUGAUAAUAUUGUGGAAUUAUCUUCUGCAUAACGGGAUAGCGAGAAAAGUCCAAGGGUGUAGGGAAGUUGUGUGGCUGACUACCGCUUUUUUUUAUGGUGUCAUUAGUAGAGUAAUAUCACACUUAACAUUUAUUUGUACCAUCUCUCUAAUAAAGAUAAAGACCAUCAAUGCAUAAAUAAUGAUACAAAUAUAUAAUAAGAGUAUCAUAUUUGUAACUAGAAUAGGAGAAGAAAGACUUCAAGAUGGGGUCAGCCAAAUAAUUAGCGUCAGGAUAAAAAUAUGAGUAAUGAUAUUUGUAAACAUCGAAAUUUCGGUAAAUAAAUGUUGACCGAUAAAUCAAAGUUUCAACGCUCAUGUAUUACAUAAAUUUUACACGUAGCGUAUGUCUAAACAAAAAAUCGAAAUAAGUUGGAAAAGUCAUCAAACAGGACACAUGUCAACACCUGGCAGAAACGACUUAUUUCAUCUGGAAUAUUAUAUUCAAAAUUAGGCAUUGGAAAAUUCUAUAAAUAGAAGCCAAUUUCAUUCAUUUGAAGGAACCAAAAUCAUUAGGCAAAAUUCUUGAAGCUCUGAAGCUCUGAAACUCCGAAACUCUCAAGCAUCCAGGUUCCCGAAGAAUCAAGAAAGCUCUCUUCGUUCUUCGUUCUUCGUUCAUCGUUCAUCCUAAGAUCAAGCUCCAACGGCCCUUUAGAUCAACAAUCAUCCACUAAUUCAAGAUCAAGCCCCGACGGCCCUUGAAGAAAGUGUUCUUCAUUCUUCGUUCAUCGUUCUUCCAAGAUCAAGCCCCAACGGCCCUUUGGAUUAACAAUCAUCCACCAAUUCAAGAUCAAGCCCCAACGGCCCUUGAAGAAAGUGUUCUUCGUUCUUCGUUCAUCGUUCUUCCAAGAUCAAGCCCCAACGGCCCUUUGGAUUAACAAUCAUCCACCAAUUCAAGAUCAAGCCCCAACGGCCCUUGAAGAAAGUGUUCUUCGUUCUUCGUUCAUCGUUCUUCCAAGAUCAAGCCCCGACGGCCCUUGGAUCAACAAUCCACCAAUUCAAGAUCAAGCCCCAAAGACCCUUGAAGAACUUCUACCAAUUCAAGAUCAAGCCCUGACGGCCCUUGAAGAAAGUGUUCAUUGUUCAUCAUCCGUUCAUCCCGAAGAAUCAAGAAAGCCUUAUUCGUUCUUCGUUCAUCGUUCUUCCAAGAUCAAGCCCCGACGGCCCUUGGGUCAACAUCAUCAACAAAUCCACACAUCCAACCGUUCUUCAAGAUCAAGCCCAAAAGCCCUUGAAGAUCCGUUCAUCACCGUUAUUCAAGAUCAAGCCUUAACGGCCCUUGAAGAAACACUCAUCCUCAAGAUCAAGCCCCAACGGCUCCUUGAAGAUCCGCUCAAAUCCACCUUCAAAGAUCAAGCCCACGGCCCCUUGAAGAAACAUCCAACAGUUCAUCCAAGAUCAAGCCUCGACGGCCCUUGGAUCAACGAAACAUCUACAAAUCAACACCUUACGGAGAUCGAAUCAGAUGAUCAAAUUAGAGAGAGAUUGUAACCCUAAAUCAUCAAAAUACAAAUAUUAUUUUGUGCACGUUGUUCUUAUCUCUUUCGUUUCAGGAAAUUUUCGUGUUCACAAUAUUCUUACCAUCUAAAUAUACUAUAAUUUUAUACCAUCUUAUGUGGCAAUUGAGAUGGACUUCCACAUAAGUUUUAAAAAAAUCUCAUGUCAGCUAAGGUGGAUAUUUACGAUUUUACGAUUUUACUCAAUGAUUUUUAUUAAUAAAAUAAUUAAAAAAUAAUAAUGAAACCUACUUGCUCCCGUUUUCAAGCCUCAUCGCUGGGCCUCCUCCCUCUUCGCUCUCCAAUUUCACCUUCCUUCACCAACGAUCGAUGGUGCUCGACCCCCUUCAUCAUUGCCAACUGGCCGAAUAUCUUGAUGGUGCUCCCAGUGAUUGUUUUGCUCUGCCACCAAAUCAAGUUUGCAAUUUUAAUGGUUUAUGCCUUCUGGCCAAGUGUUGGAUUUGAUAGGUUUUUAAUUCCAGCAACAUUGAACAAAAAUAUGAAAAGGAUUGGAUACGAUAUUUUCCUCUGUUCUACUGCUGAGGAUUUUCCGAAUAGAAGAAGAUUUGGAAGACAACCUCUUUUCUUUUUUCUUCAUGGACUUUUGGUUAGCACCAAAAUCUUUUCCUAAUCCUCUAUAGGAAUGAAAAUUUCAUUCCAUGUUAUAUCCCGAUGUUGUCCAAGGUUUUGGCUUGAAUUUUCAUUGGAAUUAUCAUAUGUUGGAUCAGAUCAGGUGGAGAGAUGAAACGUAUCUAACAAGGAAGUUGAACGGGUAGGGUUUGAGCAAAAAUAAACAGAAAUUCCACCUAGGUUGACACCUAAGCUUCCACAUCAUGUGGUAUACUAAAUGUGGUAUAAUAAGAUGGUAAGAAUAGCAUUAUUGAAUGGGUAAUGUUAAGAGAAAUUUUUAGUUGUGACGGGAACACGGAUGGUACACCAUGCGUUUUUAUGUAAAUGGUGGAAAAUUUUAAUUUUUAAAUUAUUAACCUUUUAGCACACAUAUCCCACCAUUUAUAUGAAAACACGUGAUGUAUCACCUCGUGUGAUAGUCACAUUGAAAAAUCUCUCGUAAUGUUAGGAAAACUAAAUUUAUAAACAAAAGUUACAAAUUAAAUGAUGGGUUACCAAUAAGAAUGAUUACGUUUAUCAAUGCUUAAAUAAUAAAUCAUUCAUCAACUUCCAGUCCUUUAGUUUUUAAAAUUUUGUCUAACAUUACCCUUUCAAAACUCAUGAAAAUAAUUUUCAAUUUUUUUAACUGAAAAGUGAAAGUUACUAAACAAGAUUUCAGUUUUUAGCUUUCAAAAAAAUAAAAACAAAAGCUAAAAAUAAAAUGGUUAUCAAACAUCCCUAGAAGUCAUUCUUAGUGAUAGUAAGGUCAUCUCCAACCGAAAGAUCCAGGGGGCUAGAGGGCCGAAAAUAGUCUGAAAACCAUUUCCAAUCAAAGGCCAUGCCAAAGGGGUCGUGGACCCCAUUAGACAAAAAAGGGCCAAAGGGCCAACUGGCUGGCCCCAGUUCCAACAAUAACUAGAUGACGUCAGUUAACCGUUAUUUUUGAAUUUUUUUUUUAACAAAUUUUAACUUUCUAAGCCAUUAAACAACAUUAAAUUAAGUAAAAAAGAAAAUUCCUAUAACUUCCUAAGUCAUUAAACAAUAUUAAAUUAAGUAACAUGAAACAACAUUAAACAAUAUUAAACAAAAUUAAACAAUAUUAAACAACAUUAAAUAACAUUUAACAACAUAAAAAUUAUACAACAUAAAAAAAAACAUUUAAGAACAUAAAAUUUAAAUGCCUACUUCAUGCUUCUUUUGGCCCAAAGAUGUGCAACAAGAUCCUAAUGUAGGUACUUGUUUGUGGCACGAGAGCGUAUCAUCCUAACCGUUAGAUUUGAUUUUUUUUUGUUUUCGGCCAAAUUUUUUUAAAUUUAAAAAUAAAUUAUGUUUGACCUUUUGGCCCUCGAUUGGAGAUAGUUUUUUUUGUGACAUGACUAUGUUUAGCCCUAUGACCCUUUGGCCCUCAGUUAGAGAUGGUAAGAAAUAUGACCCAACAAUGUUCAUUAAAAUAUUAAUUUCUUGAAGAGCCAGAGGGCUAAAACGAGCCAUCCUUCGGUUGGAGAUGGCCUAAGAAGAGACUAGAGAUAGAGAGAUUCCUAUACUUAGCUGUGAGAGUUUCCUAUAUAUGAUUUUCAUUAACAAGAUUGAACUGAUUACAUAGAGAAGAAGAUCAAGUAUGGUUAUUUUUAUUUGGGAGACUUUGGAUGUGGUCCUUAGUUAUGAAUAUUAUUUGAUUGAAAUCUUGUUGGUUUUUAAUUUUUUAUCAAGAUCCCUGAAAUUAAUGUGAUAAUUUAUUUCUAUGUAAGUUACUAUAUUUUUUUAAUUAGAAAUUAGAAAUUUUAGUUGUUUAUAUAAAUGAGAUUUUAAAUUAAAAAAACCAUAAUUUGUGGGAUUAAAAAUAUUAAAAUAUAAAUAUACUAUUGUGUGUGUGUGUGUGUGUGUGUGUGUAUAAAUAUGGGUACAUUCAUCAAAAUUAACCAAAAAAUUUAUUGUAUCAAAACAUGGGUACAUUCUUCAAAAUCACAAAAAAAGAAAGAUAUUAGGCUUAAUAACAUUAGUAAAUUUCUUCGAUUAAACUUGACAUGGAUACAUUUUAAAAUCAAAGAAAAAAAAUGUACCCAUAUAAGUUUAAAAAUGGAUUAGAAAAAAAAAUUGAAUAGAUUUUAUACAAAAAAAGGGUACGUUUUACAUAUAACAAAUUGGUAUAUUUAAGAAUGAGUACAUUUUAAGAUUAAAAAGUUUUACAUGAAUGGGUUCAUAUAAUUAGCAUGGGUACAUUUAGCAAAAUAAAAAGUACAAAUACAAAAAAAUAUAUGUGUACAAAUACAAAUAAACUUUAAAAAAUAUGGGCACAAAAAGAAAUUAAUAUAUGGGUACAAAUUAAAACCGAAAAGAAAAUUGGUACAAGUUAAAAAAGAAUUACAAAUUAAAAAUGGGUACAAACUAAAACUAAAAAUAUAUGAUAAAAAAUUUAGUCAUAAAUAUAAAUAUACUAAUUGUAACAUUUUUAACAUUAAAUGAAUAUAUUUAGACAUAAAAAAUAUAUUUUAUUAUUGAAAUAAUUAAUGAUGUUAUUAAUACCCAAGGACCUUGAUAAAAAAUUGAAAAGAAAUAGAAUUUUAAUCAAUGGAGUAGCAAAAGAAAAGAUGAGAACCUAAUUUCUCCUUUGUAUUGUGUAGACAUUAUAACUAUACAUUCAUAAUAACAUGAGUAAUGUUAUAUUUAUCACAUUUGUACUCUUUCUCCAAUAAAGAUAGGGUCCAUCAACACAUGUGGGUUCUAUUUGCCCAUCAACACAUGCGAAUCUCAUUUUUAUUAGAAAAAUAGUACAAAUAUGAUAUGGAAAUUAUGAUAAGAUCGCAAUUUUGUAAUAACAUAUAUACUCAACUAUUUAUAUACCAACUCAUCUCCCUUUAGUGUAGUUAAUAUUGUUUGUUCAACCAAAAAAAAAAAAACUGAACUUGUCAUAAUCAUUGAAUCCAUUUACCAUGAACAAACGGCAGUUUACUAAACUUGCCCUCAGAGUAUAUAUAAAAGGUGAAUCACAAUCUAUUGCAUUAAUAUAAGGAAACAAUUUAUAGGGUUUGACGGGUGACUUAAUAUGCUAUAUGGCACAAUGAAAAUUAAGUUCACACUUUAUCCCAAAUAAGGUGUUGCACCUUUAAUUUAUGGAUGCUGGUUUGACGUGUGACCGAAAUAAUCAAAUUGUAGCCAUUAAUCAUUUUACAAGUAAUAAUAUGUGGUUUUAUUGUUUACGAUUCACACAACAAUCUGCUAGGAAGUAGAAAAUGCAGUACUUGUCCCUCUCACAGAAGUCAUGAAUAAUUAUCAAAUUCAAAGAUAAAGAAAAACCACACAAUUUACAAGAGGAAAGAAAAUGAAGGGAUAAAGAAAGUAAGAAAGGAAUACCUCUAUGGGAGGACUCUUAUUUGCUUCAGAUGCCUACAAUAUUCAUCAUAUAAACACUGAUUAAGUAGUCAUCGAAAACCAAAACAAAUGUCGAACAUAGGGUGAAAAACAGAAAGAAUAACCGCAGCUCAUCAUACCAAUAGAGAUAGAACUGCCCGAUGCCCAAGUAUGACUGAAAAAUGGCAAUCCAAACAUGGCGCCUUCUAGCUCAUCAAACUGUCAAAACCUAGGUUCCACCAAAAAGAUACAAGUCACCUAGUUACUUGUAAAAUAAAAAUCUGUUUCAAAAUAGUGGAAAAUAUUAUUAACAUUGUUCAAAGUCCACAUUGUUGUACCUACCAAGAAACAAGAAGGAUUGUAUCUUAUCAUGAAAAAGAACAUAGGUACCUUUUCAAUUGUAAUUGUACAAAAAUGAGAGACCACUUCCGAACUUCUCUUGGAACUUCAAUCAAUUUCUGCCCACUUUUAAAUGCCUUGACAUACUUAAGCCUAUUUCUUUGAGCUUCAGUUUUGGCUUCUGAUGCCUUUAAAUUUCUUAAAGAUUCUUACCAAGUUUUACAAACUCACUUCUAUACAACCAUUUGUCAGUAUACAUACCAUUUUCUUUGAGCUUCAGUCUUUGCAACACCAAAACCCCCCAAAUAGACCCGGAAUUUUGCAAUGUGCAGGGAAUAUACAAAAAAAACCCUCCUAUCCAUCUAAAACGAAAUCAGAACGCAAACCACAAUCAAAAUCCGUAAAAUUAAUUUAGCCAACCCCUAAAUCUAAUAAUUCUAACAAAUAUUAUAGUAUCAAUUGAGAGAGAAUUUGAGAAGAUACCUAGAGAUGAAAGGAAGAGCGUUUCCUCUGAUAGGGGUUCCGUGAAAGCAUCUGUUGACCAGAAAAGAAAAGGCAAAAAACCCCAAAUUACAUAUCAAGCAAUUAUAGAUAGAUCGAACCUUGAAAAUUGAAAUUUCAAACAAGAGAAAGGUUAUAAACUUACAACGAUCUGGGUGUUGGUAACUGGGUUUGGAUUUGGGUUUCUGAUAAGAGAGAGAAUCGUAUGAGGAACCGAUAGAGGAACUGCACCGGCAACAGAGAGCAAUUGAUAUGGUGGAGAACAGACGAGAAUAGCUGCUUGGAUGGUCAAUCCAAGAAGAGAAAAUCUUGCCACAAUCGCGGUACUUGAAAAAAAAAAAAACAAGUUUAAAGGAGGGAAACAAUCGCGCCUUUUUCUAAUAGACUCUGUCGACGAUAUUCUUGACAAAUAGAUGCUUCGUCGGGUGAGCUUAUUUUUCACAACAUUUUAUUUAGGAUUGGGUUCGGUUGGUAAACCGUGUCAAAUUUCUUGUGCCACUUGCCAGCCACAUAUACAUAAUUACCGAAAAUCAGUUACCGUUAGCCAACCGUCUUCUUGCGGUUGCCAAAAAUCGGUUCAGCCAAAAUGAUUGGCUGGUUCGGUUGGUAAAUGGCACAACCGGUGGUUUCCACUUCUUCCUCGCUAUCUUCCAGUUCCAAGGGCUCAAUUUGAUUUUCAGAUUGGGAUGCUUGUUCGGUUGCAUUGUGUGGUUCAUUUUGGGUUAAUCCAUGUUGUGCACUAGUAGUUGAUUGGCUAGACUCCAUUAUCCUAAACAUAAGCAACAAAUAUACAUUCAAAAUAAUAUAUAUGUACGUGUAUAUAUAGUAUCAGUAAUCAUCAUGCUAUCAAUUUUGUUAACAAUAUUUUCUAUAUAUUGAUUUUGGCAUGAAUCAUAUACACAUACAUAUAUUUUUAAAACCCUAAAACUAAGGAGUCAUUUAUUUUCUAAACUCUAAAAUUGAGGAGUCAAGCAUGUAAAAAAAUACUUAAAAUAUCUAAAUAGAAAAAGAAAAAGAAAAAAAAAUAAAUAUAUAUAUAUAUCGGUAGGUAUGGCAUACCGCCGGCAUACAAAAUCAAUUACCAAAGCCAUGCCAUUAAUUGUCGGUUCGGUAAAAUGCCAACCGAUUAUGAAAAAAUGUCAAAACUAUACCAUACCAUUUUGAGCCAACCAGUAUGGUUUGGUCAGUAAAUCGGUUUAUGGCAAAAUUUCUCACCCCUAAUUUUAUUUGUCACCUUAAACCUAUUGGUUUCUAGCCUACAAUUCGGAUAUUUUGUUGGGGAAAGAUUUUUGUACCAAUAAAAUUUUGCUUUGUCGGCAAAAUGACAUUUUCUAGUAGUUAUAAUAUUAGGUAGAUCAAAUUUGUAAACUAUGUGAUGUGUCACUAAUAGGAAAAAAUUUCAGUGUGCUGAAAAUACGGUCUAGAACACCAAGUGUCAUAAUAUAUACUUGGUUGGAAAUCUUUUAUUUUCAAGUUUCCAACUAGUUGUAUUGUAACAGUUGGUGUUCCAAGCUAUUUUCUCCAUGCGCUGGAAAAUCUCUUCACUAAUUAAAAAUAAACAUAUUAAUUAACACUUAAGUAAUAAUCAAAGCAUCAACAACUACGUCAUAGAAUUUACGAAAUAUGAUCUUAAUUAAUGAUCUCCAUUACCCUUUAUCUUAGCGUAUACGUACGCCUUCACAUGUUUAUUUGCUGAUAUGCAGCUUGAGUAAAAAUUUCUUUUUAAGAACAUAUAUGUGAAUAUAAACAUAUAUAUCUAGUGAUCCAUGUUGCGUUAUUUAAAAAUAAACAAAUUAAUUAAUUAAUGAACUGUGUACCUGUCUGUGUAGAGUAAUCCAUAUGCAUGCUUGAAUCCUGAUCACCACGAAACCAUAAUAUAAGCUACUCAAGGCCCGGAAGCUAGGAUUGAAGAGAAAAACACCCAGUCAGAUUAAGCCAAUACAUCAAAGUUAAUACUUCCAAAUGUAAGCUUUAAGAUAGAAAAAUCACUUACUUCCUUGAGCAGUCGAGCUUCUUCAAUGGCAUGAAGCUUUUAGCAUGAGAUUGACUGCAUCACAACUAAAAUUUUCUCUUGGAAACUACAUAAGGAAUAGCAUGUAUACCUAUAACGUUGAGAAAGUACGCCAAUUUUUUCCUUCUGCACAUUCAUGUUUAAAAGUAAUCCUCAAAUGAACUUGCCCACAAUGAAAUGCAAUUUGAGGUAGUCGAGUGUGUUCCAUUUCCAUCCCAUCGGAAUUACUACUAAACUUUGAGAUGGUAGAGGAUUCAUGAAAUUUUUUACUUUUGAAAUAGUCUCCUUAGCAUUUCUCGACUAUAACAAUGAGGAAAUACUUCACCUUGUAUCAAACAAGGGAGACCGAAAAUCAACUACUAAUAGCAUCACAGAGCCAGCAGAAGAUUGAGGAGGCCAUGAAAAGGAAAGAGAAAAUACACUCUUUUUUUGUAAGGACAGAGAUAAUACAUUCAAUAAAGGGUACUGAUGUUUAUAUGCAAAGCUGAUUAGGUUUAAAUAGUCGUAUUUAUUCUGUACAGUGCCAAUAUUACCACCCGUUAGUACACUUUCAAGACACUGUAAUCCAGUGUAUGCACUAUGCAGUACGUAGUACUCCUCAUUUUUUUGGGGAAAUUCAUUAUUGGUCUUCAUAUCUUCUUUAUUUUCCUUGUCCUCAUUGUGCCACGUGUUUAAAUCACUAAUUAUAGGUAAUCUUUCAAUUUAAUUAAAUCUUAUGUAAAAAAAGAUAAUUAAAUAUCAUUUAGUAUUACAAUAUAGUGAUAUUCCUCUUUAGUAUAAAAUUUUUAUAAUUAAAAGCGUUCAGCUUUUUAAUCUUCAUUGGAAUAUUAUCUAUAAAGAAAAAUUAUUCGAAUCAGAGAUCAUUUAUGCAUUCAAAUGUAUAAAAUACAUCGACAGUGUGAGAACCAACUAAUAUAUUUUUGAUGAAGUACAAUUAUUGAAUACAUUUGAACGAUCAAAUGAUAUAUGAUUCAAAAUACAUAUUAAGAUAAUAAAUAUAAAAGAAUUGUUAUUUGCACUUCAAGAAUCUCAUUCUACACUCUAAAUUUUCUAUAUAUUAAAAGAAAAAUAAAUUUGUGAAAAGUGUAGAAUGAGGUUUUUUUAAAUGCUAAUAACACUUCUCUAAAUACAAUUAUGAAAUUAAUUAAGUAAAGAUACAUGACCUCGUGAAUGAUGAAUGUAUUAUUCAAAAAAAUAUUAAAAACAAAUUGAAAAAGGACGCUGUUGUUGCCACCACUUAUGCAAUGAUCGUCGCUGCCAUCACCAACCCCCAACACCCCAUUACAGCUCAUAAAAGCACAUCAUAAGCAAUUUAUGAAAUAAAUUUACUGGAAUACUAAUUUCCCCCUUAGUUUAGGUCACCAAUGUUUAAAUUUAGGGAUCGUGAUAUCCACACACAUUUUUUACUUCUUUCACACUUUUUUUUUCGGUUGUCGGAUCAGAUGAAUUGAAGAAAAUCAAUGAACAGAAAUUAACAAGGGGUGUGUGAGAAGUAAAAAUGAAUGUGUGGAUAACACACCCCUAAAUUUAUCACAACUUUCAUUCCAAAUUUAAUUUUUAUCCGUAGUUUUGUUUGUUCAAAUUUACUUUGACAUUUCCAUUAGUAUUAAAAUCUAAUUUAAAUUUUAGUGUUCAAGCUAGAAAAAGUGUUCCAUUUAAUAUUUAAUCUCAGUUUUUCUCUUUAUUCUUUUAUUGGGAUUUGGUUGCAUCGUAUCUCCAUUUUUCUCGGUGUUGUAUGUUCAUAAGGCCUGUGAAACGUUGGCACGGAGUGAAGGGUACUCACUUUUUGGCCCAAAAUGCAUAAGGCAUGUAGAUAUGUUAAUCAAAUUUUGUAAACUAAAGGAUAUAGAAGUUGAUAAUUAGAUUAUAAUUUAAGAUAAUACUAAGGAGACUAAAUUUGCAAACUAAAUGAUGUGUCACCAAUAAAAAUAAGCACGUUUAUCAACAAUUAAGUAAUAAAUCAAUCAUCAACUUUCAUGUCCUUUAGUUUCCAAGAUUUAAUAUACAAAUUUAGUCUCCCAAGCAUUACUCUAUUACUUAAGUAUUGAUUAACAGACUUAUUUCUUAUGGUGACACAUUAUUUAGUUUACAAUUUUAGUCUACCCAACAUUACUCUUUUGAAAUUGUCUUGUCCACUGAUAUAAUUCUAUUUUUCUUGUGAUCAAAACUUCAAAUGUUAGCAAGUCGCACGUAAAGUCGCUUAUGAGAGAAUGUGCUCACAUUGUAGUUGAAAGAUUAUGUGGCUAGCAACAUUACAAAUUUAAUUUGGUAUAAUUCUAAAAUAUAGAUUGAGGAAAAAAUGAUCACAUUAACUAGAAACUGAAAAGGUUUCAGCACAGUUUGUUCAAGCAAGAAAUUCAAUUUUGAUGCUACCGAUCUUAACAGCCUGAGCGCCGUACCUGGGCACCAAAGUCACCACCACACUCUCAUCAUCUUCAGCACCCAAAUCCUCCAACAGGUCCGUUAACCCCAACCUUAAACAACUCUUGCUCUUUUCCUUCUGCUUAUGUGGCACACUCACAAAACUCCCAGCAAACUCGCUCUUGUCGGGUCCACUCGGUGCCGCAUCCUCAUCGUCCACGUCAUUCACAUACACACAUCAAACUUCACAGCCACAUCUUUGUCAAGCUCAAUCCCCUGAAUCACCAAUAUCUCCUCCUCAUCCUCUUUCUCCUUCUUGCUCCUCUUCUUCGGCUUCGGCCUUGACACCACCGUACUUAUCUUCGUCUCCAAAUUUAUUGGAAAAUCUUUACCCGCCACCACCUUCCCUGAUGACGUCGUCUCAGUGGCCUUCGCCACUCCAGCCGCCUUUGCCUUUCUCGCAAGCUUUGUCCGACGUGGCGUCGGUCUAGACUUGAGCCAUGGAAUCUCAACAUCUUCAUACGUAUACCCUAGCUUUUUAUUAUCAAGAGUGUCCCUCACCGUGACCCUAACAAGCUCAGCAUUCUCGUCAUAAAACAAAAACCCCGUAUCCAACCAAUCCUUAUCGUUAAUAUCGUUAUUUUUAGUCCCUAUACUUUUCCAAAUAUUCCACAUUCGAUCUAUAUUCGAAUGGUGCGAAAAAAAUAUUGGAUCCCUUGCAGCGGAGUAAAAAUUCCCCAUGUCUUCAAAAUUAGGCUGCGUGUUAUCUCCGGUCCAUAAAUGAACCGGACCAUGUGGGGUCGUUUCGAUUGAACCGCCCCCUGGAUCUGGUUCAGUGUCAGCCCUGUAGGGCGAACCAAAGAACAACAGCGGUUUCUUGGAGUUGGAAACCAUCUGCCUAUACAUGAUUUUGAGGUUGGCGUCGAUUUGAGCAUCCUUGGACAUUGUUUCAUCCGUGCCGUUGAAGUCAAGAUCGAUGAGAGUCGGCGGCUGAUGGCUGGCAGCGCGGAGCUCGUCGUAAAGCGGAGAGUCCGGGUUAGCGAACAAGGCAGGGAGUUGCAUGCCAGCUGGCGCGUCCCAGUUCCAAAACGGCAACGCGAACGUCGGAUCGUCUAUGAGUUUGGCCAAGAUUCUUUCGUAGAAGUAUACGUAGUAACGAUGGAAGGGGAAGAAAAGCCAGCAUUGAUGGAUUUGGAGCUCGAGGUUGGGGAAGCCGACUUGGUCGUACGCGCCGUCGCAAUAGGCACAGUGGAGAUCGGCUUGCUGGGUGAAGCUACGCGGAUCGUCGUCCGGGAGGGCUUUCAUGAGCUCGAUGGCUUUUGAAUAUUUUUCGAUGUAGGCUUUAUCCACGGUGUGAGCUGCCGGCCUGACGCGGAGUUUGGUAGGGGAGGGGAAUUUGAAGUCUACGAUUUUUUGGGACGUUGGCGGGCAACAGUUGAUCGGGACUGCUCCACUUGGAAAGUCCGCAGCUCCGCAUUUGGCUAGGUCAGGCGGCAACACUGGCUUUGCAACAGCGAAGGGGUCGCUGCCAAGACCAGCCACUCCGGCUUUGCAACAGCGAAGGGGUCGCUGCCAAGACCAGCCACUCCACCGUAGAGGCUUCCGAGACCUAUAAGAAGAUAGAAUUCAGUUCUUGGCAGUAGAGGACUCUAUUGCAGGGAAAAACUGAUUUGAAUUAGGAAGGCUUAAGUAGUUUUCCAUAAGGAUUUUAAUAGGGAAUCCAUAUUCUAAUAUGAGAAGGAUAUGUGUGUACAUAUAUAUAUAUAUAUAUGGCAAUCUCUUCUCUCACAGGUGUGUGCUCUUUUGGAACUAAGCCCUAUUCUUAGUUUGAGUGAUAAAUACCCUGACAGAGAGAAGAAGAAUUGAUGUGCUUUUCAGGUUGAUCGAGAUCCACCAUGACUGCAUCAAACGGGAGUUCUACAGGUUAGUAUAAUUAGGUUUUAUUUGGAUUGAUGUUUUGUGUCUACUUGGUUGUAGUUUAAGUAACUGAAUCUUGCAGCUAGAUUUUGGUUUACAUGUGGUAUCAGAGCCAUAGAUUCAUGUUCUUAAAUUCAAUCGAUAAAAUUGAUUGAAUCCAAAAUAAAAUUCCGAUCUUCAGACUUCGAAACAGGUUCUGGUAGUUAAAAUUAGGAAAAGAAGAAACGGUGCGUUUUGAUUAAAAUAUGAUGAUUAAUACUUGACCGUUAAGAGCUAAUAAACUAUCUUCUCUUCCGAAUUGGGAAUACAAAUCGACAUCUAUCGAUUUCGAUUUCGGGGUUUGAAAAACUGGGUUAUAUGACAUCUAUCGAUUUCGAUUUCGAGGUUUGAAAAACUGGGUUAUAUGAAUUGUUAUUGAGUAUCCACAAUUUAUAUUAAUUGCUUCCGCUGCUGGGUGUUGAUGCUCAUAGAACAAACGGGUAUGUCUCCUGAACAUUGAAUUGAAAUUUGUUUUUUAAUCAAUCUUAUCUUGAAUUUCAUUAUGUUCUACAGCAUGAUUCGAAUAGUGAGCAUAAAAAUAUGCUUAUUUAUGCUGAUUAGUCCUAUGUUUAUGCGUUUUUCUCUAACCAUCUAUGGAAGGGAGUUCUUCGAUAAGAACCUCUGCAGAUUUCACUUGUUUUAUGCAGAAAGUUUUAUGAAGAACUGUUCAUUUGAUAAAGAUCUGCUAAAACUGUGUUCUUAAAUGGAAAAAUCUUUUAUUCUAUAUGUGCUUAUCAAUUCUUCAUUGUUAAGAUUAUAUAUAUGGAUAAAAGGUUUUGAUGAUAUGAUGUACAAAGGAUUGUGAGAUGAAAUCUGGAACUCUAAACGUUCUUCUGUGAUUCAUUGUGAUUUCAUUGUGCUACAGUGUCUGCAAUAUCAAUGAAGACUCUGAAUUUGGCUAACAUCCCAAUUCUUACUGGUGGGGGAAAUUACAAGAAGUGGAGAAGGGAAAUCAGUUUGCUGUUGACUCUAAACGAGUUUGAUAUAGCAAUCGAGAAUCCCAAACCCGUGGUCAAUGAUCAGAGCAGCACAAGGGCUGAAAAGGCAGAUUUUGAGAGAUGGACAAGGGCUAAUAAGGUAGCAUUGUCCAUCCUUGAGAGUGGCAUGACUGAUACAAUCAGAUGAGGAAUUAAGAAGCACGAUUUGGCUGCUGAUUACCUAAAAGCUAUUGAAAAGAAAUUUCAAGAAUCUGAAAAAGCUGAAGUGAGUCAGUAUAUGUCUUUAUUAACUACUUACAAGAUGGAGGGUACAAGCUCUAUAAGGGAUCACAUAAUGAAGAUGACAUAUGCUGCAGAAAGACUCAAUGCAAUGGAUAUAAACAUAGGUGAAAAGCAGUUAGUAUUCAUGAUUCUUCAAGCACUUCCCAGUAAAUAUAGUCAGUUGAAGAUCUCCUACAAUACUCAAGACAAAAACUGGGAUAUUGAUCAGUUGAUUGCACAGUGUGUGCAAGAAGAAACUCGUCAAAAACAAGAAAGAGGCAAAGAAGUUGAGGACAUCAACUUUGUGCAAACUAUAAAUGACAAAAAGCAGUUCAACAACAGAAGCUUUUCUGGUUCUGGUAAGAGUUCUAAGCCUUUUAAAACUUCUAAUAAGUUCAGUAAUUCUGCUAAAGUAGUUGACUCCCCUAGAAAAUCUAUCAAGUUUAAAGCUAAACCUAAAGAUGUGUCUAAAUUAAAAAUGUUUUUGGUGCAAAACUAAGGGCCAUUUAAAAGUUAACUGUGAAAUUUUCAAAGAUUAUGUAAAGAGCAAAGAAAAGGAACAAGUACUUGUCUGUAUUGAAUCAAAUUUGUGAAGUAUACCUGUUGAUUCUUGGUGGUUUUGAUAUACCGGAUGCUCAGUGCAUAUAACUAAUUCUUUAAAUGGUUUUCAAAAACAAAAGGAAUUUGGAAAUGCUACAUAUAAUGUUUUUGUUGGGGAAGGAACUAAAGUUGCAGUAGAGUCAAUUGGGAUAGUCAAAUUAGUCUUAUGUUCUGGUUAUGUUUUAGAGUUGAAAGAUGUGUGCUAUAUGUGCCUAAGAUGAGAAGAAACUUAAUUUCUGCCCUCUAAAAUUGUAAAAGAUGGUUUUUCUUUUCUUGGUGAUGAUGAGUGCCUCAAAAAUUUUCAAGAAAAACUGUCCUUGUCCUAACACUAUUUUAGGGACUGCUUUUUUGUCUGAUAAUUUAUGGAAUCUAAAUUGCACUGUUAAGGCACUCAAUCACACGAUUUUCAGCAUUAGUACUAAGAGAAUGAUAGGUCAGGAUACUUCAUACAUUUUAUGGCACAAAAGACUAGGACACAUCUCUAAAGAAAGGAUAAUUAAGCUGUAAAAAACUGACUUGAUUCCAAAAUUAGAUCUUUCUACUGCAACUGAAUGUGUUGACUGCCUAAAGGGUAAAAUGACCAAUUUUAGAAAAACAGAUGCCAAAAUGAGCCAGGGGUUACUUGAAAUCAUACACACUGAUAUCUGUGGUCCUUUUCCAGUUAAGACAAUAUGUGGAAACAAGUAUUUCAUUAAUUUCAUAGAUGAUUUUUCAAGGCUGGGAUAUACCUUUCUGAUUAAUGAAAAAGCUGAUGCCCUUAAGUGUUUUAUAAUUUACAAAACUGAGGUUGAAAAACAGUUAGGCAAGGUUAUUAAAAUUGUUAGAUCGGAUAGGGGAGGUGAAUACUUUGGCAGGUACACUGAAUCCGGGCAGCAAAAGGGACCAUUUGCUCUCUAUCUCGAGAAGAAUGGUAUUGUGGCGCAGUACACCACACCUGGAACGCCUCAACAGAAUGGUGUUUUUGAAAGAAGAAACAGGACUCUUAUUGGUAUGGUUAGAAGCAUGAUGUCCAGAUCAAAAUUGCCAGGAUUCUUGUGGGGAGAAGCUUUGAAAACAGCUAAUCAUAUAUUGAAUCGAGUUCCAAGCAAGGCAGUAUCUACCACACCCUAUGAGUUAUGGCAUGGGAGAGUUCCUAGUUUUACUUAUUUCCAUGUUUGGGGUUGUAAAGCAGAAGCUAAGUUAUAUAAUCCUAAUGAAAGAAAGCUGGAUUCAAGGACUCAGUCAUGUUAUUUUAUUGGCUAUCCUGAGAAAUCAAAAGGAUACAGGUUCUAUAUCCCUCAAGGUCACACUCGGAUCCAAGAGACACACAAUGCAGUUUUCCUAGAAGAUGAAGAUGUCUCUCAUUUGUCAAGGGAAAAUUUCAUAUUUGAAGAGAUGCAUUCAGAUGGUGGGGACCAUGUGACAAUGGAUUAUAAUAUCGGUCUCAUUGUUUCCCAAUCAAUCAUCAAUUGCCAUUGAAGAUAUGAGUGAAGAUUUAGGAGUUCCUGAUGACAACUCUGUAGGAGUUGAUUCCACAACAUAAGCUGCAACAAUUCCUUUUGCAGAAGCAUGUGAACCAGUUGCUGUUCCACCUCCAGUUGAAAUCAGAAGGUCACAAAGAGCUCGGAAAACCACUGCAAGCAAUGACUAUGUGUACUUAUAAGAGACUGAGUUCGAUAUUGGUGACAUUUGAUGAUCCUCUUACAUAUACUCAGGCAACUGAAAGUCCUCAAGCAGUUCUUUGGAACAAUGCAAUGAAGGAUGAGUUAGAUUCAAUGUCCAAAAACCAGGUUUGGACAUUGGUGGAAUCCAACUCUGAAAUUAGGCCAAUAGGCUGCAAGUGGGUAUAUAAAACCAAAAGGGAUGCUGCUGGAAGAAUUGAAAGAUAUAAAGCAAGGUUGGUUGCUAAGGGGUUUACUCAAACGGAGGGGAUCGACUAUAAUGAUACUUUCUCUCCAGUUUCCUCCAAAGACUCCAUGCGAGUUAUCAUGUCUUUAGCUGCCUACUUCGAUCUUGAAUUACAUCAAAUGGAUGUAAAAACCGCUUUUCUUAACGGAGACUUACAAGAGGCUAUAUACAUGAAACAACCUGUUGGAUUUGUUGAAAAGGGGAAAGAGAAUUUAGUAUGCAAGCUCAAUAAGUCCAUAUACGGCUUGAAACAAGCAUCAAGGCAAUGGUACCUAAAGUUUGAUCAAAUUGUCUCUGCAUAAGGUUUUGUAGAAAACAAACUGGAUGAUUGUAUAUACAUUAAGUUCUCAGGUUCCGAGUUCAUCUUCUUAGUACUUUAUGUUGAUGCCAUUCUCCUAGCUAGUUCAUGUCCCCAAUUGCUUCAUAGCAUUAAGAGAAUGCUAAGUGAUAACUUUGAGAUGAAAGAUCUUGGAGAAGCACAUUAUGUACUAGGAAUAGAGAUUGUUCGAGAUAGGAAAAUGAGGCUCCUUGGUUUAUCUCAAAAGGGGUACAUUGACAGAGUGUUGGAGAAAUUUCAUAUGGCAAAUUGCAAUUGUGGUCAGGUUCCAGUCAAUAAAGGUGACAAGUUUUCGAAGAUUCAAUGUCCAAGAUCUGAUUUGGAGGUGAAGAAAAUGCAAGCUAAGCCUUAUGCCUCGUUGAUUGGAAGUCUUAUGUAUGCAACUAUCUGUACAAGGCCUGAUAUUGCCUUCAUAGUUGGUAUGCUAAGACGAUUUCAAGCAAAUCCUGAGAAGCACAUUGGGGGUGGCAGCCAAGAAGGUUCUUCGAUACUUGCAGAGAACCAAAACUCACAUGUUAGUAUAAUGGCCGAACUGAUUCUUUGGAGCUCAGGGGGUAUAUACUCGGAUUUAGCUGGAGAUGUGGAUGACAGGAAGUCCACAGGGGUUAUAUCUUCAUACUCAAUGGAGGGGCAGUUUCGUGGAAAAAUGCAAAGCAAACUAUUAUAGCCACAUCAACUAUGGAAGCUGAGUUUGUAGCCUGUUUUGAAGGCAUGAAACAGGCAGCAUGGUUGAAGAAUUUUUUGACAGAUUUAAAGAUUGUGAAUUCGGUUCAGAAACCAGUAACAAUGUUCUGUGAUAAACAACUCGGCUGUGUUUUUUGCUAAGAAUAAUAAAAGGACUUCAGCAUCUAGAUUUGGAUGGACGAAGUUUCUUAAGGUCAGAGAACAAGUCAAGAAAGGAGUUAUUGAAGUACAGCACAUUAGCACUACUAUGAUGAUUGCUGAUCCCUUGACUAAGGCACUGCCAAUUGGAGAAUUCAAGAAACAUGUUUCUUCAAUAGGAGUACUAGAAGGUUUUGAUCAGUGGGAGUAAUCACGUGUGUGUUAAAGGCUUGGGAUUGCAGAAGCAGAAGUAUAUAUGUGUUUCAAGAACUGUAUGUGCAAUUCUGACAAGCUGAACUAAGGAUGCUUUAUGUUUUAACUUGCUUUAGUUAGUUUGUUAAGGUUGUUUGUGUUUUAAUAAGUGUCCUUGUCUGCUACUCAAUACUUUGGCUUUCAGGUGUUGAGGUACGGAUACUGGACUGAGUUAGAAUUUAGUUUCAUUAGUAACUUUGAAAGAACAGUUUGUCUGUUUUUUAAGUUUGUGGUUAAUGAUGUUAUAUAGUCAAUUACUAUGUUGCUUUUCUGUGAAGAUUAAUGUGUGUUGUGAUCUUUUGAAAAGUGGGAGCAUAAUGUUUGACGGUUUAUGUUAGUCAUGAGUCAUAUUUACAAAUUGAAUAUAUGUGAGCCUUGAAUUAAUACUACAAUUUGGUUGUGGUCUGAGAUUCUUGGUUUCUAUAUUUUGAGAUGUAAUGGGACAGUGGUCAUGAUGGUUAAAUCUUAGAUGAGGUUAUGUGAUCACUUCUUAUGAUUGGUGACGGCAAGGUUUGAUCUUUGUCUCAUGUUCAAGUGGGAGAAUGUAAGAAUGUGAACAUGAGAUAAGAUGAUCGGAUAUUAGUUGUUUGAGUCCAAUCCGAAUAAGAAAGCCUCUAAGAAGAUGGAAUUCAGUUCUUGGCAGUAGAGGACUCUAUUGCAGGGAAAAACUGAUUUGAAUUAGGAAGGCUUAAGUAGUUUUCCAUAAGGAUUUUAAUAGGGAAUCCAUAUUCUAAUAUGAGAAGGAUAUGUGUGUACAUAUAUAUAUAUAUAUGGCAAUCUCUUCUCUCACAGGUGUGUGCUCUUUUGGAACUAAGCCCUAUUCUUAGUUUGAGUGAUAAAUACCCUGACAGAGAGAAGAAGAAUUGUUGUGCUUUUCAGGUUGAUCGAGAUCCACCAUGACUGCAUCAAACGGGAGUUCUACAGGUUAGUAUAAUUAGGUUUAUUUGGAUUGAUGUUUUGUGUCUACUUGGUUGUAGUUUAAGUAACUGAAUCUUGCAGCUAGAUUUUGGUUUACAUAUUUUUCGAUGUAGGCUUUAUCCACGGUGUGAGCUGCCGGCCUGACGCGGAGUUUGGUAGGGGAGGGGAAUUUGAAGUCUACGAUUUUUUGGGACGUUGGCGGGCAACAGUUGGUCGGGACUGCUCCACUUGGAAAGUCCGCAGCUCCGCAUUUGGCUAGGUCAGGCGGCAACACUGGCUUUGCAACAGCGAAGGGGUCGCUGCCAAGACCAACCACUCCGGCUUUGCAACAGCGAAGGGGUCGCUGCCAAGACCAGCCACUCCACCGUAGAGGCUUCCGAGACCUAUAAGUACAUUUCUUCUGUCUAGGUUUACUAGAGAAGGGUUUUCAUGGUCGUGAUCGUUGGAGCUAGUGGAAGGGUUUUUGUUUUGGUCACUACUAUUAUUUGUGGCUUUGCACGAGACAGCUUGUAAAUUGGAAUGCCUAGGGUUUCCAAAUGAGGAUAUUCGGUGAUACUUUUGGGAGAAAGGGGAGAGAGAAGUUGUGGGGAUGAUACUUGUGGCGGAGGUGACGAGUGGAGCUGACAUAGAAGCCAUGGUACUUGACUCUGAAUAAUACGUUGUAUUGGCUUUGCUUUUAUAAUGUGUUCUAGGUUUUACGUUUCUUUGCACGGGUGGCAGGCCGUACACACGUGGUCGGUCCUUAAGGGUUUGACGAGGAAUACUACGCAGUCAUUUAGUACAUGACAACCAUACACUAUAGCACGUGGCAUGUAUUUAGAGAUCGAGAGAGAAUUGGGUAAGGUUCACGAGGGAUUGUAGUUUCAGAAGGUGAAUUGGUUUUGGUCUUCUUGUGUACCAAUAAUUUUUACUUAGUCAUUUAGUGCAGGACAACCAUGCACUAUAGCACGUGGCAUGUAUUCAGAGAUCGAGAGAGAAUUGGUUGGGUAAGGUUCACGAGGGAUUGUAGUUUCAGAAGUUCAAGCGGUUUUGGGCUUGUUGUGUACGGCUGUGGGUCUGCUGUCACGGACUCUCUGUCUCAUUUGUGUCUUAUUUUUUAUUUUUUGACACGUUUUAACGUCAAAUCAUUAUAGCAAUGUUAUGCAAUUGGGAGCUAAAUGACCGAUGCUCUUAUUUUUUAGUUUGCUUUUUUUCCAGAUCUGAUCAAAUCAUGAUAGCAAUGUUAUGCAAUUUUCAAGAGGGAGAGAUGCACCUGGGAGAGAAACGGUACGGUGACUUCUAAAUCACCGUCCAACAGAACAAUUCUCAGUAGAGACUACUAGAGAGAGAUGCACCUCACCAAUGAAAAAUUUAACUGCAAAAAUUCUGGGUAUCGGGAGUUGUGGGGUGGGUCUUGGCAGUUUUCUUAUUUCUUUGAAUUUUUUAUAAUUUAUUUUAUAAAAGUAACAGUGUUUUGUGGGGGUUAAAUUGUAAAACACGUGUCAUCAAACUAAAUAAAGAGACACCAAAGAGACAUGGAAUUCGGGACAACAGACCCACAGCCGUUGUGUACGGAGGCAGACUCUCUGCUCUCCUACUUUCUGUGUCCUCCUGUUUUGUGUAGUCACGAUUAAAUCACGUCAAUAUUUUAUAUUAUUAUUUUAUAGAUAUAAUAAGACAAAAAAGAAUAGUAAUUUAAAAUAUUAACGUGACUUAACUGUGACCACACGAAUAGGAAGGCAUGAGAAGUGGGAAGGCAAAGAAUAUGCCUCCGUUGUGUACCAAUAAUAUUAUAUAUAUAUAUAUAUAUAUAUAUAUAAUUAGGAUUGAAGGAUGUAGAGCUUAUUUUGUUAUGUAUUCUAACAAUUUAAGUGCUUAUCUUUUAGGUUUUCUCUUAAACAGCAUGCCUAUAAAAAAUCACCAAAAUUCAAACCAUAUGACCAUUAGAUCCAUAGUCAUUUUAGUGUUAAAUGAACUUCACAAAAUAAGUCUCAAAAUAUGUAUAAAAAAUGGACAGCGUGAAUGGUUUGGAAAUUGGAAUAGGUUUGGAAAUUGUGCUUUUUGUAGCAAAUUGCAGCAAAGUUUGCUUGGACUUUCACAACCGUAUAAAUUAAACUGUUCGCUUUGUUGGGAAAAACAAGUUUGCCGCUGGUCUUGGGUUCCAAGAUCGGCCAAUUUGACGGCACACUUUUUGGCGUUGAGAAGCAGUACGGAGAUGUGCAGAUUAACUUGGAUUGAUACUCCUCCAUCUUCGUUGGUUCGUGUAUUGAACAAAGAUGGCCUUCCUUGCCCUCCUUAAUAUUUUUUGUUCUUCCUGCAGUGGAGGCGGUGACGCCUUGCUCUUGGUGCAGCGUCUAGUGUUCUGUACCCUCCUCUUCUGCAUAUGUUUGUAUUUCCCCUCGUUGCCCCUUCUAAGUGGGCUUCCUAUUGUUUUGGCUUCGGCCCUGGUUAUGAAAUAUUUCCAAUCUUACCCAAAAAAAAAAAAAAAAAGAAGAAGAAGAAGAAGUCAAGCACGGUGGGAGACUGGUCAUAGUUUCUAGAUUGAUGCUCUAAUUCUAAUGUUAUACAACGCGUACGCUAAAAUAUUUUUAUCAAAAUAUUAGUUUUAGUGUUAUCAAAACAAUAAUGUUAUUCUUACCAUGUUUUUGUAUCACAAUUAUAUACCACCUUAGAUGGCAUAUGAUGUAGAUAGCCACAUCAUUUAAAUUAAUAAGCAUUUAAUUUCAAAUGUUAAUCAAUAAUUAAUAAAAUGAUUGUUAAUUAAAUGAUGAUUAUGGUAUACAAGGAGUCUCCUUCUUCCUUCCCCUUUCCAUUCUGCUUUUUCUUCCUACCACUUUCUGUUUUUUUUUUCAUGCCAGUUUUUGUAUUGAUUUCUAUUGAUUUCCAUGAUUAUGGUCAAUCUUUAUAGAAUUUACUCGUAUACCACAACCACCAUUGAUUUCUAUCUCUAGACUCAUGCCCCGUAGCCCUAAUCCUCAUUCCCCUUCAAGUAUUUCUGUCUCCAAUCUUCUUUGGUACUCCAUGGUUGUUCAUCUCGUGAUUUUUUUUUAUUAUUUCAUUAAGUAACGCCUAUUAGCUUUCAUGCGAAUUAGGAGUCAAAAUCAAAUUUGUCUAUCGGAUUAGGGUUCAUGCCCAAUUAAGUUACUAACGCAAGAGAGAUUUUGAAGUCUACAAUUUUCCUUAUUUAAGUGUUUUAAUUAAUAAGAAAAUUGAAAUUAAACGAUUUAGCUUGUCCAACUCAUCUGCCACCUAAGAUGGUAAAUAAAUGUGGUAAGAAUAGCAUUACUCUUAUCGAAAUUACAAAAAAAAAAAAAAAAAAAAAAAAAAGCUGAUUCAAUAUUUAGUUAUUAAAAAAAAUAUAAAAAAAGUGAUCAAGUAACUAUCCAAUACCCAUGUAUUGGGUGCUUUGUUUGAAAAUUUUCAAAAUGAUAUUGGGCUCGUUUGGAUAUGUUUUUAAAAUGACUGAAAGCGUUUUUAGAGAAAAUAUUUUUUUGAUUCCAAAAGCACUUAAAGUGUUUUCUGCAAAAAGCACUUAAAGUGCUUUCUGCAAAAAGCACCAGUUAUGUGCUUCUUCCUAGAAGCACUUUAAGUGUUUUUCAAGCAUUUACUUGCUUUUUUACUAAGGAUUGGUUCCAAAAACAUUUUCACAAAAAGUGUUUUCAGUCAUUUUAAAAGUACAUUCAAACGAGCUCAUUGUUUUUCCUAUUUUAAUCAAGUGCGUCGUCCCCUGUUGAGAAUGAAUCUCAUAUUAUGGGGAGAGGGGUCUUGCAUGGAUGAGAGGAGGGACCUUGCAUGAGCUUAUAAGUAAGUUGGGUUACUCUCUAUAUUGCCAAGAGAAAUUUUAUUUGGACCUACUUUUCCUCUCUCUAAACCCAACUUUAAUAUUUUGUUACCUAAACUCUCUAGUUUACCCUCAUAAAUUAUAAACAUAAAUAAACUGGAAAAAGAAAAACUCAUCAAACCUAUUUCCCAACUGUUCUGGCGUCUCUUCCCUGUAUUUGUUGGGUCUAUCUCCCUCCCGACUGUUUUUUUUCCCUGAUAUUCUCUGUGUGUUCCCCCACCUCUCCCACACCCACCGAUUCUUUGUGGUGGCUAUUCCACCCAACGUCCAGUGAAUCUUUCCAUUUUUCUUCUAUUGCGCGUGAUAGGGCCUUGCUGUUAAUAGGCAAAACUAAGCGGCAUCGUCGACUCUGUAAGCGACUUGUUGCAGAAGUCCAAAAUGGAGUCAAAAGGAUUUUGUAUUGGGUCGGGUUGUUGAAGGCGAUGGCUGAUUUAGCAAUCUCGCCUAACUACUUCUAUAUGCAGGAGAAGGAAGAGGGAGGAAGGUCUAAAGUGGUGGUUGAGUGGUGGCGAUGUAUGUGGGUUCUAUCUCGGUUGAAUGGGUGUAGAAAGAUAUUUAAUUUUCAGUUUCUUAUUUUAUUUUGUAUAAGGGAUAAUAUCGGAAUUACAUAAAAAGUUUUUUUUAUAGCUGGGUGUAGAAAUAGUAUUGUUGGGUCUAAAUAAAAUUACCCUAUUGCCAAACAUAGUAUUGUUGGGUCUAAAUAAAAUUACCCUAUUGCCAAUUAGCUUUGUUUGAAAAUUUUCAAAAUGAUAUUGUUUUUACCAUUGAACCCUUGUUAUAUACAGUGAUGGCUAAUUUGUCAAGUUCUACGAAGUUGGGAUACCCAGCGUUUUAGCAUAUAACAUAACUUAGUAUUACAAGCAUAAUUAAUUAAAAUAAAGGAAAAUGAAGAGGAUAGCUUAGUAUUACAAGCAUAAUUAAUUAAAAUAAAGGCAAAAGUAACAGCCUGUCCCUAAAAAUGACGAUUUUAUAAUCUUAACACGUGAGUUUAUGAAGAUGCCCUUCGAGGCAAAGUGUUGACUUGUGUUGACUACCGCAUCGUGUCAUGUGAGACUCAUCUUCUUGGCGUAUUCUCGUUUUACUUGUCACUACGGACGCAUGGGCGCAAACGGGACAUGAUUUGGAGCUAUAACGAAUGAGUUAUUAACAUUUAAAGUUAAGGACAUUUUAGUAAAUUAAUUAAUUUCAGAUUAUGUUGAGGGGAAAAUCUGGAGUGCCGGUGGGUGGCCCAGAUUAAAGGAAAUGAAGAAUGGAUGGUGGAGGUGUAAAGGAAAGAAGAUAAAAGAAAAAUGAGAGGAAGUGUGUGACUAAUAGGGAGAUGAGAGAGUUAGGAUGGCCCAAUCAGAAACAAACGAAAGGAGGAAAAAGGAGAGAAGAGGGGAGCGGGGGAUCCCUUCGACCCGGUUCCAUUUUCCGACCCGACCCGAUCCUUUUCAUCUUCUUUGAUGGUUUUUCGUCGGUUUUUUCCGACGAACCACGUUAUCUAACCCCUUGGAAAAUGUUCCACAACCUUCCCUCAACUAUUACAAUCCAAAAUUGUAGAAAUUUAGCCAUGAAAGUAUGAAAACCACACCGGUGGGUGCGGGAAACCCUUGUCGUCGAUUCUCCCAUUAUUGCAACGAUUUUCACCAAUUACCACCACCUACAACAUCCUCUUGAGGUCUGGAAUAAAGCCCAAACAAGUUUUGCACUACUACAAUAUUAGCUUUAGAUGGCAGAUGAUGGUGGCGGAUUUAGAAAAAUAUUGUCGGAUAAAUUAUAUCUGACACAUUAUUUAAUUAGUGGUGAAUAUAAGAAAAAUCAUGUCGGUUAUAACCGACAUAAAUUCGUGGCAGAUACUAGCAGAUAUUAAAAAACUCAUGUCGGUUAUAACCGACAUAAAUUCCUAGCGAAUAAUUACUGACAGAUAUUAUAAAACUUCUGUCGGUUAUAACCGACAAUAUUUUUGAAUUGGGGGAAUUUAAAAUUUUGGGAGGGAAUUUAAAAUUUUGGGAGGGAAUUUAAAAUUUUGGAGGAAAUUUUGGGGGGAUUUUUACCCAUAUUAAUUCAUGGCGGAUAAUUACUGACGAAUAUUAUAAAGCUCAUGUCGGUUAUAACCAACAAUAAUGAAAAUGUUUAUGUCGAUUUUUAUUAAAAAAAUGUUUCUGUCAGUUUUAACCGACAUUAAUGAAAAUAUUCCACAGUAAAACCCCUACUUCUUCUCCUUGUGCUGGUGCCUUCUCCCUUCCCCCUUCUUUCCCCCUUUUCUCUUCUCCUCAUUUCCUUUUCCUUUGUAUUUUUGAUUUUGACAAGGUCUCUCCUUUAUUUGAUUCUUUGUUGUUCAUCUCUCACAAAUGUAGAGAGAGUAAAGGAGAUGCUUAGAGCGCUUUCUUUGUUCCUUUUUUUUUUCUUUUCAUUUUUUCCCUUUUCAAACUCCGACUAUGUCUUACAUGGCCGGUCCCAAGCCCGGAUAAAGGAGGAGGGGGAGGGCGUCAGGUAGUCGACAGCCGGCACUCCAUGAUCACGUCGAAUCCUUAUGAAAAUGAAUCCAGAACAAAAUCGCGCUAAAGCUAGGGCGCCACCCGUAAGUGGCGCGCUGUGUGGCCCGAGCACAGUGAUAAGUGAGCAAGGGUCGCUGUAUCUCCAUCGGCACUCGGAUGCAGUGUUAAAUGAGCAAGGGGGCCAUAGAAACUUCUUUUCGAACGACUCCACUCAAAGUUGUUUGGGAGCAUAUGCUCCUAUCAACUUUACCCGGGACACACAAAAGAAGUACUUUGAUCCUAUUAGACGGGGGAGGGUGAAGAAGCUAGGACAGAAGGGUAGAGUUCAAGAGAGCAAAAUGCGUUUAGGAACGUGGAAUAUAGGAACCUUAACGGGAAAAUCUAUGGAAGUAGUGGAAGUUAUGGUGAGGAGAAGGAUAAAUAUUAUGUGCCUACAAGAAACUAAGUGGGUUGGUAGUAAGGCAAAGGAUCUAGAAAACUCAGGGUUUAAACUUUGGUAUUCGGGCACAAAUAGAACGAGAAACGGUGUUGGCAUCAUCGUGGACAAGACCUUGGUACAAGAUGUUGUAGAUGUCAAGAGUGUAGGAGAUAGAAUCAUGGCAAUCAAGAUUGUAAUAGGACAAGAACUUAUCAAUGUGAUUAAUGCGUACGCACCUCAAGUAGGGUUGGAUACGAGUUCGAAGGAGAAAUUUUGGGAAGAUCUUGGAGACUUGGUGCAAGGAAUUGCUCAGACGGAGAAGUUAUUUAUAGGAGGAGAUUUAAAUGGACACGUGGGCAGGGAGACAGGCAACUAUGGAGGUUUUCAUGGUGGCCAUGGUUUUGGGGAGAGAAACGAGGAUGGGGAAGCUAUCUUGGAUUUUACAAUGGCAUAUGAUCUCUUCUUAGCCAACACCUUCUUUAAGAAGAGAGAAGAACAUGUGAUCACCUACAAGAGUGGGUCGUCAAAAACACAAAUAGAUUUUCUUCUAAUGAGGAAAGGGGAUCGUAUAACUUGUAAGGAUUGCAAAGUUAUACCAGGAGAGAGCGUGGCUAAUCAACAUCGCUUGUUGGUGAUGGAUGUACAUAUCAAAAGAGUAAGACAAAAGAACAAGACUUGGAAGUGCCCAAGGACUAGAUGGUGGAAUCUAAAAGAAGAAAAACAAGUCAUUUUCAAAGAGAAGGUAAUCACCCAAUGUGUGUGGGAUAGAGAGGGGGAAGCUAGCCAAAUGUGGGAUUUCAUGGCUAGUUGUAUCCGAAAAGUAGCAAAAGAGGUAUUAGGAGAGUCUAAGGGCUUUGCCCCACACUAAAAGGAAUCUUGGUGGUGGAAUGAGGAGGUACAAACAAAGGUGAAGGCUAAGAAGGAAUGUUGUAAAGCCUUAUACAAGGAGAGGACCGAUGAAAAUGGUGAAAGGUAUAGAAAAAAAGCGAAGCAAGAGGCGAAGAAAGCUGUCAGAGAAGCUAAGUUAGCGGCUUACGACGAUAUGUAUAAACGACUAGAUACCAAAGAAGGAGAGUUGGAUAUCUAUAAACUAUCUAGAGCAAAGGAAAAGAAGACAAGGGACCUAAACCAAGUGAGGUGCAUCAAGGAUGAGGAUGGAAAGGUUCUUGCUACAGAGAACGCGGUUAAAGACAGAUGGAGAGGUUAUUUUCAUAAUCUUUUCAAUGAAGGACAUGAAAUGAGUGCUUCUUUAGGGGAGUUGAGUAACUCAGAAGAGUGUAGAAACUACUCUUUUUAUCGUCGAAUCCGGAAGGAAGAAGUGGUUGUAGCUUUGAAGAAGAUGAAGCAUAAAAAAGCAAUAGGCCCAGACAAUAUACCAAUCGAAGUGUGGAAACUUUUGGGAGAGACAGGUAUAACAUGGCUCACUGACCUUUUCAAUAGGAUUUUGAAAACGAAAAAGAUGCCAAAUGAGUGGCGAACGAGCACUUUGGUGCCUAUCUACAAGAAUAAGGGCGACGUACAAAAUUGCAUGAACUAUAGGGGUAUUAAGCUAAUGAGUCAUACAAUGAAGCUCUGGGAGAGAGUCAUUGAGCAUAGAUUGAGGCAAGAGACACGGGUUUCGGACAACCAAUUCGGGUUCAUGCCAGGGCGCUCAACCAUGGAGGCAAUCUAUCUCUUACGAAGAUUGAUGGAAAGAUAUAGAGAUGGGAAAAAUGAUUUACACAUGGUCUUUAUAGAUUUGGAAAAAGCGUAUGAUAGGGUCCCAAGAGACAUUCUUUGGAGGAUUUUAAAGAAGAAAGGAGUACGAGUAGCAUAUAUCCAAGCUAUAAAGGACAUGUAUGAAGAAGCAAAGACUGCCGUAAGAACUCAUGAAGGACAAACCGAAAGCUUUCCCAUAACUGUAGGAUUACAUCAAGGCUCAUCCUUAAGUCCUUACCUUUUUGCGUUGGUAAUGGAUGAGUUAACAGGACAUAUUCAAGAUGAUAUUCCUUGGUGUAUGCUUUUCGCAGACGAUAUAGUGUUGAUAGAUGAAACUCAGGAAGGGGUAAAUGCAAAGCUUAACCUUUGGAGAGAAGUGUUGGAAUCUAAAGGUCUUCGCCUAAGCCGAUCAAAGACAGAAUAUAUGGAGUGCAAGUUCAGUGCAAAUGGAGGCCAAAACGAGUUAGGGGUGAGGAUCGGAGAUCAAGAAAUACCAAAGAGUGACCGUUUUCGUUACCUAGGAUCUAUCUUGCAAAAGAACGGAGAAUUAGAUGGAGAUCUCAACCAUAGAAUACAAGCUGGAUGGAUGAAGUGGAAGAGUGCAUCUGACGUGUUGUGUGACCGUCGUAUGCCACUGAAGCUCAAAGGAAAAUUUUAUAGGACGGCAAUAAGGUCGGCGAUGAUUCAACUUGGCGGGUUCGAGCAAAUAGGCGUUGGGCCAUAUUAGACACAGAACCUGCACACUGAACACUGAGAGCUAGCGAAUCCUUAACAGCUAACUCAUCAGACCGUUUGGAAAGUAGUCUGUUAUCUUUGGGAGUGAGAAGGUUCCUGGCCACCACCGCAGCGGUCAUAUCAUUCUUCAUCACGGAAUCCCCAACGGUAAGAGGACCAGUAGGGGAGACAAAGGAUGGGCGCCAUAUGUUGUCUGGAGAAGGCGGGGCUGCCUCUUCAACAAGGUUCAAGUCAAAAAACGACGGUCGGAGGGCCAGACAUUUUCAAAGGUGUUGAAGAGAGAAGAGGUCGGACACAAAUCAAGAUCUUAGAAGUGCAAGAAUGAAGCUUCUACUGGUGGAGAUUCAAGUGUGCUUUGGAACUUAAUGCCAGCCCCUAUAAAAAUCUGCACUCGACGGAGCUUCAGAAAUCGAAGAGGCGUUUGCUUUCUCAAAAGCUGGGCUGCUUAGAGAUCACGAGGGUUGAUCUCAGGAAUCGAAGAGGCGUUUGCUUUCUCAAAAGUUGGGCUGCUCAAAGACCACGAAGGCCGAUCUCAGAAAUCGAAGAGGCGCUCACUUUCUCAAAAACUGGGCUCCCCAGAGACCACGAGGGCCGAUCUCAAAAAUCGAAGAGGCACCUACUUUUCCAGCCUUGUCAGCACCUGUCACACGCACACUCAGCUUUGCGGAAAUUAUGGGCAUUCUGUCGAAGACUUCUGGGGAAGUAGAAAACACAUGAAUCUUACUGUUCAAUCACCCACUUCCCACACGCAAUAAUAGCUCAUGGGUACCACAGAUAACUUUGCCAAAGUUCUCUGCCAAAGUUGAGCACGUGAAGCUUGCAGCUCCCACUACAUCGCUCUGACCAAGAAGGGUAAAAAGAAUAGCAAAGAAACAGCACUAACAAAGUUUAGACCCAUAAAUUUUGAAGGUCUAGCUACCAUAUUAUUACCCACAAGGGUAAAGGAACAGUACCACUGCUGGAUAAUUGGAAAGUCCCUAUGUGUCAACCUCUGUGCUUCGUGGCAAGGUAGACUAGCAAACAUGCCCAACCUUUACUCACAUUCGAGAAAACACUCCCAAUAAGAUUGCUUGCUCCAAAAUCGAAGAGGCACCGUCCUCCGAAUCUCGAGAGCCAGACUCCCAACAUGACUACUUUCUUAAAAAUCGAAGAGAGGGUAAAGGAACAGUACCAUUGCUGGAUAAUUGGAAAGUCCAUGUGUGUCAACCUCUGUGCUUCGUGGCAAGGUAGACUAGCAAACAUGCCCAACCUUUACUCACAUUCGAGAAAACACUCCCAACAAGAUUGCUUGCUCCAAAAUCGAAGAGGCACCGCCCUCCGAAUCUCGAGAGCCAGACUCCCAACAUGAUUACUUUCUCAAAAAUCGAAAGAGACACUGCUCCCCGAAUCUUCGAGAGCCAGACCCCCAGCAUGAUUGCUUUCUCAAAAAUCGAUGAGGCAUCGUUCUCCGAAUCAAUCGAAGAGGCGCUCGCUUUCUCAAAAGCUGGGCUGCUCAGAGACCACGAGGGCCGAUCUCAGAAAUCGAAGAGGCACUUACUUUUCUAGCCUUGUCAGCACCUGUCACACGCACACUCAGCUUUGCAGAAAUUAUGGGCAUUCUGUCGAAGACUUCUGGUGAAGUAGAAAGCACAUUAAUCCUACUGUUCAAUCACCCACUUCCCACACGCAACAAUAGCUCAUGGGUACCACAGAUAACUUUGCCAAAGUUCUCUGCCAAAGUUGAGCACGUGAAGCUUGCAGCUCCCACUACAUCGCUCUGACCAAGAAAGGUAAAAGAAUAGCAAAGAAACAGCACUAACAAAGUUUAGACACAUAAAUUUUGAAGGUCUAGCUACCAUAUUAUUACCCACAAGGGUAAAGGAACAGUACCACUGCUGGAUAAUUGGAAAGUCCCUGUGUGUCAACCUAUGUGCUUCGUGGCAAGGUAGACUAGCAAACAUGCCCAACCUUUACUCACAUUCGAGAAAACACUCCCAACAAGAUUGCUUGCUCCAAAAUCGAAGAGGCACUGUCCUCCGAAUCUCGAGAGCCAGACUCCCAACAUGACUACUUUCUCAAAAGCGAAGAGAGGGUAAAGGAACAGUACCAUUGCUGGAUAAUUGGAAAGUCCCUGUGUGUCAACCUUUGUGCUUCAUGGCAAGGUAGACUAGCAAACAUGCCCAACCUUUACUCACAUUCGAGACAACACUCCCAACAGGAUUGCUUGCUCCAAAAUCAAGAGGCACCGCCCUCCGAAUCUCGAGAGCCAAACUCCCAACAUGAUUACUUCCUCAAAAAUCGAAGAGACACUGCUCUCCGAAUCUCGAGAGCCAGACCCCCAGCAUGAUUGCUUUCUCAAAAAUCGAAAAGGCAUCGUUCUCCGAAUCUCGAGAGCCAGAUACCACAGACCACUUUUUCAAAGUGCUCUGACAGAGUUAAAACAUGUGAAACUGGCAGCUCCCACUACCGUGCUAUGACCAAGCAGGGUAAAGGAAUAGCAUUACUACUUGUUGUUAGGGAGACUCCUAUAUAUGUCGACCUCCAUCCCCAACGGACAGGCAGACCUGCAAAAAUGCUCAACCCUUCAUCAUAUCUGAGUGGGCACUCCCAACGAAGCCUUUCGAAAUAUUCAGCUUUCUUUCCCCCCGAUAAUACCUCUGCAAACAAGCUAUACUAGAGCAAGAAUAUCUCAUAUCAUCAGGGUUAAAAGCAAGAGUAUCCCAUAUCAUGCUUUUUCCCUGUCUUUUCCUUUGGCCUUGUUUUUACCUGCAAGACAAGGAGAAAGAGAGCAAUCAGUCAGCACUUGGAAUCAAGCUUCCAACCAGGAAAUGACUGCCUGGAACCCCUUACUUGGCAUUGCUCUCGAGUACUCAUCUUCAACAUCUUAUGUUUCCAGGGAAGAUUCUGCAUCUGCUUGAGGAACAGAUAGGGCAAGUGCGAAGGAUACAAGGAAGCAUGCGGAGACAAGCGUAACAGCACACGUGCCGAUACAUCCAUUACUCUGUCAAAAGCAAAAGUAUCCCAUAUCAGCAGGGUGGAACGUACUCUAGAUUUGAUGGACUUGUUUUGACCCUCAAAUUCUUCAGUCGGCCUUAUAUUCUGGAGGAAACCAGAAAACCCUCCAGCUCAGUUCAAGAAUAAGCCUGUGGAAAGUUACUUCUUCAAAAGCAAAAGUAUCUCAUAUCAUCUCUUCUCAUUUUUCUUCUCUCUUUAUCCUUCAUGCUGCUGCAAGAUGGGGAGAAGGUGAACAAUCAGUCGGAGCUCUGAUUGCUUACCUUGUCUGUCACCUCUUUCAGCAGACCCCCUAGCUCGGCGACUUGGGGGACUCCUACUAAAUGGUUUGUAUCGCGCUUGACCAAGCCUGAAACUACAAGUAAGCUUCAAGUGAAAUUGAUACAUUACCUUGUGCAUCUCCACCAGUUAAAGAUACCACCCCUGGAUGGAGGAAGAGUACUUCCAGAGAAGAUGCCACAUCUACCUAUGAGACAGAUAAGGCAAGUCAAGACGACACCACACUCCGAUACUUAGAAGUUUCGUGAUUAUGAGAUCAUUCUCCCACAAUAUUUCCUAAUGUCAUUUGUACUAAAUCAUUCACUUGUACUCACUAAAGGAGAGCUUGAACCUAUGUACUUGUGUAAACCCUUCACAAUUAAUGAGAACUCUUCUAUUCCGUGGACGUAGCCAAUCUGGGUGAACCACGUACAUCUUGUGUUUGCUUUCCUAUCUCUAUCCAUUUAUAUACUUAUCCACACUAAUGACCGGAGCAAUCUAGCGAAGAUCACAAAAAGCGACCGUUUUCGCUACCUAGGAUCUAUCUUGCAAGAGAACGGAGAAUUAGAUGGAGAUCUCAACCAUAGAAUACGAGCUGGAUGGAUGAAGUGUAAGAGUGCAUCCGGCGUGUUGUGUGACUAUCGUAGGCCACUGAAGCUCAAAGGAAAAUUUUAUAGGACGGCAAUAAGGCCAGCGAUGUUGUAUGGCACAGAAUGUUGGGCGGUGAAGCAUCAACACGUACACAAAAUGGGUGUAGCGGAGAUGAGGAUGCUUCGUGGGAUGUGUGGGCACACGAGAAAGGAUAAGAUUGGGAAUGAGGAUAUCCGAGGUAAAGUAGGAGUAGCCGAAAUUGUAGGAAAGAUGAGAGAAAAUCGGCUCCGGUGAUUUGGACAUGUGCAAAGAAGGCCGACUGACGCUCCGAUUCGAAGAUGUGACUACGGGACAGAGGUUCAGGGCCGAAGGGGUAGAGGAAGACCUAGGAAAACUUUGGAAGAGACUCUAAGAAAAGACUUAGAGUACUUGGAUCUAACGGAGGACAUGACACAAAACCGAGCGCAAUGGCGUUCUAGGAUUCAUAUAGCCGACCCCACUUAGUGGGAAAAGGCUUUGUUGUUGUUGUUGUUGUUGUAUUUUUUCCCUUUUCAAAAUCGAAAUGUUCUAAAUUAUUUCACUAAUCCUUGCUAGUUUGAACUGCAGGAGUCUGUCUCUGGAUUUGAAAGAUUAUCUGGACUUACAGUUUUGAAGAAUUGGGAUUCUAGUGUUACACAUAUUAUUGCAUCGACAGAUGAAAAUGAAGCAUGCAGAAGAACCCUUAAAAUUUUGAUGGGUAUCUUGGAGGGGAAGUGGAUUCUGAGUGUGGAGUGAGUUUUACUGUUUUCGUUUUAAUUGUUCUUCCUCAAGUGCUUGGACUUUACAAUUGUAAUGAGUACAGAAGCCGAAAUGAGAUAUUGAUAUACAUGUUCACAUUGCUGAUAAUUCGUUAUCCGUCUGUUUGUGUAGGAAUUAAUGCUUGCACAUAAGUAAUGAAACUAGUUAAUGAGGAGCCUUAUGAAAUCAACGUUGACAUUUAUGGAAUCAGGGAUGGUCCUCGACUUGGUAGACUAAGGCUGCAGAACAAGGUUAGCUUUUCCUCGAGUUUAACUAUCAUCACGAAAACUUUAGAUUUUCAUGGAUUCACCAUAGGCAUUGUUAAUCUUGUUCAGUCCAUAAAUAGGUUACACACUUAUCUUAACAAAGGUGAGACCUUCUCAAUUCCUCAUCGAGAUGAAUCAAGAGCAUAAUUGUAGCAGUGAUCAAGAGCAAUUUUUUUAUGUUUCUUCCAAAUUGUUGAGAUGAAUCAUCUGUGUUUUGUUCUAAUAAUCUUACAAAUUUGUUGAGCAAUUUUUGUAAAGUCAGAAUCUUUGGUUUCGGUUGUGAGGUAUCUGAUUUGGGUAUAUGUGUUUUGCAGGGCACGGUGGUUGUGGCGGAGGAAGAUUAGGAUUGACGACAGAGCUCUGGCCAUGAACUAUCAGCUCUGUCUUUCUCUCUCUAACUAUGAAUUGAAUACAAAAGUCUGUGUUGAUAUGGAAAAUGUAGCUCAAAAUUAUUACACAAAUGGCAAAAAAAAAAAGUUCGAGUGUGGAGUUUCACUUACUGAUACAGGGCUUUUGAAACAGGGUUGUCUAGACUGUAGAAGAAAUCCAUGGCUUUUGGAAGAGGGGAUGUUCCAAAUCUAUCUUUUCUCCCUCUCUAAUGUUCUUCGAGGGGUUCUUGUGAUGCAAAAAGUGGUUUAUAUAUAUUUUUUAUUAUUAAUAAAUUUUCUGUCGGUUUUAUCAGACAAUAAUUCUUUUAUUUAUUCUUAUUAAUAAUUUCUCUGUCGGUUAUAUCUGACACAAUUUCUGUCGAUUUUAGAGUAUUUUCUAUCGAAAAUUUCAUUUCCUGACGCAUCAAUUAUGUCGCUUAUUAUAUCCGCCACUGCACUCAUUUCAUGUCGGAUUUUGCUUAAUUUCCAACAGUAUUAUACAUUUCUUGUCGGUUUUUAAACCGACACUAAUGGGUACUUUUGUAGUAAUGUUGGGGCGUCGGAGUUCGUUUAAGGUCGAAUUGAGCACACCCAAAUUCAAGGGUUCCGUACGGUUCAUGGUAAUUUGAGGUAUUUCUCAGCCAAAUUGUCCUUAGUCACAGAUAUGAAAGUUGCUCCACUCGUUGAGAUCUUCAUUUAUGUCAAAUUUGAGAAUUUUUAGAAAUAAUUGGAUUUUCCAGCGAAUCGGGGCGGCGGACCACCACCGGACAGCGCAUGGCUAGUGGGCCCCCAAUGUCAUUUUACGUUAAAUUGGUAUCUUGAUUUUAGGUUUGAUGUCUAUAUGUUAUGACUUGAUAUGUGAACCUAGUUUAAUUAAGGUGCGUUAAUUGGUAAAAAUAUGAAACGACGAUCCGACCGUGGGAUCGUCACCAAUCUUUAUUAUGUUAUAGUACAUUAUAUUUGAGAAUCAUAGGGACUGACGGAUAGGAAAUCCGAUAUACGGAUCUUCCUGAAAUGGAAUUGUAAGUUCGAAGAAUAAACGUUAACCGCCACUUUGUUUUGACUAUUGGUGAAGAUCCAACCGUUGGAUCAUAAUGAAAUUUUAGGAUGAUGUUUUAGAAGCAUAAUGUGGAUCUUUGGAAGUUAUUGAUUGGAAAUCCGAGGAGCGAAUCUUCCGGAUUGAAUUACGUAAGGUUGUGGACCCUACCGUCGAUCGUUGACUGACGAUCGACUUUUGGUCAAUGGGGCUUAAAUCACUCUAAAAUGUUUUUAGGGAUGUGUUUUACGUAAAUUACAUUAUCUAUGGAUAAGAAUUCUGAGAUGUGGUUUGAUAAUUGUCCUGGGCGCCGAUCGUUAGGAACGCUUCGAUGGUUGUGCUAGGAAAUUGUAGCAUAGACUCCAGGUGAGUGAAUCUUUUCCUUCUUAUAUAUAUAUAUAUAUAUAUAUGAUUGACAAUUCCACAAACGUUUAUAAAUUGAUUAUUGCAUAUAACUACUGUAAAUACUUUGAAGUACUUAUGCGAACUACGAAUGGCUUGAUCCCUAUUUAGGGUACGUAUGCAGUCUAACAAGACAUUAAAUGCAGUCAUACAAUAAUUGAGAUUAAACAAUUGAGACAAAGCCUUGUAUGGGGAACUGGGCAAGGUGAACGAAUUUGGUAAAAAUGUGAGAUUUAACCUUCUGAAUUGGUGAUUAAAUGUUGGUCAUAAAUCAAUGUGUAAAGAAUCAAGAAUUUGAAGUAAGGAAACGUAAGUAAUGAUAAUUAAUUAAACUAGUGUCUAGUUGGGCUUGUCACCUAUAAUUAUCCCCAAAAAUGAAUAAUUCGGGAGUAGGGCGUUAUAGCUUCUGCAUUUUUAUGCCACAUUAUAUAUAUAUAUAUAUGUGUGUGUGUGUGUGUGUGUGUGUGUGUGUGUAUAAUUGGAAAUGCUAUAACGUGGUUGAGUAUCAGAUUUCAUCAUGGUUUAUCUAUAUGUAUAUUACCUGCACACAAUUAUUAUGAACACUUUGAAGUGCAAAGGUGAACGCAAGACACCCAGGAAAGUUCAGGUGAGUUUAUGGUAUUAGUUGAAAUGAUGGGGUUAUGGUAACUACAUGUAUGUUUAGGUUGCAAUGAUAGGCAACUCCGACACUGUCGUACAAGUUGCCCAUGAAUUGUAUAUGUUACAAUAGAUAGAGUUAGAGGUCAUAAACCUGCACCCCGGUGUUAGUGCUCCCACCCGUGGCUAGGGCACAGUCUUUCACGAGAUGUUCACCUCUCGCAUCUUACGCUCACCUUGGAUCCAAGGUAGGUGCACAGUCAUGUCAUAAAGACCACUAUAGGUGGUUCCGACUAGUAGAUGACCCGUGAUUAUUCGCACAGUCUUCACGUGAUUGUAGCACUUGAGCGUAUUUAUUUACACCCAGUCCUGUCGUACAGACCACUUUAGGUGGUUCCGACUCGUAUGCAGGUAUACUUAUUGAGCUAUGGAUAAGUCGUACAGGUCACUAAAGGUGACUCCAACUUAUGAGCUAGCAUAUGUGAUGAAAUAUGUGAUGAGCUAGCAUAUGUAAUGAGAUAAGUGAUGAGCUAGCAUAUGUGAUGAGAUAUGUGAUGAGUUAGCAUACGUUAUGAGAUAUGUGAUGAGUGAUAUAAUCAUAAUUGCAUACAUUUUCAUGCCCUUUUAGUUUAGAUUUUUGUUAUCCUUUUGAGUGAAUUUAGUUUGUUUCACUUAGUUUUAUGUUUUUCUUAGAUUUGAAGUGUGAAGAUGAAGAAAGAAGAAAAAAGAGCAUUUUUAGCGAUUGAAAUGAGUUUGGCAUGCUGGAAGCAGAGGCUAUUUGUGCGGAUCAGCCAACUUUACGGAUUAAACUGUACUUCCUUAGAAUGCCAGCUGUUGAGUCUUAUACCAUUGGAAAGAUAUGAAAGUUAGCUUUCAGAGGAAUUUUACGAUUCGUGAUUCCGAGUUUCCUAGAAGACGUUAUAGUGGUUUUUCUACCAGAUGUCUGCCAGCAAGGUUUUACGCGGGAUUUGCAAAGAGAUUCCAGAUUUACAAAGUUUAAUUAAAGGAAACAAGCAGAGAAAAAAGAAGAGGAAGCUUUUAGAAAAGUUCAGGACUAUUCUAAACGGUGCAUAGUUAAUAUAUUUAAUAGUUUAGUGUGCCACAUCAUCAAUAAACUAAUCUAAGUCAGAAGAGAAAUUCAAGAGUCCCAUUCAAGUAAGUAUUCCAGCAGUUUUAUUCAGGAAUAAAGGAGGGCAGACCGUCGGACUUUAGGAGCGGACAGAGAGAGUUUUUGGGUUUUCGAAGGUGCAGAGAAGAGGUCGCAGCAAGGAGUGAAACAGAGUCGCCGAUCAUCUGGGCAAUCCAUCACCAUCGUGUGGAAGUAUUUUAUGUUUUUCAGAUUUUUAAUUAUGUUUUCAGAUUUUAUGAGUAACUAAACUCUUUUUCUAAGGUUAGGAUGAUGCCCUAGCAUGGAUGUUUAUGGUUUGUAAUGUUAUUCAUUGGAUUUCCAGUUUCUUUUAGAUGAAUGCUUAAUCACUGUUUGAAUUGUUACUGUUUGUUUGAGUUCUUUGAUUGAUCACCUUAGGACUUUGCAUCUAGUAAGAUUGGAAGAUGAAUUUGAGACUGAACUAACAAUAUAAUUCAAUUAGCUUCUUGUGGUUAAGUGUGGUAAAUUACAUUAUUGCUUGAAAAAGAAUAAUGGUUUGUUUGGGUCCCUUGUUUUCUAGAGGGUAAAGAGUCCUACUUGUUAAAUUUAUGCCUUAACUAGGAUAGACUGCUUGUUAGGAUAUACGACCUCUGCCUAAACUAGGAGAGAAUCAUUCACAUAAGGAAAACUAUGGUCUAAUAUGCCUGACAAGGACUUAGAUACGGGAAUUAUCAUCUAAAGAAUUGAAAGAUCCAUUGAAUGCAUUGAAACCUAAACUAGAUUGCUUGUGGUUGAUUCCGAAUCCCUAGAUUUUCAUCACUUGCCUUAAAACACAACCGUUUCUUUUCUUUAAUUUCAGUUUUUACUUAAGGUUCUGUUUUUGUUCAUUUAUAAAAUCAUCACAACAAAUUUUUUACAUCUUUGAUUGACUUAUUAAUUAAGAUCGAGUCUAGUUCGUUGUUUGGGUUUGUGUGUCUUUAAUAUAAUUAGAUUUGGUUUAGUUUAUCAAAUUGGAGAUUGAAUUAGAAUCCUCGUGGGAACGAUACUUGGACUUGCAAAACGUUAUAUUACGACUAUCUUGUGCACUUGUAAGUUUACACCAAGUUUUUGGCGCCGUUGCCGGGGACUCUAAUUGAGUCCCCCAAUUUGAUAUCAUAUUCCAUAUCUAAUAAGUAGUUUAUUGUAGAUUAUUCAAUUUGAUUUUGUUUUGUUCUCUAGUUUCGAGUAAGAGUCAUAACUAUUAAGAUAAGUAAAAGUAAUUUUCGUCACUGUUUUAUUUCAGUUUUGUAUCACUGUUUCGACACAGUUUUGGACUAAACUAUUCGAUUUUUUACCAGGAAUAUUGUGUAUCGUUGGAAAGCCCCAGAAGUCUAGUUUUCAACCCAAAAAACAGAUCAAUGAUUGGAUUUUUGAGCUGCAAGAAAUGUACAAAAUACUGAGCAGUGGUCAAACAAGGAGCACAGUCUGGUCGUAUAUGCAAGGUAGACGUUCGUUGCAAUUUGAGUUGAUUCAUAUAGACCAAGAACUUGUGCGUACUUUAAGAGAACAGUGGAGGCAGCGAGUGUGUCAAGAACCAGCCAUGGAGGAAGUAGUUAAUAAUGGUGGAAAUAAUCCUCCACCAUUGCUACCACCACAACCAAGGCUCAUGCGUGAUUAUACAAAGCCAACGGAGUACAACGCACCGUCAUGCAUUGUUUUGGCUCCAAUUGCGCAGCGAUUUGAGAUUCGUCCACAAAUCUUUCAGUUGCUGCCUAUAUUUCUUGGGAAGGAGGAAGAAAAUCCAUACCAUCAUAUCAAGGCGUUUUUCAAGCUAUGUUCCACAUUCACAUUCACCAAUGUUACUGAAGAGCAAAUUCGACUUCGGUUAUUCCCAUUCUCUUUGAGGGAUAAAGCAAGCAGUUGGUUGGAUUCUCUUCCCGAAGCAUCUAUCGACACAUGGACAAAAUUAUCGAAGAAGUUUUUGUCCAAGUUCUUCCCCGCUCGAAGAACCAAUGCUCUGAUCAAUGAAAUCAUGAGCUUUCGACAACAAGAAGGUGAACAGUUUCAUGAAAGUUGGGAGCGCUAUAAGGACUUGUUUCUUCAAUGUCCUCAUCAUGGUUUCAACACUUGGCAAAAGGUUCAUUAUUUUUACAAAGGUUUGAACUCUCAAUGUAGGAGUUUGGUUGAUUCAACGGUUGGUGGAACCUUGAUAGACAAAACUCCAGAAGAUGCCAUACAUGCCUUUGAAACUAUAUGUGAAAAUUCUGAGCAUUGGGAUUUUCCUACAAAAGAUUUGAGAGUUCCAACUGCAUCGUCAACAAAAAAAGGAGGCAUUUAUGAAGUUAAUACAAGGACGGGCUUAGAGGCACAAGUGGCAGCCCUCACCAAGCUUCUCACACCACUUGUAAGCAAGAUAGCCACGCAGCCAUGUACUUUAUGUGCGAGCAUCGCCCAUGACAUGGAAAAUUGUCCAACAAAUGCUAAUCUAGAAGGCAUCCAAGAGGUCAAUGCAUUUAGUGGGAGGCCCCGGAAUGAUCCAUAUUCUAAUAAUUAUAACCCGGGAUGGAGAGAACAUCCAAAUUUUUCUUAGAGAGAUUCACAAAAUAGCAUGGGAUCAUUCACUUCAACAAAGCAAUAUCAGCAACCUUAUCAAGCUCCUCCAAUUCAACAAAAAGACUCGUCUAUCAAGGAUAUGUUAUCUCAACUCUUAAAGAAAACUGAUCGGUAUGAACAUGAAGUUGUGUCGCUUAGACAAAGUCAGACGGUGUUGGAAAAGGCUCGAUCUAAUUUUGAGACUCAGUUGGGACAGAUAGCUACUACUUUGAACAAGCUGGAGUGAGCACAAGGGCAAUUUCCAAGCCAAACUGAAACAAAUCCUAGGAAUCAAAAGCAUGUUCAAGCUGUCACCACUUUGAGGAGUGGAAAGACGAUUGGUAAUAAUGUGGAAAGUUCAAAAAUUAAUAAGGAAGAAGAUGAAGGGGUCAGCACAUAUCGGGCAGCAGCUUGACAAGACAAGCUAAAAAAGAGAAGUAUAUGGGAGAUAUUUUAGAGCAAUUUAGAAAGGUGCAGAUUAAUAUUCCUUUUCUCGAUGCCAUCAAACAAAUUCAAUCAUAUGCGAAGUUUUUGAAGGAACUUUGUACUAACAAGAGACGGUAUGAAGAACAUGAGGAGGUGAAGUUAUCAGACACGGUUAGUGCGGUUCUUCAAAGAAAAUUGCCACCAAAACUUCAAGAUCCUGGUAGCUUUACAGUCCCAUGUGUCAUUGGAGAAAGAAAAUUCGAAAAAGCUUUGCUUGACUUGGGAGCCAGUGUGAAUUUGAUGCCCUAUUCUGCUUAUAAACACCUCAAAUUAGGCGAACUAAAGCACAUAUCCAUUUCUCUACAAUGCACUGAUCGUUCUGUGAAAUAUCCAAGAGGGAUUGUUGAAAAUGUACUUGUGUGUGUUGAUCAAUUUAUUCUUCCUGCUGACUUCAUCAUUUUGGACAUGGAAGAAGCCGAAAUUCCUGGUCGUGACUUGCCUCUCAUUCUUGGCAGACCUUUCAUGGCUACUGCAGGUACGAAGAUUGAUGUUAAAUCGGGAUUAUUAACUAUGACUGUGCAAGGUAUUACUGUAGAAUUUCAGGUCUUCGAAGCAUUGAAGAAGCCCAUGGAUCUUUAUGACUGCUUUCGUGUUGAGGUAGUGGAUCCAAUUAUAAAAAAAAACAUUCAUUGAAUCAAGCAUCUCAGAUCCUCUGGAAGUUUGUAUCUCUCAACAUGGGAUGAGUUUUGAAAAGGCUACCAUCAUUGAAGCAGAACGAGAUCUCAAUGCCGUAACGUCCUACUCUCUUAGAUGCCAGCCCAAAUUUGAAGCGUUGCCACUCACAAGCCAAAAUUGUACCAUCCAUUAUACAACCUCCAAAGCUUGAAUUGAAGCCUCUUCCAGAGACUUUAAAGUAUGCAUAUUUGGUGAUUCAGAGACUCUUCCUGUGAUUAUAGCUGCUGAUCUUAACCAAACAGAAGAGGAAAAGUUGAUGCAAAUGUUGAGGGAGCAUAAAACAGCAUUGGGAUGGAGUAUUGCAGACAUAAAAGGAAUUAGUCCUCAAUUUGCAUGCAUCGGAUAUAUCUUGAGGACAAGUCAAAGCCUUCUAGAGAGGCACAGCGACGUCUAAAUCCACAUAUGCAAGAAGUGGUUCGGGCAGAAGUUCUUAAAUUACUGAAUGUCGGCAUUAUUUAUCCUAUAUCUAACAGCAAAUGGGUAAGUCCACUGCAGGUUGUACCACAGAGAUCUGGAAUUACAGUUGUCAAGAAUGAAAAUAAUGAGCUUAUACCCCAGAGGACUGUCACGGGUUGGAGAAUGUGUACAGAUUACAGAAAGAUCAAUAAUUCAACUCGAAAAUAUCAUUUUCCACUCCCUUUCCUUGAUCUCAUGCUUGAGAGACUUGCAGGCCAUAGUUAUUAUUGUUUUCUUGAUGGCUAUUCCAGAUAUAAUCAAAUUCCCAUAGCUCCGGAAGAUCAAGAAAAGACUACUUUCACAUGUCCAUUUGGAACUUUUGCCUAUCGACGAAUGCCUUUUGGGUUAUGUAAUGCUCCCGCAACAUUCCAAAGAUGCAUGAUGAGCAUUUUCUCAAACUUGGUGGAAAGGUGUAUCGAAGUGUUCGUGGAUGAUUUUUCCGUGUUUGGGUCAUCGUUUGAUCAAUGUCUUCAUCAUCUUUCAUUGGUGCUCUAACGGUGUCAAGAAACCAACUUGAUUUUAAAUUGGGAAAAAUGUCAGUUUAUGGUGAAAAGUGGUAUUGUUCUUGGUCAUGUAAUUUUAGCUGACGGAAUUGAAGUUGAUAAAGCUAAGGUGGAGCUGAUUUCGAAGCUUCCUCCUCCCACUUCUGUAAAAGAAGUUCGAUCCUUUCUCGAGCAUCCAAGUUUUUAUCGCCGAUUUAUUAAAGAUUUCUCGAAAAUCACCAAGCCACUUUGUGAUCUGCUUGCUAAAGAUUCUGUGUUUAAUUUAAAUGGUGAGUGCUUACAAGCUUUUGAGACCCUCAAGAAAGAAUUAACACAAGCCCCAAUCAUAAAAGCUCCAGAGUGGUCUCUUCCUUUUGAAAUCAUGUGUGACGCCUCUGAGUAUGCAAUAGGUGUUGUGUUAGGGCAGCGAGUUAACAAACUUCCUCAUGUUAUAUUUUAUGCUAGCCGAAUUCUCACUUAACAACUUUCAUAUCCCUUAGUUUCCAAAAUUUAAUAUACAAAUUUAGUCUCCCAAGCAUUGCUAUAUUACUUAAGUAUUGAUUAAUAGACUUAUUUCUUAUGGUGACACAUUAUUUAGUUUACAAAUUUAGUCUAUCUAACAUUACUCUUUUGACAUUGUCUUGUCCACUGAUAUAAUUCUAUUUUUCUUGUGAUCAAAACUUCAAAUGUUAGCAAGUCGCACGUAAAGUCGCUUCUGAGAGAAUGUGCUCACAUUGUAGUUGAAAGAUUAUGUGGCUAGCAACAUUACAAAUUUAAUUUGGUAUAAUUUUAAAAUAUAGAUUGAGGAAAAAAAGGAUCACAUUAACUAGAAACUGAAAAGGUUUCGGCGCAAUAUGUUCAAGCAAGAAACUCAAUUUUGAUGCUACCGAUCUUAACAGCCUGAGCGCCGUACCUGGGCACUAAAGUCACCACCACACUCUCAUCAUCUUCAGCACCCAAAUCCUCCAACAGGUCCGUUAACCCCAACCUUAAACAACUCUUGCUCUUUUCCUUCUGCUUAUGUGGCACACUCACAAAACUCCCAGCAAACUCGCUCUUGUCGGGUCCACUCGGUGCCGCAUCCUCAUCAUCCACGUCAUUCACAUACACAUCAAACUUCACAGCCACAUCUUUGUCAAGCUCAAUCCCCCGAAUCACCAAUAUCUCCUCCUCAUCCUCUUUCUCCUUCUUGCUCCUCUUCUUCGGCUUCGGCCUUGACACCACCGUAGUUAUCUUCGUCUCCAAAUUUAUUGGAAAAUCUUUACCCGCCACCACCU
RNAcentral lists this long non-coding RNA (99961 nucleotides) under Malus domestica (apple). Its description in RNAcentral is "long non-coding RNA (MDOM_LNC009719)". The record is from RNAcentral. Lineage: Eukaryota; Viridiplantae; Streptophyta; Magnoliopsida; Rosales; Rosaceae.